RNAcentral lists this long non-coding RNA (124154 nucleotides) under Triticum aestivum (bread wheat). Its description in RNAcentral is "long non-coding RNA (TAES_LNC026648)". The stretch from base 72749 to 72835 matches the Rfam family "MIR1120/MIR1122 microRNA precursor family". Lineage: Eukaryota; Viridiplantae; Streptophyta; Magnoliopsida; Poales; Poaceae. The record is from RNAcentral.
GAGUAGAGUUUCAGAUGUGUACAUUAGCCAAUCAUACUACUACCACCACUACUAUCUAUCUAUCUACUUCAGAAUGUGUGCGUGUUCAGGUCAGUUAAGUCACAUGAAGGUGUAAGGCAACUAGGUGAACUUGGGUGGCCCUCGCCGCUCGCCGAGCAUGUGCUCAAGCAUCCGCGGGCGACGACAAGAGGCGAUCGAUUGAUCGGUCGAGUGAAAUUCUUUGGUUUAUUCGUAUGCUUUGUUGUAGUUUCGUUAUCUUCUCCUGCAAAGUUGUAGGAUUGUGUUGGGCGUCCAUGGUGAUGCUGUCGCUUGUAAUGUUGGGGGUGGCAACUUCACCUUUUCUAGCAUUUCCACAAGUUAUGGGUCUUGUAAAUUCCAAGUCUCAAUAAAGGGAACAACAAACUUGCCUUUUUGUACAGAACAAUCAUACUUGUCUUUGGUUUCCCAGCAUUUUCAUCCUCUGGGGGAAUGCACAAGCACUCCAAGGUGAGAUAAUGCAGAUACUGACUAGCUAGAAAUCAAGCGUUCUAUUUAUAACUUAGGGGGGCAACAACUUUUCUGCCAUCAAAUGCACGCCACCCGCGACCCAGAUGUGGAUGUCGAAGAAGAAAUUCAAGAUGCAUUAUGAAAAUAUAUGAUGAAAUUUCCCUAUUAAUAACAAGAUGACUAAAUCAAAGCCAGGCGCAUUCAUAUCCAAGUAGAGGGAAAUGGUUUUACAAUCUUCAUAAGAUCAGAUGUAUAACAACACAGUUCACCCUAUGAUAAAAGCACCCUGCAAAAUUCAAAUGCUUAUGCAUGAAGGAGAUGCGGAAAGGACAUGAACCUCUGAUAUUUUUUGAUGAUACUAGUUCAAUCUUCCCUGCGCUAAAACAGAGUAGGGAAGCAAAGCAGAGCAUCCUUGAUUCGUUGCAUAUGUGAACCCAACAAAGAAAACUAUUCGCUACCGCAUGGAGUGAGCCUAUGAAGAUGAGUCAUCCGUUGGUUUCACACUAAACAUCACCAUCGUCUAUAGCCCCUUUGGAUGCUAAAGAGGAGAAGUUUAGCAGGAAUAUGAAUGGACUGAGGUCCAGUUUCCUGUUAAGAAUUCAAGUGAAGAAUCUUUAUUUUUAUUUUGCAGAGAACAAUUCGUUGAAGGAUCUUAUGGAUUAUUUCUUUUUACAGUCUUGCUUAUUCUUGGACACUAACACUAAAUGGACUCAAUUACCGUCUAAUUUUACGCGGAUAUUGAAAAUUUUACCUUUUGGCCUUUUCUUUUCCAUUCCUCAAUACAUGUGCACUAUUAGGGAAAAGGCUAGCAGCAGCGCGGGUUUUAGGUGUAUCGGUAGUGCGGGUAGCGGCGCUACUAAUAAGGCGCUACAGCUAACACAUAGCAGUAGCGCGUGCUCACCGGCGCUACUGCUACACAAGUAUAGCAGCAGCGCGGUUAGCGGAAGCUCGCUACUGCUAGUAGCUCUAGCGCGCUUUCCAAUGACGCGCUACUGCUAUCGCGGCGCUGCUGCUAACUUUUAUACACUCGCUACUGCUAAUUUAAGUAAUUUUUUUUCUGGCAUAUUUGUUUUGUAUUUGAACAGGCUUUAUAGAAGAAUCUUUAGCACAUAGAAAUGUCAUCAUGAUACACAUACAAAUGCCUACGAGACCACAAAUGUAAUUGUAGCAUAUACAUACAAAUAGUCUCAUCAUAAUCAUCAUCCAACACAAAGUGGUAUCUUGUCAUCAUCUCGAAAAUAGAGAUACAUGAAAGUCUCGAAUACUUGCAACUACAACAACGUCAUCCAUCUAAACAAAGGUAUACGCAAGAAGAGCUAUCACUAUGAGUGAGAGCGGAACUAUGCAGUACAUGAGGUGGCGGUUACGAGUCCUCUCUCGCGCUAGCGUGAACCUCAAGUAACUAGCUUCUCCUUCUUGUCUGCUUUUGAAGCCUUUAUGGCUGGCGCCCAUGAACCCAUUCACUUGCGCCUGACACUCAUGCCACUCGUUGUACAUCCCCGGAACCUUCCCUUUGUACACGACAUAGCAAUUCCAUCUCGCCAUCAAGAAACUAGGUACCUGUUAGAGAUGCAUGUUCAUGAAGAGGAUGUACAAUCAUAUAUAUGCAACAAAAUAUACUAGAGCAACACCGAAAAAGAAUGGGUUAGCAACUAGAUGCAACAUACAGUACGCAAAUUAAUUAACUAGAGGUACGCAGGUCAUCGUACGCAAACUAACAAAGUAGCGUUAUGCAAGUUCGGCAGGGACCGUGGACAUCACAAAGUUUCAUCGCUACAAAAAGUAUACAAGUUCAACCGACACAUAUCAUCAUCAUCGACAUCAUAAAUCACUAGAAGUUCCAUCCUUCCAUAUCAUCGAGGAUGAACCCUAGCUUCUUGAACGCCGUGAGGUCUAGACGUUGCAUGCCUAUGCGAGUUCGGACGUCAUCUCGCGAUAUAGAGCCGUGGUGGAACAUCCCCUUCUCACGACGACUUCUUUCAUGAUGAUCGUCGCAAUGUCGCUUUGGAUGCGAAAGAAGUCAUCUUUAAGUUUAUAAUCCGCUUCUCCAUGAGAUUCUAGCCACUUGUGGAUAUGGUCAUCAUUUCUGCUUCUCAUGCGAAGCUUUUGGUGAUCCGUGUUGAACUGAAUCAUGAGAUGGACGAUGUAGAAUCCAUCCUUCUUGCUUUGUUUUGGGACAUGGAUGCAGGAGAAGUUAGUUUUAUGCGCGAAACCCAUCUUCUUGUUCAUUUGUUUCCUGAUAUGCACGUGGCCACCUCUAAAGCUGAAGCCUUGGAGAGCAUCAUCUAGAAUAUUCAUUAUGUGGGUGUAGUCUUUUAUCUCGUAGUCUCUGGAAGGGUCAAAAUACACGGCCUAGGAGACUUGCGGGUAAAGAACGAUAAGGACGGCGCGCCUGUUGCUGUAGGGAAAAGACACCUCAAAUUAUUCCCCAUAUGAGAGAGAAGGAAUGAUUGAAAUGUACGAAAGGGUUGUCCGGAACUGACUUACUUUGGAUGAUAAGGCACGAGGACAAUUUCCCGGUCCUUAUUCUGUACCAUCAAGUUUUGGAGGUACUCCCUAGCAGUUUCACGCUCAAAGUCGCCGAGACUCAAGAAAGACUCGUGCAUGUAGUACGGAUCCGCCACACAGAUUUGUGAGACUUCUUCACUCUUCAUGACGGAGCUCAUAUGUAGCGCCAAAAGGCGGACGAUUGUAAAAUCGAGCCGCCUUGUUAGAAACAUCUCAAAGAUAUGGUCAAACCGCAGGAAGAACACCUCCGCGGGCCGUGUCUCGACAUAGCACUUCCCCUCAGGCACACAAGCCACGUAUGUAGGAUAUCCUAGAUCCUUUGAGGCUAGUAGGCUUUUCUCAGUCGAAAGCACAUGGUCGUGCAGUCUCCUGAGAUCCCCUGAUAGUGCCUCUAGCGGUUUCGGCGGUAGCAUCGGCUCGCCCGUGAGACGGAACAUGACCGGACCUUUCACAGGUAAACGCUCUUCAGAAUGUAUCGUCUGGCUGCUCUGUGCUCUGGCUUGUUUGGAGGCAGUUAUCUUCCCCUAUCUCUUCCUCUCCUUUUUCUGGGGCACACCUUCCAGACCAUUCCUUAACCCCUGCCCCAGUGUUCCCGGGCUAAGUACUGUACGACCCUCGUGCCCGGCUAGUUGAGCCUGUGUUGAGGCGGCAUCUUCAGGCGUGUCCUGUGAGGAUUUCAUGAAGAGAGACUUUUUGAAUCCCUGAUACGACCCUGCCUGGGCAUAUCAUCCAUAUCCUCAUUAGCAAGCUGAUAGCCCGAUUCGUCAUAUGGUUGACUCAUCAUAUCUAUGUCACAGUCAUACGCGUUUGUAUUGAUGUAAUCCAUAGGGUCGACCUCCUUCUCAUCAUCCAUUCUCUGUUCUACAGGAGAAAUUACAUCAGCCAGUACUAUUGCACCCCCUUCAUCAUGUCGUCCGCCGCUCUCACCCGGCACUACAGGAGCUGGUAAUUGCAUAGGCGGGGUGGUGGUCUCCGCACAUGCUUGUUGAUGUGUGGUUAUUGGUGCGCUCUCGGCCGGCUCCAGACGAAUAAGAUUCUUCGGCCAUAGCAGCACCCAACCCUUGCAGCUUCCAAUCCACGGCGGGGUCUCGUCGUCCGCUCCCACAGGCUGUACUGGAGGAGGCAAAUCCUCGUGCCCCGAUUUCACACUGGUCAAGCUAACCCUGAAGUGCCCAACGGGGAUCGGCUGGUUUUGGAACGUGGGUUGCGAGCGGUCCAUUAUCAUUCCCUUUCCCACGUCCACCUUCUGGCCUUUGAUCAAGUAGAGUAUGGUGCACAGGGUUUCUUUCUCCUGCAAACACAUAUGUCUGUGGUGUAAAACAACCGAAAGGCAACAAAAAUGGAAUAUUAUAUAUAUAUAUAUAUAUGUUGGUGCGACAUGUAAUUACCGUGACGGCGUCGAGCUCAGCCAAAGACAAAGGCCCACCUAGCACGCUUGAGACUGAGGACGGCCUGCUAUGAGAGGGAGCGGCUGCGAGAGGAGGCCCUGUUGCGUGAGCAAGUGAUGGUGCGAUGGUAUUGUUGUUCAUGGAGUUUCUCCCGACGAAACUAGGCAACGGGAAAUCAUGUACCGUCUUGUCUGGAUUUUCCGUCGUCCAGUUGAUGAUAACUGGAACCAAGUUAGUAGCGAAAUCAUUUCUGUAGGCAGUUAUAGCUGGAUUGACUGCCUCAUGUAGCAACUCAUAUUUGUCCUCGGCUGCUUUUUUCGCGUCCUCAGCUGCUUUUUUCUCAACCGCAAGCUUCACCUUCGCAUCGAUGUCCGUCUGACUAAACUUAUUUUUCUGCUUCUUGACCUCCGGGCCCUCGUUGUAAAGCACCUUCCAUGUGGCGCCGUCUCCAGCGCCGUGCACACGACCAUAUUGCGGCCGCUGGCCCAAAGGGAGUCCCUUAAGUUCGUUCAAGGCCCGGUUGAGAGGGGUGUCCCACUUGGGCCUCAUCGGAGAAGUAGGGCUUUCGGCUGCAAGCCGGUGUUGCUUCUCCAAUAGUCUAAUCAAUUUCCUCGUGAUCUUGUCCGUGUAAAAAACCUUUUUCUCCUUGUCCCACUUGUAGCGGGCCCUGAUGAAGUCACGCUCCAAGGGGUUGGUGAACUUCGCGAAGGGGUCUGGGAGACCCGCGGCUUCACGUUCCGCGUCCUCCUUAUCCCAUAUGGGCCUUUUACCGAGGUAGCCACGGCUUCCGAGGCGAUGCUUCCCCGUGUUGCUUUGCUGAAGGCUCUUGAAUUUCGCAGCCUUAGCCUUGGCUGCCUCGGUAGCGCAAGUGUCCUUGAACUUUUCGAACUCCUCUUCCAUAAGUGUCGGAUUUUCCAGAAGAAUCUUGGACAAGGGUUCAUCAGCCUCAAUAGCUCGUUUCACCCUCCCUUUCCAGGAGGCCAAAUCAUUGUUGAACAUGCCCAUGGCGUCAUUGUUAAUCUUUUUCAUCUUCAGAUCAUCCCACGGUUGUUCUAUGUUAUCAUCCCGGUCGGGGAACUUGAAUCUCUUAUGCAACUUCGUUAGGAGCAACUGCGUCAAAUGUUCUUUACUCCUUAAUUCAUCGUUGUUGAUGCUCGCGCAUUCCCGUAGGAUGCGUCCUACUUGGUUCCCAUAGCACUUGCGAGGUUAUUCCGUCUCUAACGGCUCCAACUUGCCAAGUGCCAUCUUUGUGAUCACAAGUCGUCCAAUCCCUAGUUUGUUAGGUCUUCGUAUCCUCUGCUUCUUAUGCUUCCUCUUUUCGGUAGCGGCAUCGGGGCUGGUACCUUCCCCGCUGGUAUCUUCCCCGCCGGUACCUUCCCUGCCGGUACCUUCCCCACCGGUCUCGGUGCCGGCGCCGUCGGUGUCAAUGUCGGUGUCAGUACCAUCAUCAAGGCCGACCUGCAAACCUUGCUUAGCAGUCAUAUAGUCGAGGUACUCUUGUUCACCCUCAUAAUCCAUCUCGUCUGCAUCUUGGUCAGAAGGCCCAGUUUCUUCGUUGUUCGACAUGUUUCCUAUGAUUAAGUAUCCUCAUUUAUUUCUAAAAGUAUGAAUAAAUGAGAAAUGACAUAAAAAGAAAUCUAUGUGCCAGCACUCGAUAUGCCAACUAUGUAGCACAAAUCAUGCCUUUAUUCACGGGAAAUUUCGGCAUGACCUUUGCUAAAAAAUGGACAUAUCGAGCGCCUGAAAUUCACCGGAACGGAAAUGAAUCAACAUUCCGGCGUAACAUAGGCCACUCAGAUCAUUUUCCAAACAUGACAUAUCCACAUAUCACAUGUCCAGUUCAAAUUUGCAUAUAAAUUCAGCUAAUUUUGAAACCUAGCUAAAUUCAUAACUAAAUAGAUAACCUAAUUAACAUACUGCCCAACUAAAACCUAUGUAAAUUAACCGAAGAACCCUGGCAGAGAGAGAGAGUGGGAGGGGAGGUUUACAGAGGGUGCAGGGGCUAGGAGGCAGGCCCGACGAUGGCCGAGGUUGGGAGGGGAGGAAGCAGAGGAGGGAGGCGAGGGCCGACGGGUCGGGGGCGAGCGCGCCGGAGUCGGGGGCGAGUGCCUGGGUCGGGGGAGAGCGCCGGNNNNNNNNNNNNNNNNNNNNNNNNNNNNNNNNNNNNNNNNNNNNNNNNNNNNNNNNNNNNNNNNNNNNNNNNNNNNNNNNNNNNNNNNNNNNNNNNNNNNNNNNNNNNNNNNNNNNNNNNNNNNNNNNNNNNNNNNNNNNNNNNNNNNNNNNNNNNNNNNNNNNNNNNNNNNNNNNNNNNNNNNNNNNNNNNNNNNNNNNNNNNNNNNNNNNNNNNNNNNNNNNNNNNNNNNNNNNNNNNNNNNNNNNNNNNNNNNNNNNNNNNNNNNNNNNNNNNNNNNNNNNNNNNNNNNNNNNNNNNNNNNNNNNNNNNNNNNNNNNNNNNNNNNNNNNNNNNNNNNNNNNNNNNNNNNNNNNNNNNNNNGGUCGGGGGCGAGGGCGGGGUCGGGGGCGAGCGCCGGCGCCGGGUUCGGGGGCGAGCGACGGGGGGAAGAGAGAGUGGGGAUUUGGGGGGAAAAGGCGGGACAAAGCAGGGAUAGUGAGAAUUUUGGGUUAAGUAGACGUAGCAGUAGCGCGUUUGGCCAAAACGCGCUACUACUACCUUCAGUAGCUGCAGCGGUUUAUAUGAAAAGCGCUGCUACUACCUUCAGUAGCUGUAGCAGUUUAUACGAAAUGCGCUACUACUACCUUCAGUAGCUGCUACUACUUCCAGUUUCCCUUUUUCUUUUCCUUUAUUUUCUCCCACUUUUAUUUCCAGAGAGCAGUGAACGAAGGGAGGGCGAUAUAUAUUGCAUCAUCUGAUGGUUAAAUAUGUAUGCAAAAUAGGAACAUAUAUAUUACAUCAUUGGACCCAUGCAUAAUAAUGGCUAAGUGUGUAUACAAAAUAGGAACAUAUAUAUAUAUAUAUAUUACAUCAUUUGACCGAUAACAUAUGGUUCCUCAGCGCUGAUGUUUUCGUUUUUGAGUCAGCUUCUUUCCCUUCUUGUUCGUCGAAGAAUAAUUGAGCCCCUCAUUGUGACUUUGCCUUUUCCAUGGAGUACGAUUUUUCUUAGGUAAUGUAGUAUUGAUUCUUCUUUUGACGUAUACUUCAUCAUCAUCGUCAUCUUCCCUCAUUGGGUUGCCGUACUGAUCAUAGUCUUCCUCGUUGGUGACUCCAUCCAUUCCAAUGAUGUUCCUUUUGCCUCUCCUCAAGACAACACGACUGGGAUUGCAUGGGUCGGUUAUGAAGAAGCAUUGUGUCACGUGCUUAGCGUGUACCCAUGGCUUGUUAUUUGCGAUAGCGUUCACGGUAGCGCUCUUGGCGUCGGGUAUACUCAUGGUAGUGAAAAUCCGGUUUUAUCUUUCGACAUUCUUUGCCCAUCUGACACGGAACAUCGUUGUGUUGUGCAGUCCAGAGUAGUCAAGCUCCCAGAUCUCCUUGACCCUUCCAUAAAAUUGUUCAGUUGCGCCGUUGUCGCUGCCGGUCAUGCAUUCCAUCGUCACCCCUGAGUUCUGAUCAUCACUAUCCAUAUCUUUGGCCUCUGUGUAGAACGUGUAUCCGUUGAUAUCAUAUGCCUGAUAGGUUACGAGGUUGGGCAAAGGGCCAUGUGCUAAGGCGUAUAUGAGCAAUCCGUCCAUAGAGCCCUCCUCCGGGGGAUUAGCAAUAAUAUGCUCUUUGAACCAAUGCAGGAAAGUGGAGUUGUGCUCUCUAGUAACUUCGACGUUCAUCCUGCAUACCCCCCGGUCACGAUACUUCUUUGCGAUAAUUUCUUUGUGCAGUGCCACAAAAGGAUCUACCUCGUCUAGGUGUUGUAGCACUACCAAUUUUGCUCUGUCAAAGUCGCUGCGUCGAUCUGAGUAUGCCACGUGCAGUUCCCUGCGACCAUUGCAGUGACCAUCUCCUUCGAGCCUCCCAUCGUGCUUGUUAACGGGCAAACCAAUACUAACACCAGGCGGCUGGUCUGCGCCAUAUAGAAAAUUCUCACAGAAAGAGAUGCACUCUUUUGUCAAAUAGCCCUGGACAAUGCUUCCAUCCGGACGGGACGUGUUACGAACGAAUCCUUUGAUGAUCCCAUUCAUCCUCUCAAACGGCAUCAUGUUGUGCAGGAAUGACUGCCCCAGGUCUAUUAUGUCAUCCACAAUAUGGACACACAGAUGCACCAUCACGUCAAAGAACGCGGGCGGGAAGUACAUCUCAAGCUCAUUCAGUAUCACAACGAUCUCUUCCUGUAGCCUUCGGAGCUGCUUCAAACUAAUCAACUUUCGAGAGAUGAUGUCGAAAAAGUUACAGAGACCAAUAAGCGUGUCACGGACGUGCUUGUCCAUUAUCCCUCUAAGGGCAACAGGUAGUAUCUGCGUCAUCAUCACAUGACAGUCAUGAGACUUCAUCCCGCUAAACCUUUUCUUGUCUGUGUCUAGAUAUCUGCUUAUCUUACCACAGUAACCGGAACUAACUUUGACUCCGGUAAGGCACUUAAAGAAGGCAUUGAUCUCAGCCUGACUUAAGGUGAAGCAAGAAGGGGGGCAAUAAUCCUCUUUCUUUCUUUUCUUGCCCUUCUUCUCCCGUGCCUCUGUCUCCGUCUCUGUCUCGUCUGACAUUUUACGGGGCGGCAUGUGUAGAUCUUCCCUGAUUUUCAAAUCUUGCAAGUGUUUUCUUGCCUUCGGCCCAUCCUUGGUCUUAUCCGGCAUGUUCAUCAGUGUUGCAAGCAAGCUCUCAAGGACAUUCUUACAGAUAUGCAUUUGAUCAAGGCAAUGAGGUGUAUUGAGUUUGUGCCAAUACUCCAAGUCCCAGAACACAGACCUCGUCUUCCAUACCUUCAGCAGCGGGUCCGGCGCCUUUCUCAUCGUCUUUCCCGGCGCGGGGCACUCCUUCCAAUUUUUCAAUAGCUCAUCGAUUUCGGCACCGCUCCGCUUACGUGGAGGUCCUCGAUGCUCAGCGUGACCAUUGAAUAGAUCUCCACGGUUUCUCCACGGGUCAUCCUGUUCAAGCCAUCUUCGAUGCCCCAUGUACAUGAUUUUCCCAGACCUGCCAUCUUUCCUUGACGUUAGCUGCUGAGACGUCUUAUCAUCCAUGCACCGUGUGCAUCUGCAAUAUCCAUGGCACACCUGGCCUGCCACAUAUCCGUAACCAAGAUAGUCCUGCACUGUCAUGAUCAGCGCGGCUCUCAUGUUGAAAUACCCGCCUUUGCUGGCGUCCCAUGUCUUGGCCGGUGUUUUCCAUAACGUGUCUAACUCCUCUUGAAGUAGCCCCAGAUACAAAUUAAUAUUAUUUCCUGGUUGUUUCGGCCCUUGAAUAAGCAUGCUCAUGUGAAUGUACUUCGAUUUCAUGCACAACUAGGGGGGGAGGUUGUACAUCCAUACAAACACGGGCCAUGUGCUAUGGUUGGUGUUCUGGUUGCCAAACGGAUUCAUGCCAUCGGUACACGCGCCGAGCACGAUGUUCCUUGCAUCACAUUCAAAAUACCGAUAGAAGCUGUUCAACGCUCUCCACUGGCUUCCAUCCUUCACGUGUCUCAGCUUCGGAUCAUCUCCAUCGUCGGGCUUCUUCCUCUCGGCGUGCCAGCGCAUUAGCUUUGCUUCCUUGGGAUCUACAAAAUACCUCUGGAGACGGGGAGUGAUCGGUAAGUACCAUACAACUUUCUGGGGACAUUUCUUCCCGGCCUUCUUGUAUCGAGAAGCAUUGCGCACCGGAUAGCUUGUUUUUUCCGCGUGCUCCUUCCGAUAAAUUAUGCAAUCGUUGAUGCAUGCAUGGUAUCUAACGUGUGGCAGAUCAAGAGGGCACACGAUCUUCUUGGCCUCAUCAACACUAGUGGGACAUAGAUUACCCGCGGGAAGAACAUCUUUUAGGUACUUGAGAUGCUCAUCGAGGCUAGUGUCGGUCCAUUUGUUUUUUGCCUUCGUCUUCAGGAGUUGGAGCGUGAAACUCAAGCGGGUCACCUCAGGAUUGCAACCAUCAUACAAUGGAGUGUUCGAGUCUACCACCAGUUGCUCCAGCUUAGCCUCCUCUCUAGAAGCAGCUCUGUCAGUACUCGUCUCCUUGCGAAGCAAUGCUUGAACAUGAGGGUCCCGCACGAUUGAACUUAGUACCGACGAACUCUGCUGCGUGGAGUCCAUGUCAUUCUUUCCGCCGCCAUGUCUGGCCCCUUCUCCUCCGCCAUGUCCGGCCCCUUCUCCACCGCCAUGUCUGGCCUCUUUCCCGCCGCCAUUAUCGACCAUCUCUUCGUCUUGCCCCGUGUCAUCAUUGCCUGCCCCGUCGGCAUCCUCAACAUCGUCAUCCUCAUCUUCAGUUAUCCACCGAGUAUAGCCAUCCAUGAAACCAGUCAUGAGCAGGUGCGCUUCGACACGACCAUCGUCAUAGGGGUCGAGCCAAACUAUUCCUUUGCAUUUUCGACACGGACAUAAAACCUCUGUCUGUUUAUUUUCUUUCAUGUCCUGCACCGCCGACCGCAACCACCUGUCUACCAUCGUUCCACUGACCAUCGUCAACUCUGCACGGUAAUAAUAAAAAAAUUGAUUAUAAAAAUGCGUGCAUGCAUCAAAGUCAUACAAAAAUUCGGCAUGACCUUCCCUAAAAAUAGGACAUAUAUGGAUCUAGAGUUUGCCCGGAAUUCGCCGAAACGGAAAUAAAUUGACAUUUCGGCAAAACUUAGGCAACUCAAAAGCACAAUUUGGCGUCAACUCAUGCCACACACACAAUUUCCACAAACAUAUCACACACACAUAAACAUAUUUCCAUUUUGCAAAAGCAUGAAAUUUUCAUCACCUAUCUCGAGAUCGAGCACACGGUGGAGAUGAUGUUGAGGGAGAUCAAAAGUGCACAAAGCUCUUCUUGAUAAACAUAAAUCUAGUUAGGGGGCAAAUAGGUCACUUAACUAAAUCCUACAUCUACCUAGCUACCUAAUUUGGGAGGAGACAACUUCAACUAGUGGAGGGGAAGGAAAAAGACAAAGGAGAUGCAUUAAUGGAGGUGGUGUAGUUAGGUAGGAGUAAUGAAGAGAGAGAAAGGUAGAUAGAAGAGAGAGAGUAAUGGGGGAGAAGUAUUGAGGAAGAAGAAGAGUGAGAGUGGGAGCAUGUGGGAGGUAGGGGAAAGGGAAGAGAGGAGGGGGAGGGGGGGAUACGGUGGGGAAAAGGUGGUGGGUUGGUGCGGAUUAGCAGUAGCGCGGGACGUAAAACGCGCUGAUGAUAAGGAAGUAGUAGCAGCGUGCUUUCGUCAGAAGCGCUACUGCUAACCGGGACAGAAAGUGUGUCCAAUUUGAAAAUUAGCAGCAGCGAGCUCAGAAAAACCGCGCUACUACUACAGCUUUAGCAGUAGCGCGGCUAUCGAUACCACACUGCUACUAAAUGGAGAUGAGGAGACACUGUUAGUCGAUAUUUGUAGCAGCGCGUGUUACACAGAGCGCGCUACUGCUAAACACUUGUCAGUAGCGCGGUUUACUCACACGCGCUACUGCUAAUUAGCAGCAGCGCUCCUUUUUGAGCAGCGCUGCUGCUAAGAUUCUGUGUAUAGGGUUUUCCCUAGUAGUGGUGUUAUGACAUUAUUUAUUUUAUUUAAAUAUAUUUUUUCUUAUCCAGUUGGAAUUUUUUUACACGUUGUGCAUCAAUGUAGUUUGUUGUGUAAUUGGACUAUGAGUAGGCGUUAAGGGUCAUGUUUGCGUCCUUAACAGUUGAACUUGGUGUCUGACGCAUUUCUGAUGCCUAAAUAAUUCCUUUCAUUGUUACCUUGCUCCAUGGUGUCCUUUUUAUCUCUCGUUGGAAAAUGCUUUUGUGGUCUAUAGUGGUUGUGGGACUUUAGGUCAACUCCAUCACGCAUCACCACUAAAUGUCUGAUCGGACGUCCCAAACAUUCUUAUUGCCAUUCAAUGACAGUCAUCAAAAUUGUCCAGACUGGUCCUAAUGUUUGCAUGUUCAGAAAAAUUUAGGGUUAAUUUGCAUCCGCGUAGCAUCUAGUCUGAAAAGAACUAUUUAAAGUAGAUCGGAAAUCAUUUGCUCUGAUCAAUCUAAUCAAUUUUUUCUUACACUUAGCAAAAUUAAACACAUAGCAAUGGACUAAAUUUGAAUAUAUGAUAAGUUUAUUAUACAACCAUAAUUUUUAAAAUUGGACAUAUAUUUUUCUAAUUAUAAAACAUCAUUGGAAGUAAAGUGAUUUUUAAAAAUAAUUUUUCUUUGACAUUCAUGGCGGCUUAAAAACCUAUGCUUAAAUAAAGUUUUCCCAGUUUCAUAUAAAUAAUAGUCAUUUAUAUGUCACCAUGGAUCCAUUUUAGUGUGUUUGUGUGUGUGUGUGUGUGUGUGUGGUGUGUGUGUGUGUGUGUGUGUGUGUGUGUGUGUGUUCACACUUUUAAAUACUCUUAAAUUUCUAACUGAUAAAUUAGCAGAGGUUUCUAGAGUGCAUGAGUAUAUAUGUUAUGUCUACAUGCACAAGGAGUUCUAGAGUGUAUAUAGCACCUCAAGCAGAAUUCCCAAAACACAUCAACCUUCUAAAAAACUGCUAUUAUAAAGAACAUAGGGACAAUUCCACUCCAGCAUAUUGUGUAUAAUGGCAUGUGUACUUAUACGAACUUUAGAGGGCACUCGGUGAGUACAUUUUGGCUCCCGUGUCCAUCGAGUACAUAUCAGGUACCCCCUAGUACUCCGGUAUAUAUCCGAUAACCCCUGAAACCAUUCCGGUGUCCGAAUAUAGUCGUCCAAUAUAUCAAUCUUCAUGUCUCGACCAUUUUGAGACUCCUCGUCAUGUCCGUGAUCACAUCCGGGACUCCGAACUAUCUUCGGUACAUCAAAACCUAUAAACUCAUAAUAUAACCGUCAUCUAACUUUAAGCGUGCGGACCCUACGUGUUCGAGAACUAUGUAGACAUGACCGAGACACGUCUCUGGUAUAGAGGAACCUGGAUUCUCAUAUUGGCUCCCACAUAUUCUACGAAGAUCUUUAUCGGUCAAACCGCAUAACAACAUACGUUGUUCCCUUUGUCAUCGGUAUGUUACUUGCCCGAGAUUCGAUCAUCGGUAUCUCAAUACCUAGUUCAAUCUCGUUACCGGCAAGUCUCUUUACUCGUUAUGUAAUGCAUCAUCCCAUAAAUAACUCAUUAGCUACAUUGCUUGCAAGGCUUAUAGUGAUGUGCAUUACCGAGAGGGCCCAGAGAUACCUCUCCGACAGUCGGAGUGACAAAUCCUAAUCUCGAAAUAUGUCAACUCAACAAGUACCUUCGGAGACACCUGUAGAGCACCUUUAUAAUCACCCAGUUACAUUGUGGCGUUUGGUAGCACACAAAGUUUUCCUCCGGUAAACGCGAGUUACAUAAUCUCAUAGUCAUAGGAACAUGUAUAAGUCAUGAAGAAAGCAAUAGCAACAUACUAAAUGAUCAAGUGCUAAGCUAACGGAAUGGGUCAAGUCAAUCACAUCAUUCUCCUAAUGAUGUGAUCCUGUUAAUCAAAUGACAACUCAUGUCUAUGGUUAGGAAACUUAACUAUCUUUGAUUCACGAGCUAGUCAAGUAGAGGCAUACUAGUGACACUCUGUUUGUCUAUGUAUUCACACAUGUAUUAUGUUUCCGGUUAAUACAAUUCUAGCAUGAAUAAUAAACAUUUAUCAUGAUAUAAGCAAAUAAAUAAUAACUUUAUUAUUGCCUCUAGGUCAUAUUUCCUUCAGUCUCCUACUUGCACUAGAGUCAAUAAUCUAGUUCACAUCGCCAUGUGAUUCAACACUAAUAUUCACAUCUGUAUGUGAUUAAUACCCAUAGUUCACAUCGUCAUGUAAUCAACACCUCAAGGGUUUACUAGAGUCAAUAAUCUAGUUCACAUCGCUAUGUGAUUAACACCCAAAGAGUACUAAGGUAUGAUCACGUUUUUCUCGUGAGAGAAGUUUAGUCAACGGGUCUGUCACAUUCAGAGCCGUAUGUUUUUUGCAAAUAUUCUAUGUCUACAAUGCUCUGCACGGAGCUACUCUAGCUAAUUGCUCCCACUUUCAAUAUGUAUCCAGAUUAAGACUUAGAGUCAUCUGGAUCAGUGCCAAAACUUGUAUCGACGUAACCCUUUACGAUGAACCUUUUGUCACCUCCAUAAUCGAGAAACAUAUCCUUAUUCCACUAAGGAUAAUUUUGACCAAUGUCCAGUGAUCUAAUCCUAGAUCACUAUUGUACUCCCUUGCCAAACCGGGGCAGAGUAUACAAUAGGUCUGGUCCAUAGCAUGGCAUACUUUUAUAGAACCUAUGACUGAUGCAUAGGGAAUGACUUUCAUUCUCUUUCUAUUUCCUACCGUGGUCGGGAUUUGAGUCUUUCUCAAUUUCAUACCAUUGCAACACAGGCAAGAACUCUUUCUUUGAUUGAUCCAUUUUGAACUACUUCAAAAUCUUGUCAAGGUAUGUUCUCAUUGAAAAUCUUAUCAAGCGUCUUGAUCUAUCUCAAUAGAUCUUGAUGCUCAAUAUGUAAGUAGCUUUACUAAGGUCUUUCUUUUAAAGAACUCCUUUCAAACACUUCUUUAUGCUUUCCAGAAAAAUUCUACAUCAUUUCUGAUCAACAAUAUGUCACUCACAUAUACUUAUCAGAAAGGUUGUAGUGCUCCCACUCACUUUAUUGUAAAUACAGGCUUCACUUCAAGUCUGUAUAAAACUAUAUGCUUUGAUCAACUUAUCAAAGCGUAUAUUCCAACUCCGAGAUGCUUGCACCAGUCCAUAGAUGGAUCGCUGGAGGUUGCACAAUUUGUUAGAACCUUUAGGAUUGACAAAACCUUCUGGUUGCAUCAUAUACAACUCUUCUUUAAAAAAUCUAUUAAGGAAUACAGUUUUUGACAUCCGUUUGCCAGAUUUCAUAUAAUGUGGCAAUUGCUAACAUGAUUCGGACAGACUUAAGCAUCGAUACGAGUGAGAAAAUCUCAUCGUAUUCAACACCUUGAACUUUGUCAAAAACCUUUUUCGACAAGUCUAUCUUUGUAGAUAGUAACACUACUAUCAAUGUCCGUCUUCCUCUUUGAAGAUCCAUUUAUUUUCUAUGGCUUUCCGAUCAUCGGGCAAGUCCACCAAAGUCCACACUUUGUUCUCAUACAUGGAUCUCAUCUCAGAUUUCAUGGAUUCAAGCCAUUUCGCGGAAUCUGGGCUCAUCAUCGCUUCCUCAUAGUUCAUAGGUUUAUCAUGGUCUAGUAACAUGACUUCCAGUACAGAUUACCACACCACUAUGGUGCGGAUCUUACUCUGGAAGACCUAUGAGGUUCGGUAGUAACUUGAUCUGAAGCUUCAUGAUCAUCAUCAUUAGCUUCCUCACUAAUUGGUGUAGGAAUCACAGGAACUGAUUUAUGUGAUGUACUACUUUCCAAUAAGGUAGCAGGUACAGUUACCUCAUCUAGUUCUACUUUCCUCCCACUCACUUCUUUUGAGAGAAACUCCUUCUCUAGAAAGGAUCCAUUCUUAGCAACAAAGAUUUUGCCUUCGGAUCUGUGAUAGAAGGUGUACCCAACAGUUUCCUUUGGGUAUUCUAUGAAGACGCACUUCUCCGAUAUGGGUUCGAGCUUAUCAGGUUGAAUUUUUUUCACAUAAGCAUCGUAGCCCCAAACUUUAAGAAACGACAACUUUGGUUUCUUGCCAAACCACAGUUCAUAAGGCGUUGUCUCAACGGAUUUCAAUGGUGCCCUAUUUAACGUGAAUGCAGCUGUCUCUAAUGCAUAUCCCCAAAACGAUAGUGGUAAACUGAUAAGAGACAUCAUAGAUUGCACAAUAUCCAAUAAAGUGCGGUUACUAUGUUAGGACACACCAUAACGCUAUAGUGUUCCAGGUGGUGUGAACUGUGAAACUAUUCCACAUUGUUUUAUAUGAAGGCCAAACUCGUAAAUCAAAUAUUCUCCUCCACGAUCAGAUCGUAAAAACUUUAUUUUCUUGUUACGAUGAUUCUCCACUUCACUAUGAAAUUUCUUUGAACUUCUCAAAUGUUUCAGACUUGUGUUUCAUUAAGUAGAUAUACUCAUAUCUGCUCAAAUCAUCUUGUGAAGGUCAGAAAAUAACGAUACCCGCCACGAGCAUCAACACUCAUUGGACCGCAUACAUCGGUAUGUAUUAUUUCCAACAAGUCAGUAGCUCGUUCCAUUGUUCCGGAGAACGGAGUUUUAGUCAUCUUGCCCAUAAGGCACGGUUCGCAAGCAUCAAAUGAUUCAUAAUCAAGUGAUUCCAAAAGUCCAUCAGCAUGGAGUUUCUUCAUGCGCUUUACACCGAUAUGACCCAAACGGCAGUGCCACAAAUAUGUUGCACUAUCAUUAUCAACUUCACAUCUUUUGGCAUCGAUAUUAUGCAUAUGUGUAUCACUAUGAUCAAGAUUCAAUAAACCAUCAACAUUGGGUGUAUGACCAUAGAAGGUUUUAUUCAUGUCAACAGAAUAACAAUUUAUUAUCUGUCUUAGAUGAAUAAUCAUAUCGCAAUGAACAUGAUCUAAUCAUAUUUAUGCUCAAUGCAAACACCAAAUAACAUUUAUUUAGGUUCAACACUAAUCUCGAAAAUAUAGGGAGUGUACGAUGAUGAUCAAAUCAAUCUUGGAACCACUUCCAACACACAUCGUUACUUCUCCCUUAACUAGUCUCUGUUUAUUCUGUAGCUCCUGUUUCGAGUUACUAAUCUUAGCAACCGAACAAGUAUUAAAUACUUAGGGGCUACUAUAAACACUAGUAAGGUACACAUCAAUAACCUGUAUAUCAAAUAUACCCUUGUUCACUUUGCCAUCCUUCUUAUCCACCAAAUAUUCAGGGCAUUUCCGCUUCCAGUGACCAUUUCCUUUGCAGUAGAAGCACUUAGUUUCAGGCUUUGGUCCAGUUUUUGGGCUUCUUCAUGGGAGUGACAACUUGCUUGUCAUUCUGCUUGAAGUUCCCUUUCUUUCCCUUUGCCCUUUUCUUGAAACUAGUGGUCAUGUCAAUCAUCAACACUUGAUGCUCUUUCUUGGUUUCUACCUUCGUUGAUUUCAGCAUCACGAAGAGCUCAAGAGUCGUUUUUGUCAUCCUUUGCAUACUAUAGUUCAUCACGAAGUUCCAGUAACUUGGUGAUGGUGACUAGAGAACCCUGUCAAUCACUAUAUUAUCUGGAAGAUUAGCUCUCACUUGAUUCAAGCGAUUAUAGUACUUAGACAAUCUAAGCACUUGCUCACUAGUUGAGCAAUUCUCCUCCACCUUUUAGGCGAAGUAUUUGUCACAGGUCUCAUACCUCUUGACACGGGCAGGAGUUUGAAAUACCAAUUUCAUCUCAUGGAACAUCUCAUAUGUUCCGUGACGUUUCAAAAAUGUUUUUGUAGUCCUGGUUCUAAGUCAUAAAGCAUGGUGCACAAAACUAUCAAGUAGUCAUCAUAUUGAGCUAGCCAAACGUUCAUAACGUCUGCAUAUGCUCCUGCAAUAGGUCCGUCACCUAGCGGUGCAUCAAGGACAUAAUUCUUCUGUGCAGCAAUGAGGAUAAACCUCAGAUCACGGACCAAGUCUGCAUCAUUGCUACUAACAUCUUUUAACUUAGUUUCUCUAGGAACACAUAAAAACAUAGGGAAGCAAUAACGCGAGCUAUUGAUCUACAACAUAAUUUGCAAAAUACUACCAUGACUAAGUUCAUCAUAAAUUAAAGUUCAAUUAAUCAUAUUACUUAAGAACUCCCACUUAGAUAGACAUCUCUCUAAUCAUCUAAGUGAUCACGUGAUCCAAAUCAACUAAACCAUAACCGAUCAUCACGUGAAAUGGAGUAGUUUUCAAUGGUGAACAUCACUAUGUUGAUCAUAUCUACUAUAUGAUUCACGCUCGACCUUUUGGUCUUUGUGUUCUAAGCCCAUUUCUGCAUAUUCUAGGCUCGUCAAGUUUAACCUGAGUAUUCUGCAUGUGCAAAACUGGCUUGCACCCGUUGUAGAUGGACGUAGAGCUUAUCACACCCGAUCAUCACGUGGUGUCUGGGCACGACGAACUUUGCCAAUGGUGCAUACUCAGGGAGAACACUUUUAUCUUGAAAUUUAGUGAGAGAUCAUCUUAUAGUGCUACCGUCAAUCAAAGCAAGAUAAGAUGCAUAAAGGAUAAACAUCGCAUGCAAUCAAUAUAAGUGAUAUGAUAUGGCCAUCAUCAUCUUGUGCUUGUGAUCUCCAUCUCUGAAGCACCGUCAUGAUCACCAUCUUCACCGGCGUGACACCUUGAUCUCCAUCAUAGCAUCGUUGCCGUUUCGCCAUCUAUUGCCUCUACGACUAUCGCUACCGCUUAGUGAUAAAGGAAAGCAAUUACAGGGCGAUUGCAUUGCAUACAAUAAAGCGACAACCAUAUGGCUCCUGCCAGUUGCCGAUAACUCGGUUACAAAACAUGAUCAUCUCAUACAAUAAAAUAUAGCAUCACGUCUUGACCAUAUCACAUCACAACAUGCCCUCCAAAAACAAGUUAGACGUCCUCUACUUUGUUGUUGCAAGUUUUACGUGGCUGCUACCACUAGUAGAAAACAGGGCUUUCGUCCAGGCCAGUUUAGCCCAUUAGUCCCGGUUCAAUCCAGAACCGGGACCAAUGGAGCUAUUUGCCCCGGUUCGUGAGCCCAGGGGGCCGGCCGGGCCACGUGGGCCAUUGGUCCCAGUUCGUCCGGACCUUUUGGUCCCGGUUGGUGGGACGAACCGGGACCAAUGGUCCUGGCUCCUGGCCCACCACUAUUGGUCCCGGUUGGUGGCACGAACCGGGACCAAAGGGUUACCUUUAGUCCCGAUGCAUGCCACCAACCGGGACUAAAGGGUUGGCCCUUGUUGCACCCAGCUUUUAGUCCCACCUCGCCAACCGAAGGGCGCCCACACCUGUUUACAAGCCCGUUCCACUCUGUGUUGUUGAUCUCCUCUCAAAGUGAAAAUAGAUGCACCUAUAGAGGAAAUUGGACCUACAUUUAUAAAUAGAAACUGAUUAUGAAUUUAUGUUUAAUUUUCUCUAUAAGUGCAUCUAUGUUCACUAACAGAGAAGUUUUUAUUUUUUGUGACCUAAAAGAAAAAAGAAAUCACCAAAAAACUGUAAGUAUUUAUUUCUAAGUAGAACUGAAAAAAUAAUGGCACUAGUAAAGUUAAUCACAAACUUCAAAUUCACACAAAUUUCAAAGAAUUCAAUUUAACUAUUCACACAAAUUUCAAAGAAUUAAAAAAUAAAGCAAAAAACCAAAAGAAAAUAAUUAAUGCAGAAAACAAAACAAAAAAACUGGAAAAAACUAAAAAUAGCAACAAUAAGUAUUUUAUUGUAAGUAGAAACAAAAUAAAAUGCAUAAAGCAACAAAGAAAACAAAAAAAGAGUUUCCAAAUUUGAAAACUAAUGGCACUAACAGAAAGUUUAUAAUUUUUCUAAAACUAAAAGCAAAAAGAAUUAAAAAAUAAAGCAAAAAACAAAAGAAAAUAAAUAAUGCAGAAAACAGAACAAAAAACUGAAAAAAAUAAAAAUAGCAACAAUACGUAUUUUGUUGUANNNNNNNNNNNNNNNNNNNNNNNNNNNNNNNNNNNNNNNNNNNNNNNNNNNNNNNNNNNNNNNNNNNNNNNNNNNNNNNNNNNNNNNNNNNNNNNNNNNNNNNNNNNNNNNNNNNNNNNNNNNNNNNNNNNNNNNNNNNNNNNNNNNNNNNNNNNNNNNNNNNNNNNNNNNNNNNNNNNNNNNNNNNNNNNNNNNNNNNNNNNNNNNNNNNNNNNNNNNNNNNNNNNNNNNNNNNNNNNNNNNNNNNNNNNNNNNNNNNNNNNNNNNNNNNNNNNNNNNNNNNNNNNNNNNNNNNNNNNNNNNNNNNNNNNNNNNNNNNNNAAUUAAAAAAUAAAGCAAAAAACAACAAAAACUAAAUAAUGCAGAAAACAGAACAAAAAACUGAAAAAAAAUAAAAAUAGCAACAAUAAGUAUUUUGUUGUAAGUAGAAACAAAAUAAAAUAAAUAAAGCAACAAAGAAAACAAAAAAAGAGUUUUCAGAUUUGAAAACUAAUGGCACUAACAGAAAGUUUAUAAUUUUUCUAAAACUAAAAGCAAAAAGAAUUAAAAAAUAAAGCAAAAGACCAAAAGAAAAAUAAACCAAAACCAAAAUAAACUAAAUAAAGCAACAAAUAAAACAAAAAAACAAAAAAAUGCCACCUACUGGGCCCCCACGGCCUGAAUACGACUAGAAACCCUAUGGGCCAGGAUUCAGGCCCGUGGAAGGCCUAGUAGGCCCACAGGCACAGAUGGCAGAGUUAGGCCCGAAAGCCUGCUUUAGAGAGGAGCUCGAGAGGGGAGCCGCACCGCACCUUAUAAACUGGUGCGGCUCCCUCUCAACUAGCGAGGUGGGACUAAACAUUUGGCGCGGGGCAGCACAAGGCCUUUGGUCCCGGUUGGUGGCACCAACCGGGACUAAAGGGGGGCAUUAGUCCCGGUUGGUGGUCCCGGUUGGUGGUCCCGGUUAGAUUUUUUUGUUUUUUGCAUUUUUAUAAAAAUGUAUAUAUGUUCUCUGUGUAUAUAUAUGUUAUGUUUAUAUGUAUGUAUGUUAUGUUUAUAUGUAUGUAUCUUUAUAUGCAAAGCAUAUGCAAAGAAAAAUGUAUGUAUGGUCAUAUGCAAAGAAUUUUUUUUUGUUUUUUGCAUUUUUAUAAAAAUGUAUAUAUGUUCUCUGUGUGUAUAUAUGUUUUAUGUUCAUAGAUUUUUAUUUGAACAUUAUUUAAAAAAAACAAGCAAUACAAGAAGAAGAAAAAGAAUGAGAGGAAAAAGGAAAAAAGAAGAGGAAGAAAGGAGAAGAAGAGGGGAUAUGAAGAAGAGGAGAAAUAAAUAAGAAGAAGAAAAAAGAAGAAAAAGAAGAGGAGAAGAAGAAAAGAAUAGAGGAGAAGAAGAAAAAAUAGAAAAUAUUCUAUUUUUUCUUCUUCUCCUCUUUUUUUUCUUCUUUUUUUUCUUCGAUCUUCUCCUCUGUCAUCGUCGAUAUACCCCUCCCGAUAACUUCAACAUGAGAGGAGAAGAAGAAAGAAAGGAAUAGAGGAGAAAGAAGAAACUUUGACACGAGGGGGGGGGGUACCGAUACCCCCUCCCCGAUAACAUUAUUUUCCCAUGUAUAUGUAUGUUGCUUCAUUGUCGAUAUAACGAGGGUGUCGAGGAUCACCGAGGGGUCGAGGGUCGGGAACUAGGGUAGAGGGUCGAGGGUCGUUAAGGGGUCAAGGGUCGAAGGUUUCAGGGUCGAGGGUCGUUAAGGGGUCAAGGGUCGAAGGUUUCAGGGUCGAGGGUCGUUAAGGGGUCAAGGGUCGAAGGCUCUCGACCCCUCGGCGAUCCUCCCGACCCCUUGACCCUCGACCGCUCGGCGAUCCACGACCCUCUACCCUACCACGGGCGUCGAUGCCCACGUCACUUGUGGGACAUAGAUGUAGUGUUCAAUGCCGACCCCCUCCCGAUAGCUUCAACACGUGGGGGGGUCGAUAUUACCCCCUCCUAGCUUGAAGCGUUCUCGAGGCCACCCCCUAACCCUUGAAGCGUUGUCGAGGCCACCCCAAACCCUAGAGAAGCAGCGUCGAGGCCACUAAUAUGAUUCCUUAUUGUGAUUAGCUAGCUAGUUCUACGUUUGCCACUAAUAUAUCCAUAUCUGUCAUGUUUGAAUAAUAAUUGCCAUGUUGUAAAUAUUUGUAGAAACUAUGGACACCCCCCGAGACGAAGCACAAGAAGCGUUGUUGAGGGACAUAAUCGCAGAAGGAAGUGAUGCCCUCUCGAUGUUUCUCAACGACAACGAUGGUCUGGAAGGAGAGGGUGAAGAAGCAGCUGGCCCUCUCCUCAUUGAUUUACAUGGCUCCGAUGAUCCAAUGCCGGUGCAAGAAGGAGAGGGUGAAGAAGUAGACCGUGAGGACGGCUCCGGUGAUCACCAAACCGAGUCCGGCCAGGUAUAUAUAUUAGUUAAGCCUGUGCUGACUAGCUAAUUGAUGCAUUCAUUGUUUUGGUAUGUACACAUAUUAAUUAACUCUCGUCUUUGUUCUUUUUUCUAGCCCUCCGGAUCGAGCACAACUUCGGUAAAGAGACGAGGCCCGAAGAAAAAGUUGAGCUCGGAUGAAAAGUUUGAGAUCAUAUAAAUCGCGCGCGACGGCCAACCGAUUGAACCCUACCGGACAAAGAAGGCAUUUGUUGCUCAGUGUGGGGUUCUGGUUAGGGACAAGAUCCCGAUCAGCAUCCAGCAAUGGUGUAAGCCUAAGAACGAAGACCCUGAGGUGUCUUAUGUCAAUGAGAUGCAGAAAGAGAAUCUUUGGACUGAGCUGAAGUCAAAUUUCACCCUACCGCCAGAGGAUGAUCCAGAGAAGCCAGUUAUAGAGCCAUUAAUCAAGUCUUUUGCUCUGAGGAAGAUGGCAGACCUAUUCAGGAAUUGGAAGAAAGACCUCAAUAGGUAUGUCGAAAAAAAUGAGACACCAGAAUUCAUUGGCAAAUAUGAGAAGAUCAGAGAUGACUGGCCCGCAUUUGUGGCCCACAAGACAUCGGAAAAGAGUAAAAAAAUGUCGGUGACAAACAAGAGAAAUGCUGAGAAGAAGAAGCUUCACCAUCGCACGGGGUCAGGUGGCUACCUCGUAGCCCAGCCUAAGUGGGCCAAGGCUGAGAAUGAUCUGCUUGAUAAAGGGAUCGAACCAGAGACAAUGAACUGGCCAGAACGUUGCCGGACUUGGUUCUUUGGGGUCGGCGGAUCCUUGCACCCUAUAAUAGGGAAGUGCAUUUGGACGAAGGAACAAUUGGACAUACCAGUCAAGAAGCUUCAGCAAUAUAUCGAAGCAGCGCAGCAAGGGACGUUCGUUCCAGAUAGGGAGAAGGAUGAGCUCACAAUGGCCCUCGGCAAUCCUGAGCACCCUGGAGGGACACGAGGCACGCCAGGCUCCGUUUCGUGGAAGGCUGGAUUUCCGGACGCAGGGGGUUACAAAACCCACGAGAGGAGGAAGAAACUGGAGCAGAGCCAACUGCAGUCGCUGCACGAAAGGGUAAUGGGGCUAGAGGAACGAGAAGCAGAUCGCAGCAAAUGACCUGCCGAAGCUUCCCCCGAAGCUACCCCGCCAUCUCAGCGGAAAAGCAGCGUGGCUUCCACCGAGCUGCUUCAGCCAGAGGAUGCCUUGACGGCUCCUGCCAGCUAUCCCGUGGAUGCUAUCACGGAUGCUGAAAAUUGCCACCUUAUGGCGCAAUGGAGCAAUUUGAAGGUCAAGGCGGCUGUUGGCUCUGUUUAUCCUACUAAACCCGACUCAACUUUUCACUGCCGGCCGAUUCCAGAAGGAUAUGCUAAGGUGAUGGUCGAUGAAAUAACGGAGGGAUUUGAGGACCUCCGGCUUGACCACCCUACCGGUGAAGGGGAGUAUCGGCUGGGUUCUGCUCUGAAGACUCCAUGCCUAUGGCAGAAGGAUCUCAUCAACCUUCCGAACUGGACGCCUCCGCCUCCUCCUCCUACUCCGGCGAGUCAGGGCACUCCGCCUCCUCCACCGGCGAGUGACGAUCAGGGCACUCGGCCCGCUCCUUCUCCGGCGCGUGGCGGCACUCCGCCUCCUUCUCCGCCUGCGCCGGCGCGCCCGAGCAGCCAGCCUCCUCCUUUUUCGCCUCGUCAGCAAGGGCGGAAGAGACCCGUCGCUGCUCUGGCUUCUACGGCGCGUCGCAGUCCUUCUCCUCCACCUCGUAAGCAAGGAAAGAAGACAUCUGCUCCGUCUACUCUGCCGGCGUCUAGCAGUACAGCCAAAGGCGGGAGGAGAUACAGAUUCGGUCCUUCUCUGAAGACUCCAGAGAAGUUACCGUACGAGAGGAGCGAGGAGGAAAACACGAAGAUCGCACAGACCGAAGUGGAUGACUGGUUUCAAGGGUUGAAAGCAAAGAGACAUCCACCUCCGGAGGAGAAGGUAGAUCCGGUGAAAGGGAAGCGCACUCUGGCUGCCCUGACAAAACCACCCAAGUCUCCGUCGAAAGGCAACUAUGAGCACAUUAUUGGAAAGGCAUUUGCCGAAGCGGAGAGGUCGGGAAGUACUAAAAGUGAUCAAAGGAUGAAAGAACGACGAACUGGGAAACAAAUUGCCCAGCUCGGCGAACAAGCGAAGCAAUCGUGCCCCCCGCUCAAGGUGCCUGCUAGCGACAUCGUCGAUCCGGGGAUGGUGCCCGGUUAUGGCAAUCCUGCAAAUUACCUGCCCGACGAUGUACAUUAUGAUAUCUUGGAGGUGCAGAUACAAAGAUACGAGUACGGGAAGCCUCUCGUCAAAGAUGAAAGUUCUCUAUCAACGAUGAUGCGAAGAUUGCAUGAUUGGUACAUGAAAACCUGCAAAGAGUCUGAGGGGAGGAAUACUUUGGAUAUGAGAGUUAAAAAGGAGCAUGACCUCCUUGGAAUUGAACUGUUGCCUAUUCCAUUUGAGGAGUUCUAUCAGUUUUUCAAUCAAUUGGCCAUCAAUAAAGCAACGGUCACCUCCUACUGUAUGUAAGUAGUAGUACUUCCGUCAUUAAGUCUCUCUUAUAACUCAGCCCUUUCAUUUGCAUGUAUUUAUAAUUAUCCUCACUAUAUUAUGCAGAUUGAAGAUCGCCGAAUUGAAGAAAAGACAAGUGGGAGAUAUUCGGUUCAUUAACACGUAUCUCAUAGAUGCAACUGAGGUUCAAUAUCAUGCCCAAGAAACCGAGGCCAACUUGCUACGAUCGUUGGAAAUAAAUGAACACAAAGAUAUAAUACUCUUUCCUUACAACUUCAAGUGAGUGUUACUGUCUUGUGGCAUAUUCGGUUUCCUUAUUAGUCCAGGUUAUAGUAAUGUAAUAUUGAUGAGUUAUGCAUGUGUGCACAGCUACCACUAUAUUCUCCUAGAGAUUAAGCUUGAGAAGGGAGUAGUAACUGUCUUAGACUCCAAGCGAAAAGAUCCCAAGGAGUAUGCGGACAUGACUGAAAUGCUCGAGAAGUAAGUUAAAUCGAUCAUUAUCCACCAUAUCAGCAACUUUGUUCAUUUCUAAUAUCAAGUAAUUGUUUUCUUUGUAUGGCAGGGCUUGGAGAAAAUUCACCAAAAAAGCUCCGGGACUACCGAAGAAGCUGCAAUUUAGGCACCCGAAAGUAAGUACUAUAUAGUAGCAUAUUCCAGGCAUCUCCUAGUGAUUCAAGCGCUAGUUUCAUCAAUACCAUUUAGCAUGCUUGCUAAUUAUCAGUUUGAUUGACCUCUAUUUCUUGUAAAGUGGUUGUGGCAGGAACAAGGGAAUGAUUUCUGUGGAUACUACAUUUGCGAGUCCAUCCGCCACACGACCUGUGAGCGGGGCUACUCCGACAAACAAUAUGAAGUGCGUAAAUAACAAUAUUCACAAUUUUAUUUUAUUACCGUCAUUUGUGUUGAGUUUCAUUCAUUCAUAUAUAUAUAUAUGUAUUGACCCCCUUCUUAAAAUUAGAUGUUUCGGAUGCGGGAUGAACUCCUAGCACCAGAUCGCAUGCGAGCAAUUCAAGAGGAAUUGGCGGCAUUCUUUCUUGACCACGUGAUCGCUGAAGACGGAGAAUACUAUGUGGACCACGCGUCCGUAUUUUAGGAGAUUAUAUAUUUGUAAAAGAUAAUUAUUGUAUAUAUGUAGCCGGUAGUGUCGGAUAGAUAUACGAGAACUUGUUUGUUCGACCAAUCUCUCGGAGAAGGAGAGGUGGUCGAUAUCACUUCUCUCUGUAUGCAUAUAUGUUCAUGACGAUCUUCUGUUUGCUUACUAGCUAGCUAGCGUGUCUAGCUAGUCCUCUCUAUACGUAUGUAUGUAUGGUACGUAGCGUCGACCAAGCACGGACAAAAGAGAGGACACUUCUCUCUAUUAAUUAGCUAGCUAUAGCACAAUAUAUGAAACACCUAAAUUAACCCCCCAAAACCCCCCACCCCCCUUUCAAAAAAAACAAAAACCACAGCCACAUAAACGCUGACGCGUGGAUGCCUAUUGGUCCCGGUUGGUGCCACCAACCGGGACCAAAGGCCCUCCUGCCUGGGCUCAGGGGACAGGCCACGUGGAGGCCCUUCUGUCCCGGUUCUGGAUUGAACCGGGACUAAAGGGGUCAGGGCAUUAGUACCGNNNNNNNNNNNNNNNNNNNNNNNNNNNNNNNNNNNNCCCCCCCCUUUCAAAAAAAAACAAAAACCACAGCCACAUAAACGCUGACGCGUGGAUGCCUAUUGGUCCCGGUUGGUGCCACCAACCGGGACCAAAGGCCCUCCUGCCUGGGCUCAGGGGACAGGCCACGUGGAGGCCCUUCUGUCCCGGUUCUGGAUUGAACCGGGACUAAAGGGGUCAGGGCAUUAGUACCGACCCUUUAGUCCCGGUUCAUGAACCGGGACUAAAGGCCCUCACCAACCGGGACAAUAGGCCCUUUUCUACUAGUGUACGGGCUGAGCAAGAACCGUUCUUACCUACGCAUCAAAACCACAACGAUAGUUCGUCAAGUUAGUGAUGUUUUAACCUUCUCAAGGACCGGGCGUAGCCACACUCAGUUCAACUAAAGUUGGAGAAACUGACACCCGCCAGCCACCUAUGUGCAAAGCACGUCGGUAGAACCAGUCUCGCGUAAGCAAACACAUAAUGUCGGUCCGGGCCGCUUCAUCCAACAAUACCGCCGAACCAAAGUAUGACAUGCUGGUAAGCAGUCUUGUAUCGCCCACAACUCACUUGUGUUCUACUCGUGCAUAUAACAAUAACGCAUAAAACCUAGGCUCGGAUGCCACUAUUGGGGAACGUAGUAAUUUCAAAAAAAUUCCUACGCACACGCAAGAUCAUGGUGAUGCAAAACAACGAGAGGGAAGAGUGUGUCCACGUACCCUCAUAGACCGUAAGCGGAAGCAUUAGCACAACGCGGUUGAUGUAGUCGUACGUCUUCACGGCCUGACCGAUCAAGCACCGAAAGCACAGCACCUCCGAGUUCUUGCACACGUUCAGCUUGAUGACAUCCCUUGAAGUCCGAUCUAGCCGAGUGUUGAGGGAGAGUUCCGUUAGCAUGAUGGCAUGGUGAUGAUGAUGAUGUUCUACCGACGCAGGGCUUCGCCUAAGCACCGCUAUGAUAUUAUCGAGGUGGAUUAUGGUGGAGGGGGGCACCGCACACGGCUAAUAGAUCAAUGAUCAAUUGUUGUGUCUAGAGGUGCCCUCCUACCCCCGUAUAUAAAGGAGCAAGGGGGAGGGGGUGGCCGGCCAGGAGGGGGCGCGCCAAGGGGAUGGGAGUAGGACUCCCUCCUUUCCUUGUCCAAGUAGGAGAGGGGGAAGAAAGGGAGAAAGGGGAGGAAGGAAAGGGGGGCGCCGCCCCCCUCCUUGUCCAAUUCGGAAUAGAGGGGGAGGGGGCGCGUGGCCUGCCCUGGCCACCCCUCCUCUUCUCCACUUUGGGCCCAUGUGGCCCAUUAACCCCCAGUACUCCGGUAUAUAUCCGAUAACCCCUGAAACCAUUCCGGUGUUCGAAUAUAGUCGUCCAAUAUAUCAAUCUUCAUGUCUCGGCCAUUUUGAGACUCCUCAUCAUAUCCGUGAUCACAUCCGGGACUCCAAACUAUCUUCGGUACAUGAAAACAUAUAAACUCAUAAUAUAACUGUCAUCUAACUUUAAGCGUGCGGACCCUACGGGUUUGAGAACUAUGUAGACAUGACUGAGACACGUGUCCGGUCAAUAACCAAUAGCGGAACCUAGAUGCUCAUAUUGGCUCCCACAUAUUCCACGAAGAUCUUUAUCGGUCAAACCGCAUAACAACAUACGUUGUUCCCUUUGUCAUCGGUAUGUUACUUGCCCGAGAUUCGAUCAUCGGUAUCUCAAUACCUAGUUCAAUCUCGUUACCGGCAAGUCUCUUUACUCGUUACGUAAUGCAUCAUCCCAUAAAUAACUCAUUAGCUACAUUGCUUGCAAGGCUUAUAGUGAUGUGCAUUACCGAGAGGGCCCAGAGAUACCUCUCCGAUAAUCGGAGUGACAAAUCCUAAUCUGGAAAUAUGUCAACUCAACAAGUACCUUCGGAGACACCUGUAGAGCACCUUUAUAAUCACCCAGUUACAUUGUGACGUUUGGUAGCACACAAAGUUUUCCUCCGGUAAACGGGAGUUACAUAAUCUCAUAGUCAUAGCAACAUGUAUAAGUCAUGAAGAAAGCAAUAGCAACAUACUAAACGAUCAAGUGCUAAGCUAACGGAAUGGGUCAAGUCAAUCACAUCAUUCUACUAAUGAUGUGAUCCCGUUAACCAAAUGACAACUCAUGUCUAUGGUUAGGAAACUUAACUAUCUUUGAUUCACGAGCUAGUCAAGUAGAGGCAUACUAGUGACACUUUAUUUGUCUAUGUAUUCACACAUGUAUUAUGUUUCCGGUUAAUACAAUUCUAGCAUGAAUAAUAAACAUUUAUCAUGAUAUAAGGAAAUAAAUAAUAACUUUAUUAUUUCCUCUUAGGCAUAUUUCCUUCAGCAACGAUCCACUCUGGGACCCAAACACUUAACUCAUCAACUGGCACACAAGGUUAUGCCUGCUUACCGGGCCAGGGUACAGCACGCCCAUAACCUUCCCUAGAUGGAGGCACCAACCAAAGGCACGACAAUGAAACGCAUUAAGGCCGUCCCAUACUGGAAAAUGUGGUUGCACUGGGAAAACUCGUUUCAGCGGCACCACGACCAGGUCGACAACAUAUUCAAGUUGAGUGAUUUAUCAGGUUCAACUUAAAGUGAAAGUAACCGGUGUCAUAAUGCCAUGCUAUGCAUCACUAACAUUUGCAUCAAAUAAUCAUGAAAAUAACUAAAUCAACUACGCUCCCAUGGAGCCAUCACUAACUCAAGGUACUUCCCUGGUUAAGAUCAAACCUCACUUAAACUAGAACCAUUUCUAGCAAUCUCAUCAUUUUUCGUCAUGCAAGAAUAAUAAUUAAACUAACUAUUAACCUUCAUGACCAUAUCCUUUUAUUAUUACCCACAUCUAAGUUCUUGCUAGCUUAUCAGCAGGAUUCAUUUCAAAAUUUCUUUAAAUCAAACACACUUAACAUGACAAGAAUCUAACAGAAUAUAAUUAUCAUAAUAAUUAUUUGAAUGCAUGAAUAAUCAUAAGUUCAAGUAGAAAAAUCACAAAUAUUGAAGUGGCACUAUGAAAAUGUUGCUGUUGCUUGCCUUAGUGCUGAUGAGGUUCACAAACCUACUGGUGAUCCUCAAGACAAGCUUGCUCUUUUGAAAAUAAAUAGAACCACAAAAAGAAAACAUCAAGAAACCUUCUGAAAAUUACUAGAAAAUCUAGACAGCAAGGAAAAAUCCCAUCUUUUGGGUGCUGCUAGAUUUUUGGACAAAAAACACAAAGCAAAAAGAAUCAAUGUAUUUGGACUUAUAUAAUAAAAGUUGUGGUUGUUUGAAGUUUCCUGGAUUUAAAUGAAUUUGAUUUAAAAAGAAAAUAGACUGGGGGGGGGGGUGACGUCGAAGGCGUAAACACCCGGGGCGCCACCACUCUUACCGCUUCGCGCGCGCACUGAGUGGCUAACUAGCAGGCCCCGCUAGUCAGGACAGAAGGAGGGGGACAGGGAAACAGAGGGAGGCGGAGCUUCACCAGAGCACACGCCGACGACGAGGGUUCUUGGGGUUAAACGAGAGGGGGGAUCGAAGGAGAAGAAGGUGGCGCACCUACCCGUACCCGUAGCGUGUCUAGAGGUGACAUGACGGUGUCGGAAGCGGCCUCUCUAGCGGAGGCAGAGGGCAUCGGUUGUCGGAGGCGAAGACGACGGCGGCUCGGGGCGGCUCCAAGGGCUCCAACAGGGCGGAACGCCCUCACCGAAGAGAGGAGGAGGCCCUGGCAGGGUCGCCCUGGCCUGGGAGGGGUCGGAGCUGCGGGGAUUAUCCUGAGGGGAUCGCCGACGAGCUCGGGCUUCGGGACGGCAGCCGGCGGCCUGCCCGGCCGGGCUGCGGCUUCUACUGGUUUGUGGAGGGUGUGGGAGUAGCUGCGGGUGCUCAAGGACGCUGGGGGUGGCGACAUUUAUAGGCGGGCGGCGAGAGGGGUUCGGGCUCCGCCGAAGGACACCUGUCCACGACUCCCGGUGACGAACGACGCCAGCGAGAGAGGGGGAAGACGACGGAGGUCACGCGGAAACUAUUGGCGGGCGCGGACGAGCACAGGGGCGAGGGAGAAGACGACGAGCACAGUGCACCGUGUACUGUGUCGUUGGUCGGACCGUGCCCGUGCCCGCUGCAGCGAGCUCCGGCAUCGGCGAGUGCCAACGGUGAGUUAAGGGGGUGGAGACGGGGAUGGUGGAGAGGCUUGGCAUGCUCGGGCAGGCUAGGCAGCGAGCACACGCUCAACAGAGCGCUAGGCGGCAUGCAGAGCGCGUGUUUUGCAUGCCAGCACGCCCGGACAAACGCGGUCACCGCGUGAACCGUGACAUCAGGCCACCCUAAGUGCUAACUUGAUGUCUGGCAUGUAGUCCUUGGUGGUUUGAAGUGUUACCACGGUUGGGCUUGGAUCCAGGUGUAGUAGAAAUGGAUUUGUACUGCUAGCAAGUUUCUGGACAGUAACUUUGGAGGUUUACUAUGGCCAAACCACUGGGAGUUAAGGGCUGGGCUUUGGAGGCUAUCUUACACUUACUAAGGUAAAUAGGCACAAGAAAAACCAGCUACAAUGGAGCUAGUAAAAUGGUAGUUGCUGUAGAAACUACCAUUUAUGUUCAGAAAUGAAUUUAUUUUCUGUAGCCAAAAUAUUUGAAAGAGUGAUGAAAUAUUUUCGCUUGGAAAGGUGCCCUAGGGUUCAAAGAAUAAUUGGGAUUUUUCUCAGGAUUUUUGGGGCAAGAAAAAUUAGGGUUGCUUUGGAGCACAAAGGGCUAGCUAGGGUUUUGGAGGGCAAAAUGAAUAUUUUUCAUUCAAGAAAAAUAUUCCAAGCAAUAUUUUGAGUUGAUCCAGAGGUGAAAUGAUAGUUUUGAGGAGCAUAGGGAGCACUUGGGUGAAAUUUAAGGGGUACCCAAGUGGUUAAGUCCAAAUGAAGAGAUUCAAAACUCCAAAUUCAAAACCAACUCAACUGAAAACCAAACAGAGACAAAGAGGGCAAAAACCAGGCUGUCACAAACCUCCCCCACUUAGAAUGAAUCUCGUCCUCGAGAUUCGGUCGCUUGGGAAAACCAUUUUGGGUAACAUGUCGUUAGAAAUUCUUCUGAUUCCCAUGUUGAUUAUGACUCGGUAUGAUGCUUCCAUUGGACUUUGUAAAACUUCCGUGCUUUACUGCGUGUGACUCUUUCCAUCUAAUCCAAGAUUUUUACCGGCCUUUCUUCAUAUGUUAAAUCCUUUUCCAGCUCUAUUUCUGUCAAAUCAGUCUUUUUCUCAGGCGGCGGUAUGCACCGUCGCAAUUGUGAGACAUGGAAUACAUUGUGCACGUACGACAAUUUAGGGGGCAACUCCAACUGAUAUGCCACAGCACCCACUCGCAUCAUAACAGGAAAUGGACCAAUAAAUUUGGGUGCCAAUUUUCCACGAGUCUGAAACCUCUUGAUACCUUUCAUAGGCGUGGCUCGAAGAUAGACAUGUUCUCUGGGUUCAAAGCUGAUUUGACGGUGCUUUGCAUCAUAAUAACUUUUCUGUCGUGAUUUGGCCAACUGCAGUCUGUCUCUAAUUUCCUUGACUUGCUUUUCGGCUUCCAGUAUGAGAUCCGUUUCGAAAAUAUGGCUAUCUCCGGUUUGAGACCAAUUUAAUGGAGUGCGGCACUUACGGCUAUACAAAGCUUCAUAUGGUGACAUCUUUAAACUGGUCUAGAAGCUAUUGUUAUACGAGAACUCGACGUAUGGCAAGCAGUCUUCCCAUUUUGGGCCUUGGGCCAAAACACAUGCUCACAGCAUAUCCUCGAGUAUCUGGUUUACUCGUUCUGUCUGCCCAUCAGUCUGAGGGUGAUAAGUGGUAUUGUACUUCAACUCCGUCCCUAAGGCUUGAUGGAGACAGGACCAAAAAGCGGAGGUAAAAAGUGAACCUCGGUCAGAAGUAAUGGUACGGGGGACUCCAUGCAGACUUACUAUUCUGGACACAUAAAAUUGUGCAAGCUCAUCUGCUCGAUAUGAGGUUCUGAUCAAGGGGAAAUGGGCUACCUUGGUUAACAUGUCCACUAUGACCCAGAUCGCAUCAUUGCCCCGUCGGGUCUUAGGUAGUCUGGUGAUAAAAUCCGUACAGACAUCAUCCCAUUUCCAUUGUUACACUGGCAACGGUUGGAGAAGUACGGCUGGCUUUUGAUGUUCUGCCUUUACUUUAUUGCAUAUGUCGCAACAUGCCACGAAAUAAGCAAUGUCUUUCUUCAUUCCAUCCCACCAGAAUACUUGUCGAAGGUCUUCGUACAUUUUUGUACCUCAAGGAUGAAUGGAAUAUAAGGAUUUGUGGGCUUCUGAUAGGAUUUUCUGCUUUAAAUCCGCUUGAUUGGGCACACAAAUCCGUCCCCUAAAUCGGAGGGUACCGUACUGAUCCUUCGAGAAAUCGGAAUGCUUGACACGUUUUUGCAGAUCGGUGUCGCCUGGCUGGGCCUUGCGGAUUUCUUCCUCAAGAGUAGGGGUAACUUCCAGAAUAUUGGCAAGGCCAGCCUCAACUAUGACCAGGUUGAGAUGAGCAAUCUCUUCUUUAAGUUCAGGAGGCAAGGAUUCCAAUAGGACAUUUAAACGGACGGGCUUUCGACUGAGCGCAUCGGCAACCACGUUGGCCUUACCCGGAUGGUAAUUUAUUCCAAGGUCAUAAUACUUGACCAACUCAAGCCAUCUUCGUUGACGGAGAUUUAAAUCUGGCUGAGUAAAUAUAUAUUUGAGGCUUUUGUGAUCGGUAAAAAUUUGGCACCUUUUUCCGAUGAGGUAGUGUCUCCAAAUUUUGAAGGCACGAACCACCACGACCAUUUCCAAAUCAUGAGUGGGGUAAUUCCCCUCGUGGAGUCGUAGCUGUCAUGAGGCAUAAGCUACUACCUUGUCAUCUUGCAUAAGUACGCAUCCCAGUCCUUGCCUAGAAGCGUCGCAGUACACAUCAAAGAUGCGGUAGAUAUCUGGGAGUGUUAAUACUGGUGCAGUUGUCAGUCGUUUCUUUAACUCGGUGAAACUUUUCUCACAUUCCUUACUCCAUUCAAACUUCUUAUCCUUUUUGAGCAGCUCUGUCAUGGGUUUAGCAAUCUUGGAAAACCCUUCAAUGAAACGCCGGUAAUAUCCGGCUAAUCCGAGAAAACUCCGGAUCUGAGAUACGGUUGCGGGUGGCAACUAGUCGAGCACAUCCUUUACCUUGCUUGGAUCCACGGCUAUACCUUCAGCGGAUAGCACAUGUCCGAGGAAUACAACUUGCUUGAGCCAAAACUCACAUUUACUGAAUUUGGCGUAUAACCAAUGCUCACGGAGUCGUUGUAACACUGCUCGGAGGUGUGCCUUGUGCUCUUCUUCACUUCUUGAGUAAAUGAGUAUAUCAUCGAUGAAGACGACCACAAACUUAUCGAGGAAGUCCAUGAAUACCUUGUUCAUCAUAUGCAUGAAGAAGGUGGGGCCGUUGGUGAGGCCAAAAGACAUGACUGUAUAUUCAUAGAGACCGUAGCGAGUGGUGAAUGUGGUCUUGGGAAUAUCCUCCUUUUUAAUUUUGAGCUGAUAAUACCCAGUCCGUAAAUCGAUCUUGGAGAAUACCUUGGCCCCCACUAAGCUGAUCAAACAAAUCAUCAAUCCUUGGUAGAGGGCACUUGUUUUUGAUUGUGACAUCAUUCAGCUGGCGAUAAUUCACACACAUGCGGAGGCUGCCAUCUUUCUUGUCCACAAAAAUAGUAGGUGAUCCCCAUGGUGAGGAGCUGGGGCGGAUAUACCCUUUCUGGAGCAUUUCAUCGAGCUGUAUCUUUAGCUCCACUAAUUCUGAUGACGGCGUUCGAUAAUACUUCUUGUGUAUUGGGGUGGUUCCGGGCACAAGAUAUAUCGCAAACUCAAGCUCUCGAUCAGGUGGUAUGCCUGGCAAUUCUUUUGGGAAUAAAUCAGGAAACUCGCUGACCACCGGAAUUAAUUCCAUUUCAGCCAUUGCUGUAAAGACCAUUUCCUUGGAGGGUAUGCUCCUACGAGCAAUAAAUUUUGUAGUUUGUCCCUCUUGGCCGGUCAAGUUGACUUCUCGGGUUGCACAAUUAAUGCAUACUUGAUACUGAGUCAGCCAAUUCAUAACCAAGAUAACUUCCAACUUAUCAGAUUCAAUAAGUAUCAAAUAAGUUGGAAAACAGACUCCGUUGAUAUUGACUUCCAGAUUACGGCAGGCUAUAUUGCUUCUGAUUAGAGAUCCCGGGGUUUGUACCAUCAUAUUCUUGCCCAAAAGUGAACAAGGAAAUUUGUUUUGGGCAACAAAACUUCGAGAAAUGAAAGAGUGGGAAGCCCUAGAGUCAAAUAAAAUUACUGCAGGCAUGUUAUUAACAGGGAACAUACCAAUGACGACUUCGGGGUUCUCUUGGGCUUCAUCGGCAGAAAGGUGAUGAAUGUAUCCCGUGAGGUCGUGCUGAUUUGGGCAUGCCUCCAUAUAAUGGACUUGUGGCUUGAAUGUAGCAGUUGCCCGAUUGUUCGUGGGACACUGUUUGGCAUAAUGUCUGAUUUGCCCACAAUUGAAACAGGAAUUGAUGUGCAAAUGAUUCUCUAGAACUAGGUUGAGGACGUCAUUCUUGACUUGGGUGGUGGUUUUGUUAACAUUUUGCUGCCAAUUGGGCUUGUAUGCUACCUGAGUUGGCUGCCAGGUACGAAUCUUCUGUACUGGUUGCAUUUCUUUUCCUGGCUCAAACUUGCGCUUGUGAUCAUUGUUGGCAGGCUUAGCGUCUGGUACAAGCUUGUGUUCCCUUUCAGAAAUGAAAGCCUUGUUCACCAGAGUCUGGAAAUCUGGGAAAUCAAACAUGCUGAGAGUACAACGGAGUUGUGGUUUUAACCCGCCAAGAAACCUGUCCAUCUUUCUUUCCUCAGUGGCCACGUCAUAUUGAGAGUAACAUGACUGUUGAUUGAAUUUCUGCAAAUAUUCUCCAACAGACUGACUUCCUUGGAGGAGCGCCAGAAAUUCACGCUGCUUAGUCUUCAUAAUUCCCGUAUGGAUGUGUUAUUUCCGGAAUCGUUCCUUGAAUCUUGACCAGGUAAUUUCUUCAUGAGCCAUCCACAUGGCUUUUUCAUUUUCCCACCAUAUGGCAGCAGCACCUUCAAGAUAAUGUGUUACAAAUGGAACUUUAUCCCCUUCAUCAGUUCGAGCAACCUCAAGCUUCUUUUCCAUUGUUCUCAACCAAUCAUCUGCGUCCAAGGGAUCAAUGGCCUGACUGAAACUGGGAGGCUUAGUCCUUUGAAAAUCAGAUAGCUUGGAGUGAUGACCGGGCUGAUUUCCAUUCUGUCCAACCACAGCUUGAAUACUUCUGAAUAUUUCCAUCAGAUCAUUAUUUUGUCUUUCCUCAAACAUACGCAGAAUUUGCUCGGUGGAGGGCGGAUUUGGCGGUGGAGGCGGUGGUGGAACGUACGGCUCGGGUGAGUGUCCUGCCUGUCAUGCGGAAUGACAAACAGGAGAACCCUUGCGAACGUUGCUAUUGCAGCCUCCCCAUGUCAUCCUAAUAUGAUUAUUUUCCCAAGGCAACGCAACCGAGAUGAGAAGCAUUCAAAAUAAGUUGGGGAGAAGCCAGCAACAAAAUCCGAGUAAAACCGAAAUGGCGAAGAAAAUACGGCGAAUAAAAUAAAGUUCAACAUAAUUAUACAUAGACUCAUACAUGAAUGAUAACAACAUGCCAGGUCCAACUACCCUCAUACAUGAAAGAUAACAACAUGCCAGGUCCAACUACCCUCAUACAUGAAAUGAAACAUUAUGACUCGCACGACUACAUCCAUACUCCAUCCUGACGAAUGCGAAUACUUGGAAGCUCUACUGCUCGACUGGUGCUGCGGUGUCCUCUCCUAAAGCGGACUCGGAUCCUGAACUGACGGGGUUAACUGAGACCUCCGGGUUAAAAGUGACACGACGACGCUGCCUCGAGGGCUCUCCCUCCGGGGCAGGUGGAGGGUGAAUCAUCGGGGCUACAGGGGUGGCAAGGAGUGAAACCCACGCAGCAGGAGCACUAAGUGGACUCACAGUCACGGUGCCCGAGCUACUCGGAGGAGUAACCAGGGAAAUAAGGGAUCUAGAACUGGCAGGUAUAUAGGGAAUAAAUCCUACAGAUGGUGGAGUAGUAGCUGAGCUAGCAGAGACUAAAUCAGAGGCUAAAGCAGUACGGGCAUGACUCAGCUCACGAGCCAGCUCGUAGAUCAGAAGAUAGCUAGCAGUGAUAUAGCGAGAAAGGUGGCUAGCUACACUAUCAGACUCCGGAUCAAUGACAGGGAAACGGACACGACCAUUAUCGUGGGGAGAAGGAUAGUAGUGGAAACCUGGGUGGUUCUGCAUCCGGACCUCGUUGUAGUGGAGCUCAACGAGUACCUCGAAUGCAGCAAACUGGACAGCCUGAGAAGCGGUAGAAGUGUAGCCGCUUCGAGAAGUACAAGUGUAAGAGCUGGAAUCAGAACUGGUACGCAGAGUAACCACGACGUGAUACUCAUGCACUGAGUCAGUUAGACGCUCCCAGUACACACGAUAGACUGGAUCGUCACUGUGAGGGUACAACCAACGCCACACGUUAUGAAGGAGAUGCGGCGACAUGUACGACAUUAGCUGCAACUGGCACGGAUACAGCACCGGAGCCAUCUACACUCACAACCAUUAGCAUGUUAGCAUAAAAGUAAAAAUCAGUGCAUGCAAUGCAACAACCAGCUACAAUUGUCUACCGGCACUAAACUACAACUCGUAUCUAACAUCCAGUUAACUCGGUGUAGUCUAGCAUGGCCUACAGUCAGCGCGGCUCUGAUACCAAGCGCUGUGGCACCCCGGCUCAGAGCGACCGGUUUACCCUGCAUUGCCAACCCAGAGUGUGAUACGUCCAUUUUGCAUCAUCCUUUUAUAUCAAUAUCUAUUGCAUUAUGUGUUGUUAUUACACAUUUUAUCUCAAUACUUAUGGCUAUUCUCUCUUAUUUUACAAGGUUUACCAUGAAGAGGGGGAAUGCCGGCAGCUGGAAUUCUGGCUGGAAAAGGAGCAAACAUUGGAAACCUAUUCUGCACAGCUCCAAAAGUCCUAAAACUCCACGAAACAAAAUUUUGGAAUUCAUAAGAAUUUCUGAGCGAAAGAAAUGCACCAGGGGGCCCACACCCUGUCAAGGAGACAGGGGGGCGCGCCCCCUAUCUCUUGGGCCCCCUGGUGGGCCUCCGGUGCCCAUCUUCUGCCAUGUCAUCGCUUUUACCAUGGAAAAAAUGGCGGGCACGCUUACGGGACGAAACUCCGCCGCCACGAGGCGGAACCUAGGUGGAACCAAUCUAGGGCUCUGGCAGAGCUAUUCUGUCGGGGACACUUCCCUCCGGGAUGGGGAAAUCAUCACCAACGUCAUCACCAACGAUCCUCUCAUCGGGAGGGGGUCAAUCUCCAUCAACAUCUUCACCAGCACCAUCUCCUCUCAAACCCUAGUUCAUCUCUUGUAUCCAAUCUUGUAUCAAAAACCACAAAUUGGUACCUGUGGGUUGCUAGUAGUGUUGAUUACUCCUUGUAGUUGAUACUUAUUAGUUUACUUGGUGGAAGAUCAUAUGUUCAGAUCCUUAACGCAUAUUAUUACACCUCUUAUUAUGAACAGGAAUAUGCCUUGUGAGUAGUUACGUUUGUUCCGGAGGACAUGGGUGAAGUCUUGCUAUUAGUAGUCAUGUGAAUUUGGUAUUCGUUCGAUAUUUUGAUGAGAUGUAUGUUGUCUUAUCCUCUAGUGGUGUCAUGUGAACGUUGACUACAUGACACUUCACCAUUAUUGGGCCUAGAGGAGGGCAUAUGGAAGUAAUAAGUAGAUGAUGGGUUGCUAGAGUGACAGAAACUUAAACCCUAGUUUAUGUGUUGCUUCGUUAGGGGCUGAUUUGGAUCCAUAUGUUUCAUGCUAUGGUUAGGUUUACCUUAAUAUUUUUGUUGUAGUUGCGGAUGCUUGCAAUAGGGGUUAAUCAUAAGUGGGAAGUUUUUCCAAGUAAGGGCAAUACCCAAGCACCAGUCCACCCACAUAUCAAAUUAUCAAAGUACCGAACGUGAAUCAUAUGAGCGUGAUGAAAACUAGCUUGACGAUAAUUCCCACGUGUCCUCGGGAGCUCCUUUAUCAUUAUUAGAAACUGUCCAGGCUUAUCCUUUGCUACAUAAAGGAUUGGUCCACCUUGCUGCACUUUAUUUACUUUGUUUACUUGUUACUCGUUACUAUUUAUCUUAUCACAAAACUAUCUAUCACCUACAAUUUCAAUGCUUGCAGAAAACCUUACUGAAAACCGCUUAUCAUUUCCUUCUGCUCCUCGUUGGGUUUGACACUCUUACUUAUGGAAAGGACUACGAUAGACCCCCUACACUUGUGGGUCAUCAAGACUCUUUUCUGGCGCCGUUGCCGGGGAGUGUAGCAUUUUUGGUGAGUGGAACUUGGUAAGGAAACAUUUAUAUAGUGUGCUGAAAUUUUCUGUUACUUGUCACUAUGGAAACUAAUCCUUUGAGGGGCUUAUUUGGGGUAUCUUCACCCCAACCAGAAGAGCAAAGAGUUGCUCCUCAACCUACUGAACUUUAUGAAAAUAUUUAUUUUGAGAUUCCUUCGGGUAUGUUAGAGAAACUGCUAGCUAAUCCAUUUGCAGGAGAUGGAACGUUGCAUCCCGAUUUACACCUUAUCUUUGUGGAUGAAGUUUGUGGAUUAUUUAAGCUUGCAGGUAUUCCCGAUGAUGUUGUCAAAAGGAAGGUCUUCCCUUUAUCUUUGGAGGGAGAUGCAUUGACAUGGUAUAGGCUAUGUGAUGAUACGAGAUCUUGGAAUUAUAAGCGAUUGAAGUUGGAAUUUCACCAGAAGUUCUAUCCUAUGCAUCUUGUUCAUCGUGAUCGUAAUUACAUAUAUAAUUUCUGGCCUCGCGAAGGAGAAAGCAUCGCUCAAUCUUGGGGGAGGCUUAAGUCAAUGUUAUAUUCAUGUCCCAAUCAUGAGCUCUCUCGGGAAAUGAUUAUUCAAAAAUUUUAUGCUCGGCUUUCUCUUGAUAAUGGCAACCUGCUUGAUACUUCCUGUGCUGGUUCUUAUAUGUUGAAGACUAUUGAUUUCAAAUGGGACUUAUUGGAAAUAAUUAAACGCAACUCUGAAGAUUGGGGUUCCGAUGAUGGUAAGGAGUCAGGUAUGACACCUAAGUUCAAUUGUGUUAAAUCUUUUAUGGAUACCGAUCUUUUUCGUGGAUUUAGCGCUAAGUAUGGACUUGACUCUGAGAUAGUAGCUUCUUUCUGUGAAUCUUUUGAUACUCACGUUGAUCUCCCUAAAGAGAAGUAGUUUAAAUAUAAUCCUCCUGUUGAAGUUAAAGUAGUUGCACCUAUUACAGUCCAAGAAAAGACUAUUACCUAUAGUGAUCCUAUUGUUCCUACUGCUUAUGUUGAAAAACCUCCUUUUCCUAUUAGGAUGAAGGAUCAUGCUAAAGCUUUGACUGUUGUUCGUAAGAGAAAUACUAGGACUUAUACACCUCCUGAGCAAAUUAAUGUUGAACCUAGUAUUGCUAUUGUUAAAGAUCUCUUGGAUGAUAAUUUAGAUGGGCAUGUUUUUUAUUUCUGUGAUGAAGCUGCUAAUAUUGCAAAACCAGACGCUAAGACACAUAGGCCCGUUGUAGGCAUGCCUAUUAUUUCUGUUAAAAUAGGAGAUCAUUGUUAUCAUGGCUUAUGUGAUAUGGGUGCUAGUGCUAGUGCAAUACCCUAUGACUUAUAUAAAUAAAUUAUGCAUGACAUUGCACCCGUUGAAUUGGAAGAUAUUGAUGUUACUAUCAAGCUUGCUAAUAGAGAUACUAUUUCACCAAUUGGGAUUGUUAGAGAUGUUGAAGUUUUGUGUGGGAAGGUUAAAUACCCUGCUAAUUUUCUUGUUCUUACUUCCCCUCAAGAUUCCUUUUGCCCCAUUAUAUUUGGUAGACCCUUCUUGAACACUGUUAAAGCUACGAUUGAUUGCAAAAAGGAUGUUGUUACGAUUGGCUUAGAUGAUAUGACUCAUGAGUUUAAUUUUGCUAAAUUUCGUAGACAACCCCGUGAUAAAGAAUUAUCUAGUAAAGAUGAAAUAAUUGGUCUUGCUUCUAUUGCCGUGCCUCUUACUGAUCCAUUAGAACAAUAUUUGCUAGACCAUGAAAAUGAUAUGUUUAUGAAAGAAAGAAGGGAAAUAGAUGAAGUGUUCCUUAAAAAGGAACCUAUGCUGAAACAUAACCUUCCUGUUGAAAUUCUUGGGGAUCCCCCUCCACCCAAGGGUGAUCCCGUGUUUGAACUCAAACCCUUACCUAACAAUCUUAAGCAUGCUUAUCUUGAUGAAAAAGAAAUAUAUCCUGUAAUUAUUAGUGCUAACCUUUCAGAGAAAGAAGAAGAAAGAUUGUUGAAAACUCUGAAGAAGCACCGAGCAGCUAUUGGGUAUACUAUGGAUGAUCUUAAGGGCGUAAGUCCCACAUUAUGUCAACACAAAAUUACAUUGGAGGACGAUGCCAAACCAGUUAGAGAUCCUCAAAGACGAUUAAAUCCCAAGAUGAAGGAAGUGGCAAGGAAGGAGAUAUUAAAGCUCCUUGAGGCAGGUAUUAUUUAUCCCGUUGCUGAUAGUGAAUGGGUAAGCCCUGUCCAUUGUGUUCCUAAAAAGGGAGGUAUUACCGUUGUUCCUAAUGAUAAAGAUGAAUUGACCCGCAAAGAAUUAUUACAGGUUAUAGGAUGGUAAUUGAUUUCCGUAAGUUAAAUAAAGCUACUAAGAAAGAUCAUUAUCCCUUACCUUUUAUUGAUCAAAUGCUAGAAAGACUAUCCAAACACACACAUUUCUGCUUUCUAGAUGGUUAGUCUGGUUUCUCUUAGAUACCUGUGUCAGCGAAGGAUCAAUCUAAAACUACUUUUACUUGCCCUUUUGGUACUUUUGCUUAUAGAAGUAUGCCUUUUGGUUUAUGUAAUGCACCUGCUACCUUUCAAAGAUGCAUGAUGGCUAUAUUCUCUGAUUUUCGUGAAAAGAUUUGUGAGGUAUUCAUGGUGACUUCUCCGUCUAUGGAUCCUCUUUUGAUGAUUGUUUGAGCAACCUUGAUCGAGUUUUGCAGAGAUGCGAAAACACUAGUCUCGUCCUGAAUUGGGAAAAGUGUCACUUUAUGGAUAAUGAAGGCAUUGUCUUGGGGCAUAAGAUCUCCGAGAGAGGUAUUGAAGUUGAUAAAGCCAAAGUUGAUGCUAUUGAAAAGAUGCCAUGUCCCAAGGACAUAAAAGGUAUAAGAAGUUUUCUUGGUCAUGCCGGCUUUUAUAGGAGGUUCAUUAAGGAAUUUUCUAAGAUCUCUAGGCCUCUGACUAAUCUAUUGCAAAAAGAUAUUCCUAUUGUCUUUGAUGAUGAUUGUGUAGAAGCAUUUGAAAUACUUAAGAAAGCUUUGAUCACUGCACCUGUUGUUCAGCCACCUGAUUGGAAUCUACCUUUUGAAAUUCUCUGUGAUGCUAGUGAUUAUGCUGUAGGGGUUGUUCUAGGGAAAAGAGUCGAUAAGAAAUUGAAUGUUAUCCAGUACGCUAGUAAGACUCUUGAUACAGCCCAAAGAAAUUAUGCUACCACUAAAAAAGAUUUCUUAGCAGUUGUGUUUGCAUGUGAUAAGUUUAGACCUUAUAUUGUUGAUUCCAAAGUUACUAUUCACACUGAUCAUGCUGCUAUUAAAUAUCUUAUGGAAAAGAAAUAUGCUAAGCCUAGACUCAUUAGAUGGGUUCUCCUGCUCCAAGAGUUUGAUUUGCACAUUAUUGAUAGAAAGGGAGCUGAGAACCCCGCUGCAGAUAAAUUGUCUAGGUUAGAGAAUGUUCUUGGUGACCCACUGCCUAUUGAUGAUAGCUUUCCUGAUGAACAAUUAGCGGUCGUCAAUGCUUCUCGUACUGCUCCUUGGUAUGCUGAUUAUGCUAAUUACAUUGUUGCAAAAUUUAUACCGCCUAGUUUCACAUACCAGCAAAAGAAAAAGUUCUUUUAUGAUUUAAGACAUUACUUCUGGGAUGACCCGCACCUCUAUAAAGAAGGAGUAGAUGGUGUUAUUAGACGUUGUGUGCCUGAGCAUGAACAUGAACAGAUCCUACAUAAGUGUCACUCUGAAUCCUAUGGAGGACACCACGCUGGAGAUAGAACUGCACACAAGGUACUACAAUCCAGUUUUUAUUGGCCUACUCUCUUCAAAGAUGCUCGUAAGUUUGUCUUAUCUUGUGAUGAGUGCCAAAGAGUAGGUAACAUUAGUAGACGUCAAGAAAUGCCUAUGAAUUACUCUUUGUUAUCGAACCGUUUGAUGUUUGGGGCUUUGAUUAUAUGGGACCUUUUCCUGCCCCUAAUGGUUAUACUCAUAUUGGAGUUGUUGUUGAUUACGUUACUAAGUGGGUAGAAGGUAUUCCAACUAGUAGUGCUGAUCAUAAUACUUCUAUCAAAAUGCUUAAAGAAGUUAUUUUUCCGAGGUUUGGAGUCCCUAGAUAUCUUAUGACUGAUGGUGGUUCACAUUUUAUUCAUCGUGCUUUCCGUAAGAUGCUUGCUAAGUAUGAUGUCAAUCAUAGAAUCACAUCUCCUUAUCAUCCACAGUCUAGCGGUCAAGUAGAGUUGAGCAAUACAGAGCUCAAAUUAAUUUUGCAAAAGACUGUUAAUAGAUCUAGAAAGAAUUGGUCCAAAAAACACGAUGAUGCAUUAUGGGCCAUAGAACUGCAUACAAAAAUCCUAUGGGUAUGUCUCCAUAUAAGAUGGUUUAUGGAAAAGCGUGACAUUUGCCUCUUGAACUUGAACAUAAGGCAUAUUGGGCUAUUAAAGAGCUCAACUAUAACUUCAAACUUCCUUGUGAGAAGAGGUUGUUUCAUAUUAGCUCAUUUGAUGAAUGGAGAACCCAAGCUUAUGAGAAUGCCAAGCUAUUCAAAGAAAAAGUCAAACACUGGCAUGAUAAGAGGAUACAAAAGCGUGAAUUUAAGGUAGGUGAUUAUGUGUUAUUAUUCAACUCUCAUUAAGAUUGUUUGAAGGAAAUCUUCUCUCUAAAUGGGAAGGCCCCUACGUUAUCGAGGAGGUCUAUCGUUCUGGUGCGAUAAAGAUCAACAACUUCGAAGGCACAAGUCCGAGGGUGGUAAACGGUCAAAGAAUUAAACAUUAUAUUUUAGGUAAUCCUAUUAAUGUUGAAACUAAUAUUAUUGAAACCGUAACCCUGGAGGAAUACAGAAGGGACACUUUCCAGAACAUUCCAGACUCCAUAAAGGAAUAGGUAUGUGGUACGGUAAGUAAACCGACUCAAAAACAACUCCAAUGGCAAUUUUAAUCAGUUUUGGAUUAUUUAAGAAUUUUAGGAAGAAAUAAGUAGUCCAAAAGGGACACGAGGCCCCCACGAGAGUGGAGGGCGCGCCCCCCUUACUGGGCGCGCCCCCCUGUCUCGUGGACACCUCGUGUGCCUCUCGGACUCCGUUUUCUUGCACGUUAUGUAUUUUGGUCAGUAAAAAUUCAUUAUAUAUACUCCCGGAGGUUUUGACCACCGUAUCACGCAAAUAUCCUCUGUUUUUGUUUUGAGUUGUUUCCUGUUGCAGAUCAAGAGCAAGAUGUCUUCUCAGGAGUCAGUCGAGGACCGUCGGGUGUCCCAUCCAGCACCAGUACCAGGAGCAAUUAGCUAUGUUCAUCACUUUGGACCAUCAAUGGAGGAUGAGAUGGAGGCCGAUUCUAAAAGGAUAGAUGCCAUGGAGGAGGAUCAAGAAGUUACCUCUCGUCUCCGAGAAGAAUUCACUAUGGGGGAACUACCUAGCCUGGCUGUCCCUAUCUCGGUCACUCCCUCCAACUCUAGAUUUCUUUCUAAUGAAAAUAUGAAAAAGAGUUUCACUUGUUCUCCAGAAGCUAUGCAUUAUCCUUGGGUAAAAGGAGCUUUGGCCAUAACGGGCAAGCUCCGUAAAGAAAUUAUGGACCUCAAACGACAAGUCAAUACGCUCGAGUAGGAGAACCGUAUCCUUAAGGGCAUCAUCGCCAAGAAGAUCAUAACGCCAACCGUGAAGAAGGAGACAUAAUCACAUGGGUAUGGGCACUCCCCCUUGGCAACUACCAAGCUUGGGGGAGGUGCCCCAGUAUCGUAUCACUAAAAGAAUUGACGAUGGACAAGGAAGACAACAUAAUGGUUUAUGUUUUCUCACAUCUCAUUUAAAGUAUGUUGUCAUUGACCUUCCGAACAUGUUGAUCUUGCCUUUCCCCCUCAUUCUAGCCAAAUUCCUAGCACCAAGUAGAGAUACUACUUGUGCUUCCAAAUACCCUUAAACCCAGUUUUGCCAUGAGAGUCCACCAUAUCUACCUAUGGAUUGAGUAAGAUCCUUCAAGUAAGUUUUCAUCGGUGCAAGCAAUAAAAAUUGCUCCUUAAAUAUGCACGACUUAUUAGUGUGGAGAAAAUAAGCUUUAUACGAUCUUGUUAUGGAAGCAAUAAAAGCGGCGGACUGCAUAAUAAAGGUCCAUACACAAGUGACACAUAAAGUGACGUUCUUUCGUACUAAGAUUUUGUGUAUCCAACCCUAAAAGCGCAUGACAACCUCUGCUUCCCUCUGCGAAGGGCCUAUCUUUUACUUCAUGUUCUUACUUUGUGCUUUUAUUUUGUGCUUGAGUCAAGGUGAUCUUCACCUUUCCCUUUUUCAUUUUAUCCUUUGGCGAGCUCCUCAUGUUUGAAAGAUCGUUAUAUACAUAUCCAAUUGGAUGUUCAUUAGCAUGGGCUAUUAUUGUUGUCAUCACCAAAAUGUGAAUAUGUUGGGAGGCAACACAAUAAGCCCCUAUCUUUCUUACUGUCCGUCUGAAACUCCAUAACCACAAGUAUUUCGUGAGUGUUAGCAACUGUAGAAGACUAUAUGAUAGUUGAGUAUGUGGACUUGCUGAAAAGCUCUAUUGUUGACUCUUUCUGAUGUUAUGAUAAAUUGCGACUGCUUCAAUGACUGAGAUUAUAGUUUGUUAGUACUUAAUGAAGUUUGUGAACCAUACUUGAUAUUGUGAAUUGAUUGUUACUUGAGCAUAAGAAAUUAUAUAAUGGAAUCUAUACAUGUUGUUGUUAUAAGAAUGAUCAUGAUGCCCUCAUGGUCAUAUUUUAUUUUUAUCGACACCUCUAUCUCUAAACAUGUGGACAUAUUUUUCGAUAUCGGCUUCCGCUUGAGGACAAGUGAGGUCUAAGCUUGGGGGAGUUUAUACGUCCAUUUUGCAUCAUGCUUUUAUAUCAAUAUAUAUUGCAAUAUGGGCUGUUAUUACACAUUUUAUAUCAAUACUUAUGGCUAUUCUCUCUUAUUUUACAAGGUUUACCAUGAGGAGGGGGAAUGCCGGCAGCUGGAAUUCUGGCUGGAAAAGGAGCAAACGUUGGAAACCUAUUCUGCAUAGCUCCAAAAGUCUUGAAACUCCACGAAACAACCUUUUGGAAUUAAUAAGAAUUUCUGAACAAAAGAAAUACACCAGGGGGCCCACACCCUGUCCAGGAGACAGGGGGCGCCCCCCUAUAGGGCGUGCCCCUAUCUCCUGGGCCCCCUGGUGGGCCUCCGGUGCCCAUCUUCUGCUAUAUCAUCGCUUUUACCCUGGAAAAAAAAUCUUUGGCAAGCUUACGGGACGAAACUCCGCCGCCAUGACGCGGAACCUUGGCGGAACCAAUCUAGGGCUCUGGCAGAGCUGUUCUGCCGAGGACACUUCCCUCCGGCAGGGGGAAAUCAUCACCAACGUCAUCACCAACGAUCCUCUCAUCGGGAGGGGGUCAAUCUCCAUCAACAUCUUCACCAGCACCAUCUCCUCUCAAACCCUAGUUCAUCUCUUGUAUCCAAUCUUGUAUCCAAAACCACAAAUUGGUACCUGUGGGUUGCUAGUAGUGUUGAUUACUCCUUGUAGUUGAUACUUAUUGGUUUACUUGGUGGAAGAUCAUAUGUUCAGAUCCUUAAUGCAUAUUAUUACACCUCUGAAUAUGAACAUGAAUAUGCUUUUUGAGUAGUUAUGUUUGUUCCUGAGGACAUGGGUGAAGUCUUGCUAUUAGUAGUCAUGUGAAUUUGGUAUUCGUUCUAUAUUUUGAUGAGAUGUAUGUUGUCUUCUCCUCUAGUGGUGUCAUGUGAACGUCGACUACAUGACACUUCACCAUUAUUGGGCCUAGAGGAGGGCAUAUGGAAGUAAUAAGUAGAUGAUGGAUUGCUAGAGUGACAGAAACUUAAACCCUAGUUUAUGUGUUGCUUCGUUAGGGGCUGAUUUGGAUCCAUAUGUUUCAUGCUAUGGUUAGGUUUACCUUAAUAUUUUUGUUGUAGUUGCGGAUGCUUGCAAUAGGGGUUAAUCAUAAGUGGGAAGUUUUUCCAAGUAAGGGCAAUACCCAAGCACCAGUCCACCCACAUAUCAAAUUAUCAAAGUACCGAACAUGAAUCAUAUGAGCGUGAUGAAAACUAGCUUGACGAUAAUUCCCACGUGUCCUCGGGAGCUCCUUUAUCAUUAUUAGAAACUGUCCAGGCUUAUCCUUUGCUACAUAAAGGAUUGGGCCACCUUGCUGCACUUUAUUUACUUUGUUUACUUGUUACUCGUUACUAUUUAUCUUAUCACAAAACUAUCUAUCACCUACAAUUUCAAUGCUUGCAGAAAACCUUACUGAAAACCGCUUAUCAUUUCCUUCUGCUCCUCGUUGGAUUUGACACUCUUACUUAUCGAAAGGACUACGAUAGAUCCCCUACACUUGUGGGUCAUCAAGACUCUUUUCUGGCGCCGUUGCCGGGGAGUGUAGCAUUUUUGGUGAGUGGAACUUGGUAAGGAAACAUUUAUAUAGUGUGCUGAAAUUUUCUGUUACUUGUCACUAUGGAAACUAAUCCUUUGAGGGGCUUAUUUGGGGUAUCUUCACCCCAACCAGAAGAGCAAAGAGUUGCUCCUCAACCUACUGAACUUUAUGAAAAUAUUUAUUUUGAGAUUCCUUCGUGUAUGUUAGAGAAACUGCUAGCUAAUCCAUUUGCAGGAGAUGGAACGUUGCAUCCCGAUUUACACCUUAUCUUUGUGGAUGAAGUUUGUGGAUUAUUUAAGCUUGCAGGUAUUCCCGAUGAUGUUGUCAAAAGGAAGGUCUUCCCUUUAUCUUUGAAGGGAGAUGCAUUGACAUGGUAUAGGCUAUGUGAUGAUACGAGAUCUUGGAAUUAUAAGCGAUUGAAGUUGGAAUUUCACCAGAAGUUCUAUCCUAUGCAUCUUGUUCAUCGUGAUCGUAAUUACAUAUAUAAUUUCUGGCCUCGCGAAGGAGAAAGCAUCGCUCAAGCUUGGGGGAGGCUUAAGUCAAUGUUAUAUUCAUGUCCCAAUCAUGAGCUCUCUCGGGAAAUGAUUAUUCAAAAAUUUUAUGCUCGGCUUUCUCUUGAUAAUGGCAACCUGCUUGAUACUUCCUGUGCUGGUUCUUAUAUGUUGAAGACUAUUGAUUUCAAAUGGGACUUAUUGGAAAGAAUUAAACACAACUCUGAAGAUUGGGGUUCCGACGAUGGUAAGGAGUCAGGUAUGACACCUAAGUUUGAUUGUGUUAAAUCUUUUAUGGAUACCGAUGUUUUUCGUGGAUUUAGCGCUAAGUAUGGACUUGACUCUGAGAUAGUAGCUUCUUUCUGUGAAUCUUUUGAUACUCACGUUGAUCUCCCUAAAGAGAAGUAGUUUAAAUAUAAUCCUCCUGUUGAAGUUAAAGUAGUUGCACCUAUUACAGUCGAAGAAAAGACUAUUACCUAUAGUGAUCCUAUUGUUCCUACUGCUUAUGUUGAAAAACCUCCUUUUCCUGUUAGGAUAAAGGAUCAUGCUAAAGCUUCGACUGUUGUUCGUAAGAGAAAUACUAGGACUUAUACACCUCCUGAGCAAAUUACUGUUGAACCUUGUAUUGCUAUUGUUAAAGAUCUCUUGGAUGAUAAUUUAGAUGGGCUUGUUUUUUAUUUCUGUGAUGAAGCUGCUAAUAUUGCAAAACCAGACGCUAAGACACAUAGGCCCGUUGUAGGCAUGCCUGUUAUUUCUGUUAAAAUAGGAGAUCAUUGUUAUCAUGGCUUAUGUGAUAUGGGUGCUGGUGCUAGUGCAAUACCCUAUGACUUAUAUAAAUAAAUUAUGCAUGACAUUGCACCCGUUGAAUUGGAAGAUAUUGAUGUUACUAUCAAGCUUGCUAAUAGAGAUACUAUUUCACCAAUUGGGAUUGUUAGAGAUGUUGAAGUUUUGUGUGGGAAGGUUAAAUACCCUGCUAAUUUUCUUGUUCUUACUUCCCCUCAAGAUUCCUUUUGCCCCAUUAUAUUUGGUAGACCCUUCUUGAACACUGUUAAAGCUACGAUUGAUUGCAAAAAGGAUGUUGUUACGAUUGGCUUAGAUGAUAUGACUCAUGAGUUUAAUUUUGCUAAAUUUCGUAGACAACCCCGUGAUAAAGAAUUAUCUAGUAAAGAUGAAAUAAUUGGUCUUGCUUCUAUUGCCGUGCCUCUUACUGAUCCGUUAGAACAAUAUUUGCUAGACCAUGAAAAUGAUAUGUUUAUGAAAGAAAGAAGGGAAAUAGAUGAAGUGUUCCUUAAAAAGGAACCUAUGCUGAAACAUAACCUUCCUGUUGAAAUUCUUGGGGAUCCCCCUCCACCCAAGGGUGAUCCCGUGUUUGAACUCAAACCCUUACCUAACAAUCGUAAGUAUGCUUAUCUUGAUGAAAAAGAAAUAUAUCCUGUAAUUAUUAGUGCUAACCUUUCAGAGAAAGAAGAAGAAAGAUUGUUGAAAACUCUGAAGAAGCACCGAGCAGCUAUUGGAUAUACUCUGGAUGAUCUUAAGGGCGUAAGUCCCACAUUAUGUCAACACAAAAUUACAUUGGAGGACGAUGCCAAACCAGUUAGAGAUCCUCAAAGACGAUUAAAUCCCAAGAUGAAGGAAGUGGUAAGGAAGGAGAUAUUAAAGCUCCUUGAGGCAGGUAUUAUUUAUCCCAUUGCUGAUAGUGAAUGGGUAAGCCCUGUCCAUUGCGUUCCUAAAAAGGGAGGUAUUACCGUUGUUCCUAAUGAUAAAGAUGAAUUGAUCCCGCAAAGAAUUAUUACAGGUUAUAGGAUGGUAAUUGAUUUCCGUAAGUUAAAUAAAGCUACUAAGAAAGAUCAUUACCCCUUACCUUUUAUUGAUCAAAUGCUAGAAAGACUAUCCAAACACACACAUUUCUGCUUUCUAGAUGGUUAGUCUGGUUUCUCUCAGAUACCUGUGUCAGCGAAGGAUCAAUCUAAAACUACUUUUACUUGCCCUUUUGGUACUUUUGCUUAUAGACGUAUGCCUUUUGGUUUAUGUAAUGCACCUGCUACCUUUCAAAGAUGCAAGAUGGCUAUAUUCUCUGAUUUUUUUGAAAAGAUUUGUGAGGUAUUCAUGGAUGACUUCUCCGUCUAUGGAUCCUCUUUUGAUGAUUGUUUGAGCAACCUUCAUCAAGUUUUGCAGAGAUGCGAAAACACUAGUCUCGUCCUGAAUUGGGAAAAGUGUCACUUUAUGGUUAAGAAGGCAUUGUCUUGGGGCAUAAGAUCUCCGAGAGAGGUAUUGAAGUUGAUAAAGCCAAAGUUGAUGCUAUUGAAAAGAUGCCAUGUCCCAAGGACAUAAAAGGUAUAAGAAGUUUUCUUGGUCAUGUCGGCUUUUAUAGGAGGUUCAUUAAGGACUUUUCUAAGAUCUCUAGGCCUCUGACUAAUCUAUUGCAAAAAGAUAUUCCUAUUGUCUUUGCUGAUGAUUGUGUAGAAGCAUUUGAAAUACUUAAGAAAGCUUUGAUCACUGCACCUGUGGUUCAGCCACCUGAUUGGAAUCUACCUUUUGCAAUUAUCUAUGAUGCUAGUGAUUAUGCUGUAGGGGCUGUUCUAGGGAAAAGAGUCGAUAAGAAAUUGAAUGUUAUCCAGUAUGCUAGUAAGACUCUUGAUACAGCCCAAAGAAAUUAUGCUACCACUGAAAAAGAUUUCUUAGCAGUUGUGUUUGCAUGUGAUAAGUUUAGACCUUAUAUUGUUGAUUCCAAAGUUACUAUUCACACUGAUCAUGCUGCUAUUAAAUAUCUUAUGGAAAAGAAAUAUGCUAAGCCUAGACUCAUUAGAUGGGUUCUCCUGCUCCAAGAGUUUGAUUUGCACAUUAUUGAUAGAAAGGGAGCUGAGAACCCCGUUGCAGAUAAAUUGUCUAGGUUAGAGAAUGUUCUUGGUGACCCACUGCCUAUUGAUGAUAGCUUUCCUGAUGAACAAUUAGCGGUCGUCAAUGCUUCUCGUACUGCUCCUUGGUAUGCUGAUUAUGCUAAUUACAUUGUUGCAAAAUUUAUACCGCCUAGUUUCACAUACCAGCAAAAGAAAAAGUUCUUUUAUGAUUUAAGACAUUACUUCUGGGAUGACCUGCACCUCUAUAAAGAAGGAGUAGAUGGUGUUAUUAGACGUUGUGUGCCUGAGCAUGAACAGGAACAUAUCCUACAUAAGUAUCACUCUGAAUCCUAUGGAGGACACCACGCUGGAGAUAGAACUGUACACAAGGUACUACAAUCCAGUUUUUAUUGGCCUACUCUCUUCAAAGAUGCUCGUAAGUUUGUCUUAUCUUGUGAUGAGUGCCAAAGAGUAGGUAACAUUAGUAGACGUCAAGAAAUGCCUAUGAAUUACUCUCUUGUUAUCGAACCGUUUGAUGUUUGGGGCUGUGAUUAUAUGGGACCUUUUCCUGCCCCUAAUGGUUAUACUCAUAUUGGAGUUGUUGUUGAUUACGUUACUAAGUGGGUAGAAGGUAUUCCAAAUAGUAGUGCUGAUCAUAACACUUCUAUCAAAAUGCUUAAAGAAGUUAUUUUUCCGAGGUUUGGAGUCCCUAGAUAUCUUAUGACUGAUGGUGGUUCACAUUUUAUUCAUGGUGCUUUCGGUAAGAUGCUUGCUAAGUAUGAUGUCAAUCAUAGAAUCACAUCUCCUUAUCAUCCACAGUCUAGCGGUCAAGUAGAGUUGAGCAAUAGAGAGCUCAAAUUAAUUUUGCAAAAGACUGUUAAUAGAUCUAGAAAGAAUUGGUCCAAAAAACACGAUGAUGCAUUAUGGGCCAUAGAACUGCAUACAAAAAUCCUAUGGGUAUGUCUCCAUAUAAGAUGGUUUAUGGAAAAGCAUGUCAUUUGCCUCUUGAACUUGAACAUAAGGCAUAUUGGGCUAUUAAAGAGCUCAACUAUAACUUCAAACUUCCCGGUGAGAAGAGGUUGUUUCAUAUUAGCUCAUUUGAUGAAUGGAGAACCCAAGCUUAUGAGAAUGCCAAGAUAUUCAAAGAAGAAGUCAAACGCUGGCAUGAUAAGAGGAUACAAAAGCGUGAAUUUAAGGUAGGUGAUUAUGUGUUAUUAUGGGAAGGCCCCUAUGUUAUCGAGGAGGUCUAUCGUUCUGGUGCGAUAAAGAUCAACAACUUCGAAGGCACAAGUCCGAGGGUGGUAAACGGUCAAAGAAUUAAACAUUAUAUUUUAGGUAAUCCUAUUAAUGUUGAAACUAAUAUUAUUGAAACCGUAACCCCGGAGGAAUACAGAAGGGACACUUUCCAGAACGUUCCAGACUCCGUAAAGGAAUAGGUAUGUGGUACGGUAAGUAAACCGACUCUAAAACAACUCCAAUGGCAAUUUUAAUCAGUUUUGGAUUAUUUAAGAAUUUUAGGAAGAAAUAAGUAGUCCGAAAGGGACACGAGGCCCCCACGAGAGUGGAGGGCGCGCCCCCCUUACUGGGCGCGCCCCCCUGUCUCGUGGACACCUCGUGUGCCUCCCGGACUCCGUUUUCUUGCACGUUAUGUAUUUUGGUCAGUAAAAAUUCAUUAUAUAUAUUCCCGAAGGUUUUGACCACCGUAUCACGCAAAUAUCCUCUGUUUUUGUUUCGAGUUGUUUCCUGUUGCAGAUCAAGAGCAAGAUGUCUUCUCACGAGUCAGUCGAGGACCAUCGGGUGUCUCAUCUAGCACCAGUACCAGGAGCAAUUAGAUAUGCUCAUCACUUUGGACCAUUAAUGGAGGAUGAGAUGGAGGCCGAUUUGAAAAGGAUAGAUGCAAUGGAGGAGGAUCAAGAAGUUACCUCUCGUCUCCGAGCAGAAUUCACUAUGGGGGAACUACCUAGCCUGGCUGUCCCUAUCUCGGUCACUCCCUCCAACUCUAGAUUUGUUUCUGAUGAAAAUAUGAAAAAGAGUUUCACUUGUUCUCCAGAAGAUAUGCAUUAUCCUUGGGUAAAAGGAGCUUUGGCCGUAAUGGGCAAGCUCCGUAAAGAAAUUAUGGACCUCAAACGACAAGUCAAUACGCUCGAGGAGGAGAAUCGUAUCCUUAAGGGCAUCAUCGCCAAGAAGAUCAUAACGCCAACCAUGAAGAAGGAGACAUAAUCACAUGGGUAUGGGCACUCCCCCUUGGCAACUACCAAGCUUGGGGGAGGUGCCCCGGUAUCGUAUCACCAUCACACUCCUAUCUUUACCGCUUUAUUUAGUUCGAUCCUUUUAGUAGUUUCUUGAUCUAGUAGAUUGAAGUUUUGAUAUCAAGUAGUUUGAGUUUUGCUUAGUGCUGUCUUUUUGUAAUCGAGUCCGUGAGUUAUCUAUAAUAAAGAUUAGUGUUGAGUCAAGGGCUUUUGCUUUGUUGCUAUGAUCUAUAGAAAGAACAAAAAGAACAAAAGAGUUCAUAUUGAUCUUAUGGAUAGUAAUAACUUCACACAUAGAAAGUAUGAGGCUUAAAGGUUGUUGAGAUUUGAUAAACAUAGUUUUGGUCAUCGUUGCAAUUAAUAGGAAGUAAUAAGGGAAGAGAGGUUUGCAUAUAAAUACACUAUCUUGGACAUCUUUUAUGAUUGUGAGCACUCAUUAAGUAUGACGAUGGACAAGGAAGACAACAUAAUGGUUUAUGUUUUCUCACAUCUUAGUUAAAGUAUGUUGUCAUUGACCUUCCGAACAUGUUUAUCUUGCCUUUCCCCCUCAUGCUAGCCAAAUUCCAAGCACCAAGUAGAGAUACUACUUGUGCUUCCAAAUACCCUUAAACCCAGUUUUGCCAUGAGAGUCCACCAUAUCUACCUAUGGAUUGAGUAAGAUCCUUCAAGUAAGUUGUCAUCGGUGCAAGCAAUAAAAAUUGCUCCUUAAAUAUGCACGACUUAUUAGUGUGGAGAAAAUAAGCUUUAUACGAUCUUGUUAUGGAAGCAAUAAAAGCGGCGGACUGCAUAAUAAAGGUCCAUACACAAGUGACAUACAAAGUGACGUUCUUUCGUACUAAGAUUUUGUGUAUCCAACCCUAAAAGCGCAUGACAACCUCUGCUUCCCUCUCCGAAGGGCCUAUCUUUUACUUCAUGUUCUUACUUUGUGCUUUUAUUUUGUGCUUGAGUCAAGGUGAUCUUCACCUUUCCCUUUUUCAUUUUAUCCUUUGGCGAGCUCCUCGUGUUUGAAAGAUCAUUAUAUACAUAUCCAAUUGGAUGUUCGUUAGCAUGGGCUAUUAUUGUUGACAUCACCUAAAUGUGAAUAUGUUGGGAGGCAACACAAUAAGCCCCUAUCUUUCUCAGUGUCCGUCUGAAACUCCAUAACCACAAGUAUUUCGUGAGUGUUAGCAACUGUAGAAGACUAUAUGAUAGUUGAGUAUGUGGACUUGCUGAAAAGCUCUAUUGUUGACUCUUUCUGAUGUUAUGAUAAAUUGCGAUUGCUUCAAUGACUAAGAUUAUAGUUUGUUAGUUCUUAAUGAAGUUUGUGAACCAUACUUGAUAUUGUGAAUUGAUUGUUACUUGAGCAUAAGAAAUUAUAUAAUGGAAUCUAUACAUGUUGAUGUUAUAAGAAUGAUCAUGAUGCCCUCAUGUCCAUAUUUUAUUUUUAUCGACACCUCUAUCUCUAAACAUGUGGACAUAUUUUUCGAUACCGGCUUCCGCUUGAUGACAAGUGAGGUCUAAGCUUGCGGGAGUUGAUACGUCCAUUUUGCAUCAUGCUUUUAUAUCAAUAUCUAUUGCAAUAUGGGCUGUUAUUACACAUUUUAUCUCAAUACUUAUGGCUAUUCUCUCUUAUUUUACAAGGUUUACCAUGAAGAUGGGGAAUGCCGACAGCUGGAAUUCUGGCUGGAAAAGGAGCAAACGUUGGAAACCUAUUCUGCAUAGCUCCAAAAGUCCUGAAACUCCACGAAACAACCUUUUGGAAUUAAUAAGAAUUUCUGAGCAAAAGAAAUACACCAGGGGGCCCACACCCUGUCCAGGAGACAGGGGGCGCCCCCCUAUAGGGCGCGCCCCCUAUCUCCUGGCCCCCCUGGUGGGCCUCUGGUGCCCAUCUUCUGCUAUAUCAUCGCUUUUACCCUGCAAAAAAAAUCUUGGGCAAGAUUACGGGACGAAACUCCGCCGCCAUGACGCGGAACCUUGGCGGAACAAAUCUAUGGCUCUGGCAGAGCUGUUCUGCCGGGGAAACUUCCCUCCAGCAGGGGGAAAUCAUCACCAACGUCAUCACCAACGAUCCUCUCAUCGGGAGGGGGUCAAUCUCCAUCAACAUCUUCACCAACACCAUCUCCUCUCAAACCCUAGUUCAUCUCUUGUAUCCAAUCUUGUAUCCAAAACCACAAAUUGGUACCUGUGGGUUGCUAGUAGUGUUGAUUACCCCUUGUAGUUGAUACUUAUUGGUUUACUUGGUGGAAGAUCAUAUGUUCAGGUCCUUAAUGCAUAUUAUUACACCUCUGAUUAUGAACAUGAAUAUGCUUUUUGAGUAGUAACGUUUGUUCCUGAGGACAUGGGUGAAGGCUUGUUAUUAGUAGUCAUGUGAAUUUGGUAUUCGUUCGAUAUUUUGAUGAGAUGUAUGUUGUCUUCUCCUCUAGUGGUUUCAUGUGAACGUCGACUACAUGACACUUCACCAUUAUUGGGCCUAGAGGAGGGCAUAGGGAAGUAAUAAGUAGAUGAUGGGUUGCUAGAGUGACAGAAGCUUAAACCCUAGUUUAUGCGUUGCUUCGUUAGGGGCUGAUUUGGAUCCAUAUGUUUUAUGCUAUGGUUAGGUUUACCUUAAUACUUUUGUUGUAGUUGCGGAUGCUUGCAAUAGGGGUUAAUCAUAAGUGGGAUGCUUGUCCAAGUAAGGGCAGUACCCAAGCACCGGUCCACCCACAUAUCAAAUUAUCAAAGUACCGAACGCAAAUCAUAUGAGCGUGAUGAAAACUAUCUUGAUGAUAAUUCCCAUGUGUCCUCGGGAGCUCCUUUACCAUUAUUAGAAAUUGUCCAGUCUUAUCCUUUUCUACAUAAAGGAUUGGGACACCUUGCUGCACUUUAUUUACUUUAUUUACUUGUUGCUCGUUACUAUUUAUCUUAUCACAAAACUAUCUAUCACCUACAAUUUCAGUGCUUGCAGAAAACCUUACUGAAAACCGCUUUUUAUUUCCUUGUGCUCCUCGUUAGGUUCGACACUCUUACUUAUCGAAAGGACUACGAUAGAUCCCCUACAAUUGUGGGUCAUCAGAGACCAUGUCUUCUCGCAACACACAACAACUUGGUACAGAAAAACAACCGCUUUAUUCAUGCUAGCGGAGCAUAGUUCAUAUUACAACAGUUAGCGAGGCCAAGCGGCACACACGGUGUGGCUUAACAAUAUGUACAUUAUUUAGUAAACAUAAAGGGGCCUCGAUCAUGACAAUUACGCGGCAGCGGAACAACGUCGUAGCGGGACUCCAUAGCACAGGGACACCGAUGUGGACACGAUCUAGACUCGGAUAGCUCUCCUUUCCAACGAGACUUUCCUGAAAUCUGGCAUGACACACCAGGUCAGUACAUUGAAUGUACUUGCAAGCUCACAACAAGCAUAAACAUAAUGACAAACAAUAUCAUGAUACUUAAACAAUUAAUAAUAAUGCAACAAUAUAUCCAACAUGCUGUGAAUAUGCUCAAGUGGUACUGGUCCCAUGGACUCGUUUACUGAACGUGAUCAUUUCCAGACCACACACAUGAAGAAUUCAACGACAAUAUCGCGAUCCUUACGGCGAUCACAACGAGACCACACCUGGUCUAACUCAACCCGAUGGCCUUACUGCCAUUACCUUAGUGCAAAUUUUAGAGUGCAAAUUUAUGAAGUGUUGACCCAUGGUGUACCCUACUUUCGAGCGUGUCCGUAACCGUGGACUCGGUUAUCGAUAGAUUAAUACACUCUGCAGAGGUAGCGCACUGGACCCAUACUACGGAACCCAUGGCCUCGCACGCCCAUUCAUGUGGACCAAUGGCAUUCUGACGAAACCACUUCAUUGUCAUGACACUCUCCCGGCCACUCUGACUAAAUCCCCAUCGGGCUAGUCCUGGGUGGCCCUGUGUCUACCUCAAGACACCUCAAACCACCGUCGUGGCAACGAUCCACUCUGGGACCCAAACACUUAACUCAGCAACUGGCACAUAAGGUUAUGCCUGCUUACCGGGCCAGGGUACAGCACGCCCAUAACCUUCCCUAGAUGGAGGCACCAACCAGAGGCACGACAAUGAAACGCAUUAAGGCCGUCCCAUACCGGCAAAUGUGGUUGCACUUGGAAAAACUCAUUUCAGUGGCACCAUGACCCGGUCAACAACAUAUUCAAGUUGAGUGAUUUAUCAGGUUCAACUUAAAGUGAAAGUAACCGGUGUCAUAAUGCCAUGCUAUGCAUCACUAACAUUUGCAUCAAAUAAUCAUGAAAAUAACUAAAUCAACUACGCUCCCACAGAGCCAUCACUAACUCAAGAUACUUCUCUGGUUAAGAUCAAACCUCACUUAAACCAAAACCAUUUCUAGCAAUCUCAUCAUUUUUCAUCAUGCAAGAAUAAUAAUUAAACUAACUAUUAACCUUCAUGACCAUAUCCUUUUAUUAUCACCCACAUCUAAGUUCUUGUUAGCUUAUCAGCAAGAUUCAUUUCAAACUUUCUGUAAAUCAAACACACUUAACAUGACAAGAAUCUAACAGAAUAUAAUUAUCAUAAUAAUUAUUUAAAUGCAUGAAUAAUCAUAAGUUCAAGUAGAAAAAUCACAAAUAUUGAAGUGGGACUAUGAAAAUGUUUUUUUGGCUUGCCUUAGUGUUGAUGAGGUUCACAAACCUCCUGGUGAUCCUCAAGACAAGCUUGCUCUUCUGAAAAUAAAUAAAACCACAAAAAGAAAACAUCAAGAAACCUUCUGAAAAUUACAGAAAAGACAGCAAGGAAAAAUCCCAUCUUUUGGGUGCUGCUAGACUUUUGGACAAAGAACACAAUGGAAAAAAGAAUCAAUGCAUUUGGACUUAUAGAAUGAAAGUUGUGGCUGUUUGAAGUUUCCUGGAUUUAAAUGAAUUUGAUUUAAAAAGAAAACAGACUCGGGGNNNNNNNNNNNNNNNNNNNNNNNNNNNNNNNNNNNNNNNNNNNNNNNNNNNNNNNNNNNNNNNNNNNNNNNNNNNNNNNNNNNNNNNNNNNNNNNNNNNNNNNNNNNNNNNNNNNNNNNNNNNNNNNNNNNNNNNNNNNNNNNNNNNNNNNNNNNNNNNNNNNNNNNNNNNNNNNNNNNNNNNNNNNNNNNNNNNNNNNNNNNNNNNNNNNNNNNNNNNNNNNNNNNNNNNNNNNNNNNNNNNNNNNNNNNNNNNNNNNNNNNNNNNNNNNNNNNNNNNNNNNNNNNNNNNNNNNNNNNNNNNNNNNNNNNNNNNNNNNNNNNNNNNNNNNNNNNNNNNNNNNNNNNNNNNNNNNNNNNNNNNNNNNNNNNNNNNNNNNNNNNNNNNNNNNNNNNNNNNNNNNNNNNNNNNNNNNNNNNNNNNNNNNNNNNNNNNNNNNNNNNNNNNNNNNNNNNNNNNNNNNNGUCGAAGGCGUAAAUGCCUGGGGUGCCACUACUUGUACCGCUUGGCGCGCGUACUGAGUGGCUGAUUAGCAGGCCCCGCUAGUCAGGCCAGAAGGAGGGGGAGAGGAAAAUAGAAGGAGGCGGGGCUUCGCCGGAGUACACGCCGGCGACGAGGGUUCUUGGGGUCAAACGAGAGGGGGGGGAUCGAAGGAGAAGAAGGUGGCACACCUGCCCAUACCCGUAGCGUGGCUAGAGGUGACUGGACGGUGUCGAAAGCGGCCUCUCUAGCGGAGGCAGAGGGCAGCGGUCACUGGAGACGAAGACAACGGUGGUUCGGGGCGGCUCCAGGGGGUCCAACCGGGCGGAACUCCCUCACCGAAGAGUGGCGGAGGCCCUGGCAGGGUCGCCCUAGCCUGGGAGGGGUCGGAGCUGCGGGGACGAUCUGGAGGGGAUAGCCGACGAGCUCGGGCUUCGGGACGGUAGCCGGCAGCCUGCCCGGUCGGGCUGCGGCUUCUACUGGUUUGUGGAGGGUGUGGGAGUAGCUGCGGGGGCUCAAGGAGGCUGGGGGUGGCGGCAUUUAUAGGCGGGCGGCGAGAGGGGUUCGGGCUCCGCCGGAGGACACCUGUCCACGGCGCCCGGUGACGAACGGCGCCAGUGAGAGAGGGGGAAGACGACGGAGGUCACGCGGAAACUAUUGGCGGGCACGUACGAGCAUAGGGGAGAGGGAUAAGACGACGAGCACAGUGCGCCAUGCACUUGUCGUUGGCCGGACUGUGCCCUUGCCCGCUGCAGCGAGCUCCGGCAUCGGCAAGAGCCAGGGGGAGUUAAGGGGGUGGAGACGGGGAUGGUGGCGAGGCUUGGCAUGCUCGGGCAGGAUGGGUAGCAAGCACGCGCUCAACUGAGCGCUAGGCGGCAUGCAGAGCGCAUGUUUUGCAUGCCAGCACGGCCGGACAAACGCGGUCACCGCGUGAACCAUGACAUCAGGCCACCCUAAGCGCUAACUUGAUGUCUGGCAUGUAGUCCUUGGUGGUUUGAAGUGUUACCAUGGUUGGGCUUGGAUCCAGGUGCACUAGAAAUGGAUUUGUACUGCUAGCAAGUUUCUGGACAGUAACUUUGGAGGUUUACUGUGGUCAGACCACUGGGAGUUAAGGCUUUGGAGGCUAGCUUACACGUACUAAGGUAAAUAGGCACAAGAAAAACCAGCUACAAUGGAGCUAGUAAAAUGGUAGUUGCUGUAGAAACUACCAUUUAUGUCCAGAAAUGAAUUUAUUUUCUGUAGCCAAAAUAUUCCAAAGAGUGAUGAAAUAUUUUUGCUAAGAAAGGUGCCCUAGGGUUCAAAGAAUAAUUUGGAUUUUUCUCAGGAUUUUUGGGGCAAGAAAAAUUAGGGUUGCUUUGGAGCACAAAGGGCUAGCUACGGUUUUGGAGGGCGAAAUGAAUAUUUUUCAUUUAAGAAAAAUAUUCCAAGCAAUAUUUUGAGUUGAUCCAGAGGUGAAAUGAUGGUUUUGAGGAGGAGAGGGAGCACUUGGGUGAAAGUCAAGGGGUACCUAAGUGGUUAAGUCAAAAUGAAGAGAUUCAAAACUCCAAAUUCAAAACCAACUCAACUGAAAACCAGACAGAGACAAAGAGGGCAAAAACCAGGCUGUCACAUGCGGUACGCCACAUCCCUCCUGAUGAACAGGACCCCCGUUUCGACUGUAGCGCUCCAACACAAGUCUGUUUUGUCCAUUUUGCGGGACGCCACACCCCUCCCAAUCAACAAGACCCCCGUUUCGACCGUAGGUGGUCCGUUUCCUCCGUUUUGCGGUAUGCCAGACCCUUCCCAAUGAACAGGAUCCUGUUUCAAACGUGGCCGGUCGAACACAAGGCCGUUUCCUCUGUUCUGCGGUAUGCCAGGCCUCGUUUCCAUCGCCUGUUCCGUCCAAGCCCUCCUGAUGAACACGACGACGCGUUCCGUUCCAACCCAGCCGGUUGGCUCCCCUUGUACACAACGAGGACGUUGUUUCUCUGUUGCGACCCAGCCAUGUACACGAGGACUGGCCGUAUGUAUGCGCGAGUAGGCAUUCGAGACCCCGCCCGUAUGUACACAUACGUGACCGUAUUUUCUUUCUUGCACACUGGCCGCUGUACAUACGUGUACAUGCUACGUGUGCGCCUCUACUACGACACGUGCGCGCCUCUACAUCCACUAGUAUGUACGUACAUGUUCGCGACCAGAAUGACAACGCUACGUACCCUUCGACCAGGUGGGUCCCGACUGUCAGGCACUUCCUUGCGUGCGAAGAUGUAGCUAGUGGGUCCCAGCAGUCAGGGGGCAAAUCGUUUUUUUGCCCGGACGCACUCCCUUGCGUGCGAAGAUGUAGCUGGUGGGUACCAGUAGUCAGGGGGGAACGUUUUUUCGCGAAAUACAGUGGCUCGUCCGGUGGGUCCCUGCUGUCAGGUGGAUGUAUCAUUAUUUUCCGCGUAAUAAGGAGGCACUUCCUUGCUACGGCCGUGGACCCAGCUGUCAGCCUCUCCACGUACAGUGCAUGUCCGAUGGAAGUCAUUCCUUGACCACAUUGACCACGCCGUGCCGAGAGCACCACAGCGGUGGAUGACAGCAAGGCUUAGGAAGGGGACGCCGCGGAGCUGGGGAAGACGCGGCAGUGGAUACCCGCGCGGAGAGGAGUACGAGGGUUCAUUAGUUCGGCUGUGGUGUAAGGCUGCCGUUGUCACAGAAUAACAUGGGGUGUGGGUGAGUGGAGGGAUGGCCUGGCCAGUGGUGGGAGUGGUAUGGGGGCGGUGAGGCCUCCGCGGUAGCACAGCCGGCCACGGGAGGCAGGAGCAGGCGGCAUGACCGGCGCUGCUUUGGGCGGCUGGAGCAAGAAGACCAGAGGUUGAAGAAGCACUAUGGCCAUUGGAUGGACAUCAUACGGUCACUAGAGUAUUGACUAAGUUGACAAAGCCCUCCGUCCCCAUCAACUUAGUAGGCCCACAAGUCAGCCCAACAAUAUGGUGGGUCCCAGCUAGCAGGGGGGUAUUCAUUUUUUUGGGCAUAAUAAGGAGGCACUUCCUUAUGUGCGAAGAUAUAGCUGGUGGGUCCGACCUGUCAGCGGGGGGAACGCUUUUUUCGCGAAAUAAAGAGGCCCUUCCUGUGGGUGCUAGCUGUCAGGUGGAGGAAUCAUUAUUUUGCGCGUAAUAAGGAGGCAUUUCCUUGCAUGCGGCCGUGGACCCAGCUGUCAGCCUCUCCACUACAGUCCACUUCCGAUGGAUGUCAUUCAUUAACCACGUUGACCAGGCCACACCAAGAGCACCAGGGCGGUGGACGACGGCGAGGCCUAGGAAGGGAACGACACAGAGCCAGGGAAUACUCGGCAGUUGUUUCCCACAUGGAGGAGUACGAGGGUUUACUGGUUUGUCUGCCAUCCCCGGAGCAACAGGUGUGGGUGAGUAGAGGGAUGGCUAGGCCAGCAAUGGCAGUACGGUGGGGCCGUGAGGCCUGUGCGGCAGCAUAGCCGGCCGUGGGAGGACGGAGCAGGCAGUCCCGCCGGCGCUUGUUUGAGCGGAUGGAGCAUGAAGAGCAAAGAUUGAAGAAGCACAACAGCCGUUGGAUGGACAUCCAACAGUCACUGCUCUCGUGUGUGGACUAAGUUGACAGGGUGUUGCGUGUGCGUCAACCUCUUUUUUUAUGAAAGCAUACGCGUCAACCUGUAGUAGGUGCACAAGUCAGCCUCAAAUCUGUGGAAAACAGCAUACAACCCAUCUGCCAUUAUUUCUAAUAAUGUACAGCCCAUUUGCUAAUUCUUAUGAAUUAUUUUGGAGCCCAUCUUCUUUUUGUUAGCAUUAGACCCCAUAUUGUGGCCACGGUUAAAAAGUAUACGAAAUUUUGCAUAUUUUGGUGCGGUCAACUGUUUUUAAUCCAGAAAUAUGGAUUCACAUUCAAACUAUUUUGAAAUAUAAUUUAUAUAAAUAUAAAAUCCAAAUAAUUGUCCAUGCAUAAAAAUCAAUGGAAUUUAAAAUCUUGUAAUGAAAAAAAAUUGAAACUAAUUCCCGGUUUGAUGUGUUUUAAAAAUGUACAGCCCAUUUCUGGGCAAACCGAAUGAAACUCUCCUCGUCUUGAAAGAUUUGCAGCCCAGCAGGGCCGAUAAAGCAAGUAGGCCUUGUUUGGGUAUUUCUUUAAAAAAAGAGAACUGGGCUAGCCAUUUUCAGCAAGAAAAAACACAACUGGGCUCAUGAUGUGGUAAACAUAAAUAAAACCCUGGCUAGAUGGGCCACAACCCCGCACAACCCCGUUGUUACCCUGAUCCGUUGCUAAAACUAGUAUAAAUAACAAUUGCUUGUUCCUCAAAAAAAAUGAGCAACCUGCUGGGUCCCUGGUAUCAGCCGCUCGUAGUGUAAUUCUCUCAUUUAUUGACUUUGUUGACAAUGGCGUGAGCCCCAGAUGUCCAACCAUUAGGAGGAACCAUAUUUUUGGGCUUGUAAUAUAGAGGCACUUGCUUGCAUACUGCCAUGACGCUGGUGGGUCCCUACUGUCAUCCUCUCCACGUACAGUCAUCUCCUUGUUCCUCUCGGUUGUUGAUGACGUUGACAACGCAAGAGAGCGGCGCACUACACACGGAGAGCGAACCAAGGCCGCAAAGCGGAGGACGACGACGAGGCCUCAGACGGAACGGACAUGAGCUGUGGAAGAUGCGCCGGUCCAGUCGCAGGUGGAGGGGACUACGAGGGUCGACUGGUUCGGGUGCGGGUCGUGUUGGGGCUGACAUCGCUGGAGAAUAAUAGGACGUAUGGGGGAAUAGAGGGAGGGACUGGCCAACAUUGGAGGGUACGUAUGGUAGGGCGGCGGAGGCGCAGCCAGCCAUGGGAUGCGGGACAGGCGGAGCCGACGGGGUGGUUCGGUUUGGGCGGCUGGAGGAAGAAGACAAGAGAUAGAAGAUACAUGACAGAUGUUGGAUGUCAAUCCAACGGCUGGUAGGUAGAAUCGUUUGUUGACUGGCUAGUAAGUCGACACCACCUUGGAUAGGCUAUUUCCUCGCGGAUCCCAAAUGUCAGAAUCCAAAUCUGUCACGGUCAAGCAGCCUGUCCUAUAAAAAUUUAGAGCCCAUUUGAUGUGCUAGUUCGAAAUAAGUUUGUGGGUGCUGGUGGGGGCUAAUCACUUGGCUUCUGUAAUGCACAGUGAGCUCAAGCAGCCGGCGAGAGUGAUGUUAUUUCCCUUGGUUGGGAUUUGUUACAAUAUUUCACUCUAAUUUAAACGAAUGGCAAGCCAUUUUCCUUGUUUCAAAGAAAAUAUGACAGUCACAGCCGAGUUGAAAAGGGCAGGAACAUCUAACUCCAUCUUAUAAACUGUACAAAAGCAUGAGGGUUAAUUGUUCAUCAGGUUUACAAAAAAACCCAGGUUGAAAAGGGCAACAACAUCUAACUCCAGCACUGUUUUCAGCAGUCACAGUCAAAUGGAUCGGUUAUGUCCAUAGAAUGAACAUCCUGGGUCGUAAGAGUUACUAGAUUAUGACCACAAUAUGUUGUAAAUAGAAGCUCGGCAUGUUCAGAUGCUCUUUUGCCCACCUGAAACUCCUUUUUUUUGCUCUUUGACAUACCCAUCCGUCAAAACCAUGCUGCUGAUAAACUUAAGCCGGAUGGACAAUAGUAACCUCGCAUUCAGCAGGAACAAUGUGACAAAUCUAGUGUUUGCAUGGUUGGCUACAUAUCGUUCUAGCGUUAUUGUCUUCAAUCAAAUAUCAUGAGAAGUGAGAAAAUCCCGAUGCUUAUGAAUCCACCGAUUGGUAAUAACUUUCUUACCCCGUCAUGUUGCCUAAAUAGACAUGAAGAUUGAAAACAGUUAAGGUCUAAAAAAAGAGUGUCAAAAGAGCAACAAUUGAACGGUUAAUUCUAGUACACUAUAUGCGGGCUUCCAAUGUGCGUGAAAUUAUCACCUUUAUAUACAACUUCUCCAGACAUGGAAAUCAUUGCAGCAAGCCAAUAAUCUUGUUCAGAUCAAAACUCUUCAUUUGGAUAUAUAAGAUCUUGACAAAAUCCAACAACAUUGAUAGGCCAUCCAUGGAGAAACUCUUCAUUGAGCAUAGAACAUAAUAUUGGUACAAAAUGUGUACUCCAAGAUGAUAUAUAACUUAUGGGAAAAAAUUUAAAAUGCAGCUUAUGGUUACAAGUGUAGAUCAUAAUAUAAAGUACCUGAAGAACUGUGGAGCCAAACAGCAUAUUGAAAUGAGCACAGAGAUCAUGUAUUACACCCAAGGUCUCCAGUUUAGGCGCAGAGAGGACAAUUAUUUGCAACGGUGAAUAACUAGAAUCAAGGAUCAACCUUUGAAGUGAAGGGGCAUCUUGGAUGAUGAGCUGCCUUCUGUUAAAAGAAAUUCCAAUUCUUACAAGGUUAGGCGACUUUAUUUGGAGACAACCGAUUCUAACUGUGAAAACAAGCACCAAACACUCCAGGGCAGGGCAACUGGAGUGGAUGAUGCUGUGCAAUGAGGCCUCCGAUAUACGAACCCGCACAAGUGAAAGUUUCUUGAGAAAUGGGAGUCGAAGGUUUAGUACCAUAUUGUCUGGUAGGUAGCACAACGCAAAGGUGGCGGUGUGGAGAGAGGAGGAAAACCGCGAGAUGGACAUUGGUGCUGAGGGCACAAGUUCAUGGCAUUCGGUAUGUGGUAUGUGAUUUCCAGGGGAAUAGUAGAACUCAAGCAGUUGUAGUUCUGUGAAUAUAGGGGAUUUCAGCCAGGCGUCCACCGUGCAGGGCAUGGUAUGCUUGCUCAGGUAGCAUGACGGGAUGCAUAGGCUUUGAACGGAGCCCUGGUGGGAGGAGAUGAUGGCUCUGGGGAUUUCAAAAUCAUUGAAGAGAGAUAGCUGACGACAAUCGAUAUUAAGGGCACGACGCGCCAUAGAGGGCGCCACCGAAUUGAGUGGACUUGGUUGCGGAAGCUAUCCUUGGUGGGGAUAAGCGAGAUGAUCUCCCCAAGUACGGUGUCCGGGAGAUCGCUGAUGCGGUCCACCCGAGAUUCUACGGGUUCCUGGGAUCCGGUGGGGGCGGGGUCGCCGCUUCUCCCCGUGCUGUCGGGUGCGGGAUCUACAACAGGCGUUGCCAUUGGCGGGAGCCUCAUCUUCUUUACGAUGGGGUCAGCCGACUGCAUUUUCCUUGAGGGCGUCGCGUCGCUCUCACGGAUUUGAGCAGAGUAACGAACGACGAGCCUAGUUGUAGUGCGAGUGAAGAAGAAGGGGGGCUGAGGUUUUUUCUGUAGUAGUGAGGAAGAAGGGGAGCUGGGGUUUUCUGUAGGAGUGAGGUGAGAAAUUUGGGGGUACGAGUGGAGCGAACUGACGUGAGGUGGGUGGGAGCGAGGAGGAAGAAGAGCACCCAGGUUUUUUGGGGGGCAGUGUGUUGGGUGUGGGUAGCGCCUCUCAUUCAGUAAAUAUAGGGCUUUUGAAUUGAUUUUUCUAUUUACUAGUGUGGAUGGGCUGUUUUGUCUUGGCCCCAGAGAAACAAUUACUACUAGUAUAGUGGAGACACUCUACAACUACCCAGAAAAACAAUUACUACUAGCACAGUGGAGACACACUACCGCUUAUGGCUCCUCCUAGGUCAUUGAAACGUCUCCCUCUACUAAAUGCCAUUAUACUUUUGUUCACCGACAUGCGGGCCAUGCAACGCGCGGGCCCAAAUGCCAUCCACCAAAUUAGAAGGCAGUAUGCAGGCGGAGAGUCACCCCGGUCGUAGCGCGGCAGUAACGAGCCGUCGUAUCACAAAACCCCACCUCCCCGCAGUUUAAGUUUGACGGACGAAGCAACCAUCAUUUCACUCUUCGCUGAAUCCCCUUCUCCCUCACCGUCUUCAAGAAAGGAAACACUCGCAUCUGCCACUGUUCUUCUCUACCAACGAAGGGAAGGUAAGCGGAUCCGUGAUGUUGGUAUAUUUUCGUUCAGAGAAAAAAAAGAACUUUUGCAAAGCAGUAAACGACCCUCACUCUCUUUUUUGUUUCAUUGUCAUUGCGAUUGUGUUUUCCUUUCAGUGGUCUCCUAGUAUUCGUCAGUUUCAUGAUGGACCAAGGAGAACCAGGCAAAGAUCUGCCAGUAUUGGAGCAAACGCGGGAGGCUGAUCCCCACGAGACAGAGAGCUCCAAGAAGAUGGAGGCAGCCACCGAGCCGACCCCAGAUACGCUCACGGGCACUACUGAGAUGGUCAACGCCCCGUUUCAGGUUACAGCCCCCGUGGCACUGCAGGAGCAGUUUUGCCCCUUCGAGGAUGUGUCCCCCCCCCCCCGCGGCGGAGCUGCCCAAGGUGAUUUUCUUCUUUUCCGAUCUCGAUUGUGGUUUUUCAUCUAAGUAUGUGGUGAUUAAUAAUGCAAAAUUUUAUUAGUAUCGAUGACAUGCUAUACAUAGUGGUUUAAAUAACUUGUGUUUCUUAUACUGAAAAGUAAUUCAGAAUUUGUUUCUGUUUCAAUUAGAACCCUGAUGCAGACAAGGAUUGUGUGGUUGUACAUAUCACUCGCUAUGAGGCGGAUGACCUGAAUAUACGCACUUGGAAAACAGAGUUCUUAGGCUGUUGGAUCCUGGAAGCCAUUUGCGGUUAUACCAAUGAAGAGUUGUAUUCCAGCCUCACUGUUGACAGGCGUGUUGUCCAGGGUGUAUUGAAGCAUAAGAAGUUCAAAGAUACUCCUUCGUUUGUGAGGCAUACUGUUCUUGUCAAGCUUACACAGGAAGAUGACGUGGCAUGCCUCUACAAACAAGUUUAUCAGUGGCAAGGCCACAAGGUUGUCUUCAUGAAGGUUCAUAGGAUUAAGCUGCUGCGGGACAUCCUCGAUGAUGUUCAUAGCAAGGUCCGUCUUGUGUCCAGCCCAAAUUAGAUCAAGGCAUGAAAAAGUUUCCCUAGCUAGUGUUUAAUAGUAGUUUGGAUUGUGUCUAAUUAUCCAAACCUUGCAUGUUAUCGACACCUCUGGGGCUAGUACUCUGUUUGAAUUCGUCUAUGGGAACUGCUGCUACUUUUGUGUGCCCGUGAAUCAUGUGAGAACCAUUGUAAUUGUUGCCGAAACAAAUGCGUCCUCACUAGUUUUUUCAUGAAUAUGGCAUGGUAAGACAUAAGUUUCACGGUUUAUCAUAUGAGCAGUGUGUGUUUUGAUGAAAUAGAGCACUCGUUCGAGAACUGUGCGCCAACGUAUACAUAAGUACUUGUAAACACUGUUGGUGUUACCCCACUUGUAAGCAGUUGUGCAAAACACGGCACAUUGGCUCAGCUCGCUUCAACACUAGGCUAUCGACCAGCUAACAAUCAGCAAUCUGCUGUCUGACAUAUAAGCAACUAUGUAUCUUGUUACAGUGGUUCAUGCAGUUAACUGAGGCCACAAUGUAAAUUCUAAAUGUUCACACGCUAGUCCCGCGUUCAUGUGGAACACUCACAUUAAACUCGUCUUCAUAAAAAACUUGAAAAGCAUAAGUUAAGCAAUUUUAUACAUCUCAAUGAUUCAUAGAACAUAACAAACAUAUACUAGUUCACAGCAAAAGACAAAGUUGUGAGAAGGUUUACAAAUCAGGAAAAAACAAGCAAGGCUUCUCUGAGAAAAGGGCCUCCCGGUAGGCUUAAAUUUCCUGGAGUUCACUCUGGUUUUUUCUUGUUGCCACCAUCCAAGGUUAGGUUCUCUCAUUCCAUAAUAACCAAUUAUAAUUGUGGUCUCAGCUGGAAUGCUGAACUGAACCAUGCAGUGUACUGACCAGGUGAAAUUCUUGUGCAUUCCACUAAAUUUAAGCACCGCUAUUUGUAGAAAUAAGCAUAGCACAAUGCAUCUUGUCCACGCACCUGUCCAAAAAACUGCUGUACAGCCAUGGCAGCUAGUCCUCGGUCCAUGAAUGAACUGGUAGAAAGUGCAUUCCGGACUAGGAUGUAGUUGUUUUCGCUCGUCCCUGCACUGCAAUCAGGAAGUAAAACAUACGAAUCAGCUUCUUUUAGAUUGCGUUGGUCAUUCUACCUUAGUUACUACCAAUGUAAGAAUACCUUGAAGACUGGAGGUUAGACGACGGCAACGAGGGAUAGCCAUCUCAUUUUGCGCAGUUGUACUAAAACUAAGGUGUGUGCUUUUGAUUACGCGGAUAGAAACGAUACGGAGACAGACAUCCCGAAACGAUAUGGAGACAGACAUCCCUGUUUGCGCAAAUACGAAAUACGGGUAUUUAAACAGUGACAGAUAUUUGCAGUGGCGUAUUAUUAACAGCAGCAUCUAUUGUGUUAUAAUUUGCACUAGAUUGAUAGUAUGAAGAGUCCUUAAGUAAGUAGCAUCACAUCACAUCAAUAAUGCCACUAGAUUAACAUGCAGAACAAUAGCAUUAGUAUUACCGUCAUGAGAGUAGCACAUGGUCAGUAAAUGUGCAAUCAAAUUUGUGCAGUUCCACUAGGAUGAAGAAAUGUUAGCGGUGUGAGAGUUAAGUGUAACUGCAAAAAUACAAUUCAUGGGAAAUAAAGCAAGAUGGAAGCACUUCAUAAAAUGGUGGUGGCAUUGCUUCAAUUUAUCGAUGGCACUGGGACAGCAGGGGCAGCAGGGACAGCAGGGGCAUUGCUUAUAGUGAUAUUAGGUGGCAUUGCUUAAUGCUAAAUGUGAUUUUACAUUAACGGGGGCAUUGCUUAUAGUGAUAUUAGGUAGCAUUGCUUAAUGCUACAUGUGAUUUUACAUUAACGGUAGCGAUAUGGGCGUAGGGACAGCAGGGGCAGAAAGUGGUGAGGCAGAUGUGGCUGCCGAGAGCGGCGAACACUCAGGCAGCAUGUCUGCAUUUGUCCCAUUUUUUAUCUCCUCGGUGACAUUUUCCUAUGUGAGCACAGGAAAUCUAGACCUGCUCAUUCUCAUUUGCGUUGUCCCCCAACACCCGUCACUUUCUUUCCUUUUUCAACCAAGAGAUAGGUCCACUUCCCCCCACCCUUCGCCAUCCACCAUGCUUUCUUCGUCUUUUCAACCAAGAGACCGGUUGGGUAGCCAGUAUCUACUACUUUCCCAUGUUUCCUCUUAGAACCAAGUCCUAGAUUCAUGCUAUAGCUUUCCCACUUUAUUCCCUGUUUGAACCAACUCUUAGAGUCGACCGUAUGAACUAGCUUUACCUCUAAUAAUAGUAAAAUUCUAGGUGGCUUUGGAAUAGCGGAUGGAAUUAGAAAAAGUUCCACAUGAAGGGAGUUGGGGCAGUAGAUCAAGGCAGGUUUCGAAGGAAUAUAUACCUGAGGGCCGUCGUCAUGUGGCAAAGACGACGUCGGGAGGCCGCAUCUUGGCCACAAUACCGCAGGGAGGAAGAAGGGGUCGGAGGCCCUCCCGAGCCGGCGCUCUCUCGGAGAGAACGACACGGCUGCCGAUCGGGAUGCGCGGGCAGCCGUUGGUCUCCUCCCUCGCCGCCGACGACAGCGAGAACGAUGCACCUAAACCCCUGCCCCGGUCGAGGUUGUCCGGCCGGAUUUGUGACCAACCGUGAGCUGAGAGAGAGUGUGGCCACCUAUGUCUUUCUUAGAUCUGGAGAGCAUGAGAGAGUGAACGAGAGGAACCCUAGUAAAGCAAGCACUAAGGAUCCUGCUUAUAUAUAUAGUGGAGUGAUUUUGUUGUACCAGCUUCAAUAAAUGCGCUCCUACAUGUACCAGUGAGUGGGUGUGAGAGAACUAGUGCGUGCGUGCACCGCUUCUCUUCAUGAUAGUACAAUACACUAUGCCCAAAGAACGUUCGCCGCAAGAGUAAUAGUAUAAGUGUGUGACGUGUGAGCUAAAAUAAAAUGUGCGCAACGUCUUUUGGUUUUUAGAAGUUCUGAGGGUGGGGUGUGAAGAGCACAUAUGUGCAUGACAUCUACCUGCAGAUAGACGGUGGGUGUGGCAUGUGAGUCUGUGAGAGGACUCGGGAGAGUCGUGACUCAUGAGGGUGCGUGUGCAUGAGAGGGGGGGCACGUAUCAAUGCAAUGCAUGUGUACGUAAAUCAUUAUCCGACAAACAUUCGCUACAAGUCUUUUCCUGACGAACGCCGUAAGAACCGUUAGAUCGGCAUCCGUCAGUGUCAGUUUUGCCAUGUCAUUUAACAGAACAGCCACUCCUCCUACACACAAAUCUUCCACGUGAGUGUUAGCAACUGCCGUAUGCUCCCUCCGUUCCGAAAUGCAGUGCACAUAGCUUUAUUGAAAAUUUGAACCUCACAAACUUUUACCCAGUUUUCAUGUACCAAAUUGCACAUGUAGAAUACCCUGUAUAUAUCAUUUCAUUCAUCUUCGAGAGGUAACUAUAAAGAUGGGGGAGGAGUCUACAAAGAAAGACCAUCGUAUCACCCGCAGCAAUUUUAACCAUCCUUUGGUGUGAGGAAUAUCAUAGGAACUCUAUAUGAUAUGAUUUUUAUAGGAUUUUUUCCUUUAGAGCCAAUUGGUUCAUAGGAAUAGAUUCAUAUACUCCACAUUUCAAAGGAAAUAAACAUGAUAUCAUUUCUAUAGCUUUAGAGCCACUUGGUUCAUAUGAAUGGAUUCCUAUACUCCCUUAAUUUCAAAGGAAAAUAAACAUUAGCGUAUAUUCAAUAGAAAAGUUCCUAUGAUAUGAACCAAAUUACAUAUCUUUUCUAAUCCCUCCUCAUUGGAAUUGAGAUACAUGUCAUCUCUGGAUUCAAUAGAAAAGUUCCUAUGAUGUGAACCAAAUGACAUCUCUUUUCCAAUCCCUACUCAUAGGAAUUGAGAUGCUCCAUGUCAUCUCUUUCCCUACAACUUCCAUGUAUACAUCUUCUAUUCCUAAAUAGAUAGUACAACCCACUAGUAGCUUUUUUUCCAAAACAUGCAACUAUGGCACAAGAACUAUAUAGUGUGCCAAUAACUUUGAAAGAUGGUCGCUGGAUGAAGCUAAUCCGACAGUGCAGAGAUGGAAAAUCUGAGCACUACUGGCCGUCGGAUAUCAUCAACAUUCCACCAGAUCUUCCACAUUUACAAUUUAGAAGACUCCAUGGUUGAACUUAAGCAUAAUGCACAAACCUCAAAACACAAGCACUUCUCCUUUGUUCUAGAAUCUUCUGUAUCAUAAUUGAUUUUUUUUCUAAAUGAAUUGCCAUUAUUUGUUUUUUACUUUAUGCUUUACAAUGCACAACCCCAUCAAUCUUAACAUUUUUAUAAAACUAAUUGAUUUUGAAUGAGAUGAACUAUAAGAACUAAACGAACAUCUACAUCAUGCAUAUAUGACUCAAAGCUUUACAUGCUAUAGUGUGUAUUUAUUCAUAAUUUAAUUUUGAAAUCUCAUCCAUUCAAUGCAUCAUUGCCUUUCGGUCGAACCUAUGUCCACAAUUUUUUGUACGUACUAUAUCUCCACUGGUCCCCGAACCCAAAACGUUGCCUCGUUCCCGUAAAACCAAGCGGCCCACACAUGCGUCGACUCGAACCCGUUUACGACGAUGUGGCCCCACACGCCGUAGUACUCCUACGAACCCUACAGCCACACUCAUCAUCGGUUUUCUUCAAGAGGACGAGGGAGAAGCCGAUUUGUAGUGGAGGCGCUCUAACAAAAAAGGAUCUAUAGUGGAGACCCCUUCCCUAGGGUGCCCUAGGUAGCUACCGCACGCAUCAUUGUUUUCCCUUUUCUUUAUGCUCUUGCACCCUAGAUUGAAAUGAUGGUUGUUUCGUCCAUCCAGCUUAAUGUGGGAAAGGUGGGGCUUCGCUCAUUUUCUACUACUGUGGCGCUACGACCGGGGUGCCUCCAGUUCCAACCGCUGCUCCGAAUUGUAAUUUGGUGCAUCGCACGUGGAACAAGACGGUGGAUGAGCUACAUGUCGGCCAAAGGGGUCCUGUUAAGUAUGUCGCCAUUUCGUGUGCGGACUGGCCCUGCUUGAGUUGCUACGCCAACACGACAGGAGCAGCCUACCACUUGGUUUUGCUCCUUGGUGAAUCCCGACUAUAUUGAUCUAAAAAGAUACGUGCAAAACUACCCUCUCCUUCUCGGUUUUUUAUUUUUAGGUGUCUCGGUUUAUAGGGUGUGCACGUAGUUCUAGGUCAUCCAUUUGACUAACUAAAUAUGAGUUACUAUGUCACAAAAAGUACUACCUCCGUCCUGGUUUGUAGGCCCCUUUUGUAGUUUGUGUCAAAUUUUGACUAAAGAUUUAACUAACAAAAUGUUAAUGCAUGUCAAGAAAAAUUAUUUCAUUGGAUUCGUAUUUGAACAUAGUUUUCAAAAAUAUAAUGUUUGGUGACAUGCAUGAACAUUUUGUUAGUUUAAUCUAUGGUUAAAAAUUGGCACGAAAUACAAUGGGGACCAAUAAACUCGGAAGGAGGUAGUAUAUCAUUGGAUUCUUAAGCGGAUGUAGUUGUAUUUAAAAGUCGAGGGCGGGGCUUUUCCUACGCAGUAGGCGGGGCAGUUCCGCCUAGUCGGUUCGACAGAGACGCGAGAAGACAAGGGAGUAGGCUGCUGCAAAUGUAGGGCUGUGUGAUUUGACAACGAGUUACUGCUGGACAGGUGGGGCCCCGUGAUUUGACUUGCCAUUUUCAUUUUAACUACGGCGCUACGACCGGCGUGAGUCUCCCGAUUCCUGGCCACCUCCAUACAGGGGCCUCUCCCAAUGCUCCACCAUGUAGUUGAGGCUGGCUCUUGCAUGAGAGCCCACUUCUCCACUUUUUCCUUGCCUCUUUCCUCCACAUAUGCAAAAAUGCCAUGUAAAGCGGGCUUAUAGCCCACUAUUGUAGUACUUACUUGCUCCUACAGGUGCUAAGCUAGCCACAUAGGCAUAAAGUCUGAUGUGGCAAGUUUGGUGACCCAAGGAAGAAAUGAUGAUAAGCGCGUGUACCUAGGUGAAAAGACAAUUUUGAGUCUAUAGCUAAUUAAAUGAAGCAAACUUAGCAACAAAAAACUACUAAUAAGCACCUAUGCCUUGGGGACUUCAUUGCUAAGCCAUUUAAUGCCCUUAGCACCUCAUCUAAGCACCAUUUCAUUGGAAGAGGUCACUCCUUGGCAAAUGCAAUUAAUACUACUCCCUCUAUCCCAUAAUAUAAGAACGUUUUUGGCACUACACUAGUGUCAAAAACGUUCUUAUAUUAUGGGACGGAGGGAGUACGAAGAAAGAGAUAGAGAGAAGUAAAAAAAAUACACUUAUACCCAACCUUAUAGCUAACCAUGUUGUAGUAUGAGUGACUAAGUGAUGACUAUGUUUGACAUGCCAACAUCAGAUAGCCUAACGCAUCAUGUUAAAUCUUCAAGGGUGCGAGCGACGCGACGGUCGUGGUAGGCGCGACCAUGAUACGGGCUGCUGGCAACCCUUGGAUAUGAUAUCAAACGGUCGCAUGCUAAGUUGAUGGAAAUUUGCAGAAUAACCCUCCAGGAUAGGAUAUUCACCCAUAGGUCUAGAAUCACGCCAUGCAACCAUUCAAUCUCAGAUCCAAGGGCUCUCGGAAGCCUGUAUCAUGGGAGAAUGGAAAGCCACUACCCUGUCGUUCGCACGCUGACAGUUCGCUCCUACUCGUCCCCGCACGUCCUUUAAUAUUACGGUGGUUCGCUCCUAGUCGUCCCGUCCUUUCACAUUACGGCAGUUCCACUAAUCCUAACCCUCCUCCCAAAUCCAUGGUGUCCCAAAUCUCCAUGAUCGGGGAUGAGUACAAGGUUAGAACCAUCACCGACAAUGAGUUCGACAUCCUCUACACCCAUUCUUCCGCGACGGUGAAAGGAUGCCUUUAUCGCUUCAGACGCAUGUUCGAAAACUCACAUGAUGAGUGGGUUGCUGGGUUAGAUGUUGAGUACACCACAGUCCUGGGACGAGAGAAGGAUCUAAAGGACGAAGAGAGGAAGAAGCCUGUCGUGAUCCAGGUUUGCGUGCAUGACUUAUGCUUGGUCUACCACAUAUGCAAUGCCGACGUUGAAUGCCUGGAUUUUAAGAACUUCCUCGAGAGCAACCUAGUCAAAUUCAUUACUGUAGACUUUACAAAUGACAAAGAAGUCCUGGGUCGGAUAUAUAGGCCUCGUUGUAGGCAACCCCUUCGACCUCCAGAAGAAUCGGCUGCUGCCCUCCGGUGGCCAGCCUUCAAUGCUAACACUGGCAGGAGCCAUGGUUCAUCCUUCGUACGGUAAACUGGACAAACCUCAUUACAAGUUUCAUCGUCAUGCAUGGCAGCGGAAUGUACUAUGUAUAGACCACAUCCACUACGCUGCAAUGGAUGGCUACCUUUGUUUCAAUAUCUACAAGGGUUGGAUGAAGAGCAAGAGCCAAGUGUGCGGUUCAAGCAAAGAAGUAUCGGCCAAGAGGAAGAGGGACAAGGACGAAGUCGAGGACGUGGACGAGGACUCCGUGUGAGUAAGGUGUCAGUAUCGUUGCGCAUGGUGGUUCUAAUGCAGUGUCUACUGGAUUAGUUGCAUAGUUUAAUUUCAGGUGUGCUUAGUUUAAUUUGAGGGGCAUGUUGUGCUGAGCCCCAGCAGAACUAUGUUGUGUUUCUUCUCGUUACUUUAACUCCUCAGUACGUACAUACUAUUAGUAUUUCUUUAAUAGAAUUUAGCACCCCAAUUAAGCACGUGCUAGCUUUUUUAAUAGUACUAUAUGCAUAAUUUGGCAACGAGCGCUCUCUAUAUGUACCACCUUUUUUUUAAUUUCAAUUUUUGCUCCAUGGCGCAAUCCAUCGAUACUACUACUGCACAAAAGUAUACAUUUUUUAAAAGGCUAGAGUACUAUUCAUCACAUAUAUAGCUAGUUAAAUUCUCAACCUAGAACGACGUGCAUGCGAUGUAAACCGAUACGGAGGAAGUAUGGUAAAAAUGAGGUGAUUUUACCGAGCGAUCGGCGGGGAGCAUGGCCUGUCAUGCGGUCCCACGUGUCAUGAUGUACCAAAGUGAUGCGUGUGUCCCUCUUGAGGCAGAAGCAAUACUACGUGGUUUGAGAUGAUGGAGAACCGAAGUAUGAAAUAAUGGUUGCUUCGUCCGUCUGGGAAGGUGCGGCAUUGUGAUUUGACGUCUCAUUGCUCAUUAGUACUACUGGGCCGGUAUGAGUGGGGUGCGUCUCCCCUGCUGUUCUGUACUGUUAUUUGGUGCUUGCCACAUUGAUCCAGUUGCUAUAUGUCCCACAUGUCGGCGACAGGAAGUAUAGAAUUCAUGAAAGUGAGCGUCAACGGAGGAGUAUACUACAGAAUUCAUGAAAGGGAGCGACUUAGUUUUGGAAAAAUCUGUUUUUACAGAGUACGUACCCACUAGGGUUUAUAGGGCUCAUGUAAAGAACAUUCGUUUUUCCAUUUGAUAAGUCUCAAUUCAACUACUAGUAGUAGUACCGUUACAUGUUGCAUUUCGAGGUGCGUUAGAUCACCCGAUGCAAGCAGUGUCAAGAGGAAACUCACCAAUGCAUGUAGAAGUUCAUGGAAUGCAUUUGUUCUAAUUAAUGCCUCGGUAAACAUAACUUAUUGAGAAAAAUGAGCGUACUAAUUACUUGUGCAAACUACAAAAUUAAUUCGACCACUCACCAUCUACCUUGGUUGGAGAGAUUUUGAAAUUGAGCCAUAAACUGGAAAGGAGGGAGUAGUAACUUUUGUCUCGAUUACUAUUCGUGGCCUUGUAUAGAUGCAAAAUGUAUUUUUUUAUAGUGGCCUUGUAUAAGUAAAUGGAGGGAGUAUUAAAGGACAUAUAUAUUACAAACAAUAUGAGAAUCUCUCUAAGCAAGGUACAUAGCAGGGAUGAGGAGUAAACGGAGGGAGUAGUAAAAUUUUCUCCUUGUCCUGCCAGCCACCGCACGCAUGGGCGAGGGAGCGGGCGUAAGGCGUGCAGUAGUAGUACUACUACUACUCGUAAGCAAGCUUCACCUCGUCCUGCGAGCCACCGCGCCCGUGGGCGGGGGAGACGGCGUACUAAGCAAGCUUCUCCUCGUUCUGCGAGUUGACGGGAUACAUCAAAAUUACUCCAGUGUAUAGAGCCUUGCCUCUAAGGUAGGCCCCACAUGGUUUGCCUCUUUUUUAACAUAACACGUCAAGUCGCAAUUUGUUUGUUCAUCCUUUGUAGACGACCCUCCCUCCACCAAGUGGACAACCAGUACACGUGUCAAAUUACCACGUGGGCUGCCUUUUCGUACAGAAAUGAGCUCCACCGUGUACCCGCGCGGGUGUGGUUAGGAAAGAGACGUGAGUACGUGCACCGUGCAUGCACCUUUUCUCUUCGUGCACGUCCCCCACCUACGUGGGUGUGUGUGAGAGAGAUACAAACCUAGACAUAAUGCGCCGUCCAUCCCAAUGCCUCCGCCCAGUCCGACCACCUGUCACCACCACGCCCCACUCCUCCUCACUUUAUCCCUCAUCUUUCUCCCUCCAUUUUUAUAUACAAGGGGCCACUAUCAAAAUUACAAUUUGCAGAUAUACAAGGCCACUAACACUAAUCGAUGCAAUAUUAAUGGUGUUUGCCUCGUGGUACUAGCAAAGGAGGACAUUAAUUAUCCCUUGCAUGCAUGCGGGAGUUUGUAAAAAAUGCAUCUUGAUGUUCCGUGCAAUGCACGGGCAUCUUGCUAGUCCAUGAAAACAACACAUGGCAAAAUUCCACGACGAACGAGGGGUUUGAAUCUGUCGGGACUUGGGAGGGGCUGUUUGGAUCUUGCCCGGGAUAGCCAAAAAUAUUGGCGACCCUUUUGUCCACUGGUGCCUUUGCCACCGAUGAACGAGGAAUGGCUCGGGUGCUCAUGCAUCCUCCAGUGCGCACGUUGAAGACGAGCUCGCAUGAGCUGUGUUUUUUUUUGUCCCACAACACCGCUCGAGCCGCCCAUAGACCGACCGGCGACCCGCAAAUUAUGCCAUCCAACCGUAGCCGCACACAUUAUGACAGCAACUCAACCAACCGGACGAAAUUCACGCAAGCACAUAGACAAAUUGAUAUUUCAUAUAAACAAUGACGGAAAUCAUAUAAAAUACCAGAUUUUCAUACAAACAUGACGGAUUUCAUUACAUUCAAAUGAACUACGUGGUGCUAGUUCUGGCCUAAAUGGUCGCCCACCGAUCAAUUUGUGUUCCUCAUGUCCGGCAGCAUGAUCACCGGACUGCCGGGAGCCCCAGAGGUAUAUGCUUCAGCGCAAAGGACGGCUCGCUUCCCCACUGCCCAACUGAUAUCAUUGGCUGAUGCCAAAGAUGAUGGUGGCUGGCACCGGUUCGAGUUUAUCACCGGCCACUACUUCGCCAUGGUUGGCACCGGCUCGAGUUCAUCCUAACAUUCCCCUCUUCCGUGGAGCCCAUGCAGGGUCGACGAAGGUUCUCGCAACAAAAGGAUUCGGCAAGACACCUGCUAUGUACGCCGGCGUCGCCUCUGCGAUGGCCUUCAUGGGACCCAAGCGACGGCGGCCUCCCGUGUUCUACUUCUCCUCGAUGAUGGUGGCAGACGCGGAGGCGCUGGCCACCGACACGUCACUCUCCAUGCAUCCGGCUUCUGUCGCUGCUUGCAUGGCACGGCCGCCGGCAUGGGAGUCCUGGCCACAAAAACGGGAGACGUGAUACGAGGCGGCGAUGUGGACGGCAGCAACGACGCCCGUGAGCCGCUCCUCGUCGAGCUGGCCUGGAGCGGCGAGUUGCUGAACCGCGCGCCGGCUUGGGGCGGCAACUGGCUCUAUUGGGCGAGGGGAGGGAGGUGGAUCAGCGAGCUGCAUAGCUCGUAUCCGGCGGGCUACCCAGCCGGCUUGGACGCGGAAUAACUACUUUUCGUAAGCCAUUGUAAGAGUGGACAAAAUGGUGAAGGAGGAGAUAAGGGAGCGGCGGAGGUGUGCGAUUCUUGGCCGGCGUUUGGCCUCAUUUAAAUAGGAGAUUAAAUAGACGGCGGACGGGAAGAGCUUGGCCGGUGUUGCAUUUAAUGUCGGCCCAGUCAUGAACGGAUGUGUGUCCAGAGUGGGUUUCUCGGCUUCCACACGGGCGGGUUUCAUGGAGGCGUUUGAAUGCGGCAAGGAGGCGUGUUCAGCGGGGCGUGCAACAAGUGGCGCCCUCGACUCUGACCUAGGACACCGUGCCGUUCUUCCACUAAUGUGUGGGCUCUUCGGGUACAUGGCUUGCAUGUCAGUGACCCAACGCAGGCAGCGCACAGUAGAGGAACCUUUGGUGGGCCAGGGCAGUCAGAAGCGGGCAUUUCAUAAACCGAUGAUUGUUCAUUUAGUGUGACGUCAUCUUUUUCAUGUAGAUAAGCCUACUAUGUUGAUAGCCCGUUUGAUACGUUGUGAUUCAUAAAGACCGCUGCAAACAUCAAUGUCCUGCUUAUCACAGAUAAGAUUGUUUAAUACCCGUAACAAUCCAUGUCCUUAACAAAGGGUGCAUGCACGUAUAGGUUGAGCGUGUGUCUUGUGUCGUGUGCUGUGUGCAUGCAGGCGUGCGAGUGUUGCCUGCAUGCAAGGGUACGAUUCAGUGUUGCAUGCAUGGGUGCGUACGUGCGUGUGUUCAUGAGUGCAUGUGUACGUGUCAGUGUUGCACGCCUGCAUGCGAGUGUGUGUGUACGUUAUGUGUACGUGUCAGUGUUGCACGCCUGCAUGCGUGCAUGCAUGUGUACAUGCGGGUGAAGCUACACGUCAGUCGGCUGACUUUUUCAUCUCUGGUCAUUAGAUUUUCCAGUCGUUGGAUAGAAAUCAAGGGCCUCCGGUUUAUCAUCAAACUCCACCCCCCUGAGCCGCCAGCCACCACCGGCCAAACCGCCAGCCCCCGCCCGCGGCCGGCCCGCGCCGCCCCGCCCUCCCCGAAACCACUCCCCACCACCAGUCUGCCGCCGCACCGGCCAUCCCUCUAGCCCCCCCCCACGCCAAGCUUUUUCUCCGGUGAUCCCCACCCCACUGCCCAAUCGUUGCCCCGCCCCCACCGACGGCGACUUCGAACCAGAGGUCUCACGACUUCGAAUACCCACCGACCACUAAUUUAUUACCAUUUAUGUCCUUCAUAUACGCGCUGACGGGUGGGCCCUAUGGUAAUGUGCGCUGCUGAAUGUGAAGCGUUUGACUGGUCAAUUGAUCGUGUUAUCAACAAAUUACGGAGCUGUAUGGUGAGCCAGUGCCCGUAUGAUCACCCUAAAAUGUACUCCUAUUUUAUUAACACAGUACAGACUCAAACUACCAUUUCUUUCUUUCAUAUACAGGCUGACAGCUGGGCCCCACGGUUACGCGCCCCGAUGGUGCAACACUAGUUACGCCGUGUGGAACAUUUGACUGGUCAAUUGAUUGUGUCAUCAACAAAAUACAGAGUUGUACGGGUGAGCCAGUGACCGUAUAAUCAUGACAUGUAUUUGUUUAACACGGUACAGACGCAAGGGCUCAUAUAUACGUGCAAGCACUCACCGCUAUAAGCGCACACACGCUGACCCUACCCCUAUGAGCACCUUCGAGAGAGUGGGCCAGCAUAUAUGAUCUUGAGAUUUUACGAAGUCACCAUAGGUGCCUCGUAGUCGAGUGGAACGUCUCCUCCCACUGAACCCACAUCGCCGGAAAAUACUGAAAUUAACACAAGAUAAAUGCGAGCACCGGGACUUUAACAUUGGUGUGCUCGAGAAACCACUAUCCUGCUAACCAUCCAACCACAUGUUGGUUAGCACGACCAAAUGUAUGUGGUGACCGUGAUCAGCUUAUUCUAAAGUCCAGUGACCAUAUCGUGCUUUCGCUUCAAAUACAAUGACCGUAAGUGUCGUCAACAAAAUACGGAGCACGCAUUAAAUGCAAAGUCCGUUAGUGUCAUCAACAAAAUAUGGAGACGUACCGUGAGCUAGAUACCGUUGUACUAUUGUAUAUGCUUAUUUUCUUAGUGGCCGAUUAUAUGUGUUGUGUGGUGGGCACAUCAUUUCUAGUUGUGGUGGGUCAACAUGAAGACUCAUGGGCCGGUUCCAUCCUGCACCACAUAUAGGUUGGACCGAGAUGCGUUAUACGAAGACCCAUGUGGAGGACUCUGCGUACAACACGAAGCUACCAGAGUCGCGGAGGACUAUCCCCACUGGUGAUAAGCCUACUAUAUAUGUUAUAGAAGCUUGGGGGCUAGUUCAUCGAUAGUAUACACACACACACAAUGCCUAGUAUUCACGUGUACUUUGUACACACCCCUAUCACUAAUAUACAGUACCAGGAGUAGGCUCUUUCUUCAACUGCAAGGGUCCGAACUAAGGAAAAACUUUGCCUCGUAUUACCACCUAGCCUAGCAGUCAGGGAUAUCCUACCGAAUGAUANNNNNNNNNNNNNNNNNNNNNNNNNNNNNNNNNNNNNNNNNNNNNNNNNNNNNNNNNNNNNNNNNNNNNNNNNNNNNNNNNNNNNNNNNNNNNNNNNNNNNNNNNNNNNNNNNNNNNNNNNNNNNNNNNNNNNNNNNNNNNNNNNNNNNNNNNNNNNNNNNNNNNNNNNNNNNNNNNNNNNNNNNNNNNNNNNNNNNNNNNNNNNNNNNNNNNNNNNNNNNNNNNNNNNNNNNNNNNNNNNNNNNNNNNNNNNNNNNNNNNNNNNNNNNNNNNNNNNNNNNCGAGAGAGGCCUAAAGAUAAUGUGCGGGCGGGAGACACGUAGGCACAUAUAUGUGUGUAUAGAUGGCUAGUAGAGAUAGUGCGUUUGUAUAUAGACAUGUGAGAGAAAUAGUGUUUUCCAACUGAGAUUAGUGAAAAGAGUGGUACAUAGUUGUCAGAAAGAGAGAGAGAGAGAGAGAGAGAGAGAGAGAGAGAGAGAGAGAGAAACAGAGAGAGCAUGUGCGUGAGACACCCUGACACCCUGAGAGAGAUUGUGAGCAUGUGUGAAAGAGAAAUGCCGAUGCAUAUAAAGUGUGUGCACUUAUGUGUUAGAUAGAGAGAUAUAUAACGCGUUUGUGAGAACGGGCCGAGGCAUAGUGCAUCUACGUGUAAAAGGAGGUUCUACGCAUUAAAUUAAAAUAAAAAUGGCAUUAUUAUUUUUGGAUGAGAUCAUGAAUUUUGCAAAUUGCGUAUGGACGAAAUCAGUCUAUCAGACACCCAUACUCUAUUGAAUUCUAGCAUGUGCAUGUGUUUAUUUCAUAUUAUCGAUCCAUAGAGUGAGAGAAGUUUGAAAUACAGGCAAUGGAUGCUUUUGCAAUUCAUAUAUAAACAUUAAUUAGUGCACUCCAUGUUGUUAGUGUGAAGCACUUUAUACAUUUGUCACUUGCAUGGAUACAUUCCAAAUUGCUAAAUAGAAUAUAUGUCGAAUUCAACAUAAAGGGGGUUUCGAAGAUUCGAAUUCAUAGGAAGUGCAUUCAUCUACUUGAACCCGAGAUAAUGGAAUUUGUAAAUCAGAUGUAAAAGCGGGCAUCAAUAUUUGUUGUGAGUUUGAACAUGCUAUAUAUAUUCAUACGCAUAUCUAAAUUUUUUUUGCAACCAAGGAGAUUAUAUCUGGAACCAUGCAUGAACAGAGGUAAGUUGCAUAUUUUUUAAUAUAUACUCGUGUACAAUGUACAUUCAAAUGUACCCCCUCCAUUCCAAAAUAAACGUAGCUUUAGGAUUUUCAAGAGUAAAGAUUUGCGAAGUUUGACAAAUCCUAAAAGUUCAAUUCAAGAGAACCGAAAACGUUAAUGCUUCUGCUCCCAAAUAUUGAACAAAGCGCCAAAUAGGCCUGUGGUCACCCGAAACCGCGCGAGACUAAUGUUUGGUGGUAGGAAAUUACUGUCCUGACUCUGGCCCGUGUAGCCUAUCGGCCCGUUGUCCAAAGGUCUAAACCGGGGUAGGUCUUUAACUUCACCAAGACGCCAGUCUCAACCGCCUCCGAGAAGAAUCCAUACUCCAUGGGCGCCUAAACACCCAUGCGCUCGGUCGAAAUCUAUCCCGCCCACAUUUGGGACAACUGAGAUUACUGUCGUACCCCCAACCCGCAAUAUGUCCAAAAUUUUAGAUGGGGGCAAAGUUUGUAACUUUCCCCAAAUUUCAAACAAGCGCAUCUCAAACCGAAACAUUGUUCCCCCUUAGUUCCCCGCCUCCCUCCGUUUCCCCAUUUAUACUCCAUGGGCGCCAAAACACCCUCUCCACCAGCCGCGAAACCCCAGCCUCCUCCGUCCUCCACCCCAUAGCGGCCAAUCCACCGCCGCCCUCCUCCAUCACGUCGGAGCCGGUACCCCGACGUCGUUGUUCAACGCAACCACAACCACAACUCCCUCAAGGACUUAGCAGCUGAAGCCGAGGCAGAGCUGCGUCCAUGAUGCCGACGCUGACGUGCGCCGUACCAGAACCACUCCGACCACGCCGUCCUGCACCUCACUGCUGCCGCUCCAUUCUCGCAACCGUCCACCGCACCGGAGGUGUUCCCGCUACACCGUCGUUCGCCGCCUCAGAUCUGGUUCCCCGCCGCCGACAGACGGCCAUCGCACCAUACUCAACAACUUGGCCAUGGGUUCGUCCAAGGCUCCACCGUCCUCCACAACUUCUCAUUUCCAGCGAACCACAAGAAGAUCGUUGAAAAAACAGAAGGAGGACACAACACUGCCAGUAGAAAGUGGUACUCCUAUUCCCUUAUUCGUGCAAAUCUUACGUCUCUGCUCACACCGUAUUCAUCCCACGAAAGAAACUAGUUGAGCGCUUCUUACUGCAUCUUCUUCGUGAUACUAAAUGCACAAGGUUUCCUCCCUUUACUAUUUCACUUAUGCUAGAGGUCAGUAGCCCGCCUGGAUUUCAAUUUAGGGUCAAUCGAACCGCAAUUAAAAGAAGCAGCACCCGCUUAGGCGCGCGGAGCACCUAGUCCGCCUGUUCCUCGGGGAAGCGGCGCAUUGGUGUCUAUCAUAGGGGUGUGGGGCGCAGGAGCUGCUUGCGCCUGAUCUGGAGGUCGGCAAGGCUUGAAUGGAUGGCCGGGGGGCAGUGCCAAGCACGGCAGUGCGGUGAGAUCGAGGGGAGGGCGCAGGUAGGGGAGGAAUACUGGGUCGAUGGUCGCUGGCGUUUCGAGGAAGAUCGUCAACACUGACUGGCUGGAGGUAGAUGAAGGCGAUUUGCCCGUUCUUUGUACAUCGGACGGUGCAGAAAAAAUGGACUGACCUAUUUGUUUUUAGUCAACUGUUAUUUUCAUAGAAUCCUGUAGUAAUUUAGUGUGCCAUGCAUGUUGUAGAGUUAUCAUAUGUCUCCCGUCAUUUGUUUCUCACUGACCUGCUAUCUGCUACCUUUACACUGUACUAAUUGUGCACACACACUUCACCCAUACUCACACUAUUGCUUUUUUAUGCAUGGGUAUUUCAGACUCUGAAGCAGUGUUGAUGAAUGCAGAAAAGAAAAGAUAAGCACUAAGUGUUUCAGCGCUCUAAUGGGUGCAGUGUCAGCAGUUGGAGACAGUAAAUGUAGCUCUGCACUUGAUGAUCUCAAUUGCCACACACAACCAUCCCAGGUGCUUGCUUUAACUUUGCGCUGUCAAAUGUGGUUACAUGUUGCAUAUGGUGUCUAGCUUGUAUUGCUUCCAAUUUGGUUAAAUUGCAUCUUCUUACUUUACACAUUAUACCUUUGAUAAUGACAUGCCUCCCUAUUUUUGAUACAUAGUACAUAUGUCUAUUAACCAUUUUCGUACAUCAAACUAAUGCUCUUUUAUAUCCCUCGUCAAUCACUUAUGAUGAGGCAGUCACCCGAGUGGGUUACUGUGAGACGCCCUACUCGUUUAAACAGUGCAGUGUCAUCCUCCCCACAUGAUUCUCAAGAAACAACAAGGCUAAAUGAAGAUAGUCAACGUAGCUCUCUAGUUGAUCACCACAAUUCCCCCACACCACCAUCGCAGGUGCUUGCUCUUACUUGGCAGUGUGAUAUGUGGUUGCAUGUUCCAUAUGGUGUCUACCUUGUAAUGCUUCUAAUUAGGGUAAAUUACAUCUGCUUAGUUAACACAUUAUACCUGUGAAUAUGACAUGCCUUCCUAUUUUUGGUACAUACUACGUCUUUCUAUUAACCAUGUUCUUACAUCAAACUACUUUUCUUGUGUAUCCGUCAUCAGUCACUUCUGACGAUACACCUUCAAGUUGACAGUGUAAUAUUGGUUGCAUCUUGCAUAUCAUUUCAAACAUGUAUUGCCUCUAAUUUGUUGAAGUGUCACUUAUAAUGAGACACAUCUAACUUGGUAGAGUGAUUUUGGUUGGAUCUUUCAUAUGGUGUCUAGAUUGCAUUGCUUCCAAUUUGUUGAAAUGCCUUCUGCUUAGCGUUUUUCAUACAUAUUCCAUCCUCCUACAAUGUGGUUGCCAUACAUAAAAGUUGUGUUCGUCAGUAUCAUGCAUCAACGAAUUUGGAAGUGCGAAUUUCAUUCCAUUUUCUUGUGUCUUUACUUGACAAGGCAAAAUCUGAAAGGAUGAAGGCACGGAACGAUGGUGGUCCUCUAAAGCAACCAAAACAAAUGAUCUCUGCAGAUUCUCCUCCUACUCGUACUGCAGUGCUAGCUCCAAAUCUCAUCUCCCCUACUCCACAACCCAAGGUACUUGCUCUAACAUGGCAGUGUGAUAUCUGGUUGCAUGUUCCAUAUGGUGCCUAGCUUGUAUUGCUCCUAAUUUGUUAAAUUGCACCUCCUUAGCUUACACAUUAUACAUGUGAAUAUGACAAGCCUUCCUGUUUUUGGUACAUACUACAUCUGCCUAUCACACCAUGUUCUUACAUCAAACUACUGUUCUUGUGUAUCCUGCAUGUAUCGCUUAUGAUGAGACAGUCACGCGCGUGGGUUAAUAUGAGAUCCACUACUCUUAUAAUGAAUGCAAUUUCAUCCUCUCCACAUGAUUCUCAAGAAACAGCAAGCCUAAAUGAAGAUAUUGAAUGUAGCUCUGUACUUGAAGACCGCACUUCCCCUACACCACCAUCACAGGUGCUUGCGCUAACUUCGCAGUGUGAUAUGUGGUUGCAUGUUGCAUACGGUGUCUAGAUUGUAAUGCUUCUAAUUAAGGUAAAUUGCAUCUGCUUAGUUUACACACUAUACCCGUGAAUAUGACAUGCCUUCCUAUUUUUGGUACACACUACAUAUAUGUGUUAACCUUGUUUUUACAUGAAACUACCUCUCUUCUGUAUCCUGCAUCAAUCACUUACGAUGAGUCACCUUUAUUCAUUGCAUAUUGCAUAUUAUUUCUAGCCUGUUGCCAUGUAUUGCUUCUAAUUUGGUCAAAUACAUUUGUUAGUGCACCCUUUUAAUUUGGCAGAGUGAUAUUGGUUUCAUCUUUCAUAUGGUUUCUAGCUUGCAUUGCUUCUAACAAGUUCAAGCACCUUGUGCUUAGUUUACACUUUAUACAUCAUACAUGUCAAUAUGUCAUGCCGUCCUGUUUUUCAUACAUAUUCCAUCCUCCUAUCAUGCGGCUGCCUUACAUGAAAGUAGUGUUCGUUAGUAUCAUGCAUCAAUGAGUUCUGAAGAGCAAAUUUUAUUCCUUUUUCUUGUAGGUUUGACUUGACAAGGAAAAAUCAAGAAAGAGGAAGGAAAAGAGUAAGGAAGGCGAUGGUGGUGGCCCUCUGCAGCAAUGUAAACAGAGCAUUAGUACCGAUUCUCCUUGUACUGAUAGUGCAUUACAAGGUCCAAGUCUCCACUCCCCUACUCCACCAUCCAAGGUGCUUGCUCUAACUUGGCAGUGUGAUAUCUAGUUGCAUGUUGCAUAUAUGUCUAGCUUGUAUUGCUCCUAAUUAGUGUCAACUGCAUCUGCUUAGCUUACACAUGAUACAUGUGAAUAUGACACGCUUUCCUGUUUUGGUACAUACUAUAUCUGUCUAUCACACCAUGUUCUUACAUGAAACUACUCUUCUUGUGUAUCCUGCAUCAGUCACUUAUGAUGGGAAACCUUUAAGUUAGUAGUGUGAUAUUGGUUUGCGUCUUGAAUAUGAUUUCUAGCAUGUAUUGCUUCUAGUUUGAUGAACGCCACCUAUGACGAGACAGUUUUAACUUGGCAGAGUGAUAUUGAUUGCACCUUCCAUAUGGUGUCUAGUUUGCAGUGCCUCUAAUUUAUUGAAGUGACUUCUGCUUAGUUACCACAUCACAGGUGUGAAUAUGUCAAGGCGUCCCUUUUUUGUACAUAUUCCAUCCUCGUAUCAUGACUUUGCCUUUCAUCAGAGUAGUGUUCGUCAGUAUCAUGCAUGAAUGAGUUCUGAAGAGCGAAUUAUAUUCCUUUUUCUUGUCGGUAUGACCUCACAAUGCAAAAUUAAUAAAGCUGAAGGAAAUUGGCAAGGCAUUGGAUGAUGGUGGUCCUUCCGAGCAACUAAAACGGAGGUUCUCUACAGAUUCUACUCCGCCAUCCUCCCAACAAGAUUCGCAAGACAACGCAAGGCUAGACAGUCAACGUAGCUGUGUAGAUGAUGAGCACAUAUCCCCUACUCCACCAUCAUAGGUGCUUGCUCUAACUUCUCACUAUUAUAUGUGGUUGCAUGUUGCGUAUGAUUUAUAGCUUGUAUUGCUUCUAACUUUGUUGAAUUGCAUCUGCUUACUUUACACAUAAUGCCUGUGAAUAUGACAUGUGUUCCUGUUUCUACAUCAGACUACUGUUCUUGCAUAUCCCGCAUCAGUCACUUAUGAUAAGGCACCUUUAAGUCGCCACUGUGAUAUUGGUUGUGUCUUGUAUAUGAUUUCUAGCAUGUACUGCUUCUAAUUUAUUGAAACGCCAUACAGUUUGAACUUGGCAGAGUGAUAUUGGUUGCAUCUUUCAUAUGGUGUCUAGCUUGAAGUGCUUCUAAUUUGUUGAAACGGCUUCUGCUUAGUUACCACAUCAUUGGUGUGAAUAUGUCAUGCCAUCCUGUUUUUCAUACAUAUUCCAUCCUCGCAUCAUGUGUUUGCCUUCCAUCCGAGUAGUGUUCGUCAGUAUCAUGCAUGAAUGAGUUCUGAAGAGCGAAUUUUAUUCCUUUUUCUUAUCGGUUUGACUUCACAAUGCAAAAUCAUUACAACUGAACGAAAUUGGUCCGGCAGUGGAUGAUAGUGGUCCUUCAGAGCAACUCAAACAGGGGGUCUCUACAGAUUCUACACCGCCAUCCUCCGAACAAGAUUCCCAAGACAGCACAAGGCUAGACAAUCAACGUAGCUAUGUAGAUGAUGAGCACAUCUCCACUACUCCACCAUCACAGGUGCUUGCUCUAACUUGGCACUAUUAUAUGUGGUUGCAUGUUGCGUAUGAUGUCUAGCUUGUAUUGCUUCUAACUUGAAUUUCAUCAGCUUACUUUACACAUAAUGCCUGUUAAUAUGACACAUGUUCCUCUUACUAGAACAUACGUGUACAUGAUGAGCACAUCUCCCCUACUCCACCAUCGCAGGUGCUUGCUCUUACUUGGAACUAUUAUAUGUGGUUGCGUUUUCCGUAUGAUGUCUAGUUUGUAUUCCUUCUGAUUAUGUUGAAUUGCAUCUGUGUAGCUUACAACUUAUACCUACAACAAUCACUUACCCAUAAGACACAUUUAACUUGGGACUGUGAUGUAGGUUGCAUCUUGCAUUGUCUUCUAGCUUGUACUGCUUCUAAUUUAUUGAAAUGGCACUUACGACGAGACACUUUUACCUGAUAGAGUGAUAUUGGUUGCAUGUUCAUAUGGUGCCUAGCUUUCAUUUCUUCUAAUUUUGUUGAAAUGCCUUCCGCUUACUAUUUUUUCAUACAUAUUCCAUCCCCCUAUCGUACGUGUGAAUAUGAAACACUGUCUUUUUUUGUAUAUAUUCCAUCCUCCUAUCCCGCGCUUGCCUUAUAUCAAAGUAGUGUUCGUCUGUAUCAUGCAUCAACCAGUUAUGCAGAGCUAAUUUUAUUCAUCUUCUUGUGGUUUUGACUUCAUAAGGCAAUAUCAGAAAAUAGGAAGGAAAAGAGUAAGUUAGGGGAUGUUGGUGGUCCUCCGCACCGACGCAAACAGAGACUCUCUAGAUUUGCCACUGCUACUGCUAAUGAAGUUGAAGUCCCAAGUCUACAUGAUGAGUUCAUCUCCCGUACUCCACCAUCGCAGGUGCUUGCUCUAAGUUGAUAGUGUGAUAUUUGGUUUCAUGUUGCAUAUGUUGUCUAGCUUGUAUUUCUUCUAUUUUGAUUAAAUUGCACCUGCUGAGUUUAUACGUUAUACAUGUGCAUAUGACAUGGCUUUCUGUGUCUAGAAUACACUACAUCUAUCUAUCAUACCAUGUUCUUACAUCAAAGUACUGCUAUUGUGUAUCCCGCAUCAGUCACUCAUGAUUGGACGCUUUUAACAUGGCAGUUUGAUAGUGGUUGCAUCUUGCAUUGAUUUCUACGUUGUACUGCUUCUAAUUUUUCAAAUUGCCACUUAUGAUAAGACACUUUUAACUUGGCUGAGUAAUAUUGGUUGCAUCUUUCAUAUGGUGUCUAGCUUGCAUUACUUCUAUUUUUUUAAAAUCCUUCUGCUUAGUUUGCACAUCGUAGCUGUGAAUAUGUCAUGUUGUCCUGUUUUUCUUACAUAUUCCAUCCUCAUACGGUUGUCUUACAUCAAAGUAUUGCUUGUCUGUAUCAUGCAUCAAUGAGUUCUGAAGAGCGAUUUUAUUCUUUUGUGUUGUGGGUACGGCUUGACAUGGCAAAGUCAAAAAAGAGCAAGGAAAAUAAUAUUGUAGGGAGUGGUGUUACUCGUCGGGUGAAACGGAAAAGGAUCUGCCGUCGAGAUUCUGCUGGUACUUAUAGUGUAGUAGAAGGUCCAAGUCCACUGGCUAAAUCUACAAAUACAGUAUCACCUGCUCCACCAGCUGCAUCAUCCGCUUCAACUGUACCAGCAUCUCAACGAGUUACUCGUUCGUUUGCUCCGGAACUGCCCAGUUCCCAAGAUGCCUUCACACAUAACACUACUUCCGAAGCACUACUGACACAACAGGACUUGGCAAGAUCAUAUGAACCUCAUGAGCAUCAACACCAAGAUGAUACCUGACCGAGUCAAGUUGCAGUUGCAUGCUCCUUUAUAUGUACUCUCACAGUUUUAUGUACACUAACACUUUCAUAUUCGUUGUUGAACUAGCACCACGGUGCAAGCAGAAACAGACAUCAGGGAUAAUGCUUGGUAGAUUAACAAAAUCUAAAGGAGGAAGAAUGGAGAUCCAUUUUGAGGCAGGUUUAAAAAGGCCACGUGAUGCUACAGAGUCAGCCAAGUUAGUAUCAGAGACAGCCGUUGCCGUUAGGUGUCACGCACGUCUCCUCCCAACGUGGAUCCAGUACAAGAAUGAGAAAGACAAUGCCCGGUUUAACACCUUCCUUGACCAUUUAUCCGUAAGUAAUGUUAUUCAUCACAAUUAGUAAUAUUGUCUUGCUCUGUCCCAUACUUUCUAGCUUCCUCCUAAUAAGACUCACAUUCUUUUUUCAACAGAUGAGGUUCAAGUUGGAUCCGAAAGAUGAUGCAACUAAACCAGCAUGCACUCAUGUUUUUCAGUCUGCUCUGCGACAGUAUCGGCACCACCUUAGAAAAUCUCACUUUGAAGGCAAGGCUAAUAAUGAAAUUGCGCAAACAUCUCAAGUGGAAUAUAUUACAGAUGAAGACUGGACAGCCCUCAUUAAACACUGGCCUGAUCCAAAGUGUCAGGUAGGCUAUAUAUAUUUGAUCAGACCACAUAUUGAACUUGUAUUUAUGUAUGUGCCUUACAAGUGUAUCUUGUUCUAGGCUAACUGUUUGAAGAACAAAACCAACCGUUCUAAAGUGAAAUUCCAACAGACAACAAGAUCUCGUAGCUAUAUUGCACACUGCAAGGCUCUUGUAAAUAGUUGCUACUUCCUUCUUUUUUGUGCCAUAUUAUCGUAUCUAUAUUGACUUGUUCCAAAUACAGAGGAAAGCCCGUGCGGACCAAAAAGAACCUGAACCGAAUGCAGUGCAAAUCUUCAAGGAUUACCACACCAGCAAGAUGAAGGACAUGAGCACACCAGUUCAAGCCGCUGUUGUAAGUCCUUACUCCUCCUGCCUUUGAACUGAUUGGUAUUGUGAUGUGUUCAUUUAGCUACUUGGUUUGCAGCCAAUGUGAGUUACUCUGUUCACUUUUAUACACAGUUGUCUUAACGUACCAUUUCACCUUACAUGGCAUGUUUGCUUUAUAUCUGUUUGCCCACGAUAUGAAUGAUCUCAUACUAUGUUCAUCCUACUUUAAACCAUGUCUAUUUAUCCUUAGAUGUCAAUGAAUGUGAGGAAAUAGACAAUACAGUAGGCAUGCUACAUGGACAUAUAUUCAAAAAGUGAUUUUAUUAUGUAGUUGGCACUACAAUACAUGCUAAUGUAUUACAGUAGUUCACCAAAAUAAGUUAUGUAUAAACGUUUAACCUACUUUGUUUUUUGUCUCAUUAGUAACUUAUCUGGUACACUAAUCUACAAGUUCAAACUUUCAGGAAGCUAUGGAACAAAUGAUUGAACAACCACAACCACCUGAAGGUGACGAGGCUACCACAGGCACAAUGUCACCUCUUGCUGCAGUGCGUCAGUAUCUCUCCACUAACAGUGCAAAAAGCACGUUCCUGCGUAAUUCUGGGUUGGUUGUCAAGGUAACAUCGUCCAAAUCACCUACUGAACAAAAUCUUCCUGCUAGACAGAGUGAUAUAUCCGUGCUCCAAACACAAGUCCAAUCCCUAAUGGACGUCUUUUCGGAAACAAGAAUAGUGGUUGACAAAUGUCAUCAAUAUAUGAAUGGUUUUCAAACCAUACUAUCAGACAUUCGCUUCGUUGUUCAAGAGAAAUGGUGGGAAAAAGGUGAAGGUCGUGCUGCUCCAUCAGAUUCUAUAGACUAAAACAUUAGCACUCAUGUCAAAUGAUAUGUACUUCUAUACAUCUGAUGGUGCUUUUAUCUAGAAGGACUGUAAACUUUCUGCCAAUAGGCCUUUUGUUGUAUGGUUGGAAUUUAUUUUGUUGUGAUACAACAUUUAUGAUGCUGCCAUAGGCUGUAAUAAUUACGACGCUAUUUUUGUAUAGUGUAGGUUUAUCUUAGUAAUGUAUUCAGCUGAAAGCUUCAUAGGAGCCCAACAUGCCAAUAUUCGUCAGGCCCAUUCCAAUUGGGCAAAAACGAUUACGGGCCGAAAUUGGCAUGUAGCCCACUAAAAAUAUCUGGGCCCAAAUCAGCAUAAGCUUUCAUAUUUUUCUGGUAGGCCUGUGCCCAUAGUGGGCCUUUAACAGACCUAAACAUAAUUUGGGCCCUUUGUAAAAAUAGGUCGUUUACAGGUGUAGAUAUCUCAAGCCCAUAAAAACAUGGGCCUUUAAUAGACUGAAAGUGAGAUUAGGCUUUGAUUAUGCCAAAUAACCCACUGGUCUUAGCAGGCCGAAAUGGUGGUCCAUUUACGAUGCGGAUCUUUGACAGGCCGAAAUUCGGAUGGGCCGUAAAUGCGCCGACCUAAUACACGACCCUUUAACAAGCCGGAACUUCGGUCGGGCUAGAUUAUCGUCAGUUUUAUAUGGGCCGUUAAUGGGCCCGAUAUGACGCUGCGCCACAUAUGGCCCAUGGUUUUCGUCCGGCAUUAACAGACCGAAAAUGACAACAGGCCAAAAGUGGCCCAAAUCUAUAGUGGGCCUCUAACAGGCCGAAUGUCAGACAUGGCCGAAUAUGACCCAAAUCCUUCACGGUCGUUUAUGGGCCCAAAGUUUUGAUGGCCUGUAAAAGGCCCAAAUGAAGCAGGACCUUUAACAGGCCGGAAAUACACCGGGCCGUAAUUCGGCCCAAUUACUUAGCGGGUUGUUAACGGGCCAGAAGUGACCAUGGGUCGCGUUGAUGACAAGUUUAUGACACGCCGUUGACGGGCCAAUUUUACAGAGAAUGUUGGGCCUUUAGCUGGGCCGGCCCAUUAUGGUCUGCAAAAUCUUGUGGGCCUUUAGCUGCGCCGGCCCAUUGUGGUCCACUAAAUCCUGUGGGCCUUUAGCUGGGCCGGCCCAUUAUGGUCUGCAAAAUCUUGUGGGCCUUUAGCUGGGCCGGCCCAUUAUGGUCCACUAAAUUUUGUGGGCCUUUAGCUGGGCCGGCCCAUUAUGGUCUGUAAAAUCUUGUGGGCCUUUAGCUGGGCCAGCCCAUUAUGGUCCGCUAAAUCUUAUGGGCCUUCGGUUGGGCCGGCCCAUUUAAACUUUAUGGGCCAGUUUUGGGCCGGUCCAUGUGUCAACAUAUCAUAGGCACAUCUCGACCGUUGGAUGAGUGACACCUGUGCUAACAUGGAGCUGACGCAUGGAUCUGUCAGCCAAUGAGAAUUUUAAACAUGGAAAAUCGGCAUUGGUCGUGGCUGUUAGCGGGUUAUCGGAUCCAAAAACCGGACUCAAUAAGUUAACGGCGGUUAAUGGCAUCCCGUUGCCACGUGUCGGUCACCCUUGACGAAAGCACUUCUAUGACACGCGAUUUAUCGUCAUGGAAGUGGACACUUCCGUGAUGAUAAUUUUGGUAAUGUCAUGGAACACUUCUACGACAGCACGGGUAUGACUAUCUUGAUUCUGUCAUAAAAUCGUCAUGGAUGUACAUGCAUGACAAAAAACGUGACCUACUGUGACAAACACGUAUCAUCACUGAAGUGUAUUUUUUUGUAGUGUUGAUGGUCACGCAGCCUUUGUAGGACCGAUCGGAGGUGUCCUUUGUGCUCGCCUUCACUUUUUGAGUAUAUUAGAAUAUCAUCGAUAAAAACCACCACAAAUUUAUCGAGGAAAUCCAUGAAUACUUUAUUCAUCAUGUGCAUGAAGAAAGCAUGAGCAUUGGUGAGGCCGAAAGACAUGACGGUAUACUCAUAAAGACCGUACCGAGUGGUGAAUGCAGUCUUAGGAAUAUCUUCCUUCUUAAUCUUAAGUAGGUGGUAUCCGGUCCUCAAAUCAAUUUUGGAGAACACUUUGGCCCCACUAAGCUGAUCAAAUAAGUCAUCAAUUCUGGGCAGUGGAUAUUUGUUUUUGAUGGUGACAUCAUUCAACUGACGGUAAUCCACACACAUGCGGAGACUACCAUCUUUCUUGUCCAUGAAUAUAGCAGGUGAUCCCCAUGGUGAGGAACUAGGACGGAUGUAACCUUUUUGGAGCAUCUCAUCCAGCUAUUUCUUUAGCUCCACUAACUCUGAGGACAGCAUUCGGCAAUAUUUCUUGUAUAAUGGUGCGGUUUCGGGCACAAGGGCGAUUGCAAAUUCAAGCUCUCUGUUUGGUGGCAUGCCCGACAGUUCUUCAGAGAAUACAUCUGGAAACUCACUGACCACCGUAAUUAAUUCCAAUUCAGCCACAGCGGCAAAAACCAUUUCUUUCUGUGGUAUGCUUCUACGGGCAUGGAAUUUUGUAUCUUGCCCUUCUGGACUUAUCAAGGUGACUUCUCGGGUUGCACAAUUUAUGCAGACUUGGUACUGUGUCAGCCAAUUCAUUCCCAAAAUGAUGUCCAGCUUAACAGACUCAAUGAAUAUCAAGGAAGGUGGAAAGCGGACACCAUUGAUAUUUAUUUCCAGAUCACGGAAGACCAGAUUGCUUCUGAGCAAAGAUCCCUGGGAUUGUACCAGCAUAUUCUUGCUUAAAAUCGAACAAGCAAAUUUGUUUUGGGCAACAAACCUCCGUGAAAUAAAAGACUAGGAAGCCCCAGAGUCAAAUAAAAUUACGACAGAUAUGCUAUUAACUGAAAACAUACCAAUGACGACUUCGGGGUUCUCUUGGGCUUCGUCUGUGGAGAGGUAAUGGAUUUGCCCGGUGAUGUUUUGCUGAGUAGGGUAUGCCCCAAUAUAAUUGACUUGCCGCCUGAAUGGAGGGUUAUUCCUGCCGCCCAUGGGACACUGCCUGGCGUAAUGUCCGGUUUGCCCACAAUUGAAACAGGAAUUGUUGCGCUGGCACUCUUCUUGCACUGGGUUGGCUACAACAUUCUUGACUUGAGUUGGGGCCUUGUUGAUAUUCUGCUGCCAAUUGGGCUUGUACUCUACUUGCAGUUGCUGCCAAGUAUGAGCCUUUUGCAUAGGUUGACCCUCCUUUCUUGGUUCGAACUUGCGUUAGUGAUCAUUAUUUGUAGUCUUGUUAUCAUUUAUCAGUUUGUGUUCCCUCUCAGCAAUGAGGGCCUUGUUUACCAGAGUUUGAAAAUCGGUGAAAUCAAACAUGCUGAGGGUGCAUCCGAGAUGUUGAUUUAAUCCUGCAAGGAAACGAUCAAUCUUCCUUUCUUCGGUGGCCACAUCAUAAAGAGAGUAGCGGGCCAACUGAUUGAAUUUAUUUAAAUAUUCACUUACAGACUGACUCCCUUGGAGGAGCGCAAGAAAUUCGCGCUGCUUGACCUUCAUUAUUCCAGCAGGAAUAUGGUAUUUACGAAAUUGAUCCUUGAAUUUUACCCAGGUGAUUUCCUCAUCAGCAGGCAACAUACCUUUUUCGUUUUCCCACCAUAUUGCGGCAACGCCUUCAGGAUAAUGAGUUGCAAAGGGGACUUUGUCAUUUAUAUCAGUAUGGGAAAUCUCAAGCUUCUUUCUCAAUAGUUCUUAACCAGUUGUCUGCAUCCAAUGGAUCAGUGACCUCGCUGAAACUGGGAGGGUUGGUCCUUUGAAAAUCUGAUAGUUUGGAGUGAUGACCGUUCUAGUUUCCAUUCUGUCCAACCAUAGCUUGCACACUUCUUAACAUUUUGAGUAGAUCAUUAGUUCGCCUUUCUUCAAACAUACAGAGAAUUUGCUUAGUGGAGGGUGGAUUUGGCAGUGGAGGCGGUGGUGUAACGAACGGCUCGGGGAUUGUCCUGCCUGUCAUGCGGAAAGACGAACAGGUGUAGCCUCACGAGCGUUGCCACUGAUGCCUCCCCGCGUCAUCCUAUGGUUUUUCCCAAGAGAACGCGAUCAAGAUGAGCAACAUCCAAAAAUAAGAAUAGUAGGGAAAAGCCAGCGACAAAACCGGAAAGAGCGAAACUCCAAAGAAACACACCAAAUAGAAGAAAGUCCAACAUAAUUAUACAUAGACCAGUACAUAAAAGAUAAAUGACAUCAUACAUCGAACGGAACAUCAUCACUUGUACAACUACAUCGGUACAUCGAGCGCUCUAAGGCUCUGCUGGUGUUGCAGUAUCCUCUCCUGAAGUGGACUCGGAUCCUGAGUUGAUGGCGUUAACCAAGACCUCCGGGUUAAAUGUAACACGACGACGUUGCCUCGAGGGUUCUCCCUUUGGAGCAGGCGCAGGAUGAGGCUGAAGCAUCGGGGCUAGUGGGUAGCGAGAAGAGAAACCCACUCAGCAGGAGUUCUAAGAGGGUUUGUGGUCGCGGUGUCCGAGCUACUCAGAGGAACAACCGGUGAAAUAGGCGAACUAGAACUGGACGGAAUAUAAGGAGUAAUUCCCGUAGACGAUGGAGUAGUGACAGCUCUAGUAGCGGCUAAAGCAAUGCGGGUGCGAGUCAGCUCUCGGGCCAGCUCAUAGAUCAGAAGGUAGCUAGCAGUGAUAUAGCGAGAAAGGUGGCUAGCAGCACUAUCGGACUCCGGAUCAAUGGUAGGAAACGAACACGACCAUUGUCGUGCAGGGAGGGAUAGCAAUAGAAACCUGGAUGGUUCUGCAUUCGGGACUUCGUUAUAGCGUAACUUGAUGAGGACCUCCAAUGCAACAAACUUGACAGCCUGAGAAGCGGUAGAAGCAUAACCACUCCGGGAAGUGCGGGUGUAAGAGGUAGAGGAUGAACUGGUGCGCAGGGUAACCACAGCGUGAUAUUCAUACACUGAAUCUGACAGACGCUCCAGGUACACAUGAUAGACUGGGUCGUCACCGUGAGGAUACAGUCGACGCCACAUGUUGUGAAGGAGAUGCGGUGACAUGCACGGCAUCAGCUACAACUGGCACGGAUACGGCACCGGAGCCAUCUACCCUCACAGCCAUUAGCAGGUUAGAAAUAAAAUAACCAAGUGCAUGCAAUGCAACAACCAGUUAUAAACACUACCGGCGCUCCACUUUUAUCUUAGCUAAUGUCCAGUAAUGUGACAGUAGUCUAGCGUGUUCUACUGUCAGCGCGGCUCUGAUACCAAGCGUUGUGGCACCCCGGCUAAGAGCAACUGGUUUACCUUGCAUUACCAGCCCAGAGACCGUGUCUUCUGGCAACACACAACAUCUUGGUACAGAAAACAACUGCUUUAUUGAUACUAGCUGAACAUAGUACAUAUUACAACAAGUUAGGAGGCCGAGUGGCACACACGGUGCGGCUGAACAAUAGUACAUUAUUUAAUGAACAUAAAGGGGGCCUCGAUCAUGAUAACUACACGGCAGCGGAAUGGCGACAAAGCGGGACUCCAUAUCACAGGGACACCGGUGUGAACACGAUCUAGACUCGUUCAGCUCUCCGUUCCAACGAACCUUUCCUGAAAUCUGGCAUGACACGCCAGGUCAGUACAUUGAAUGUACUUGAAAGCUCACAACAAGCAUGAACAUAAUGACAAACAAUAUCAUGAUCUCCACCAAAUUAAUCAAUGCAAAAUCAUACUAUGGAUGCAGUGAAUAAAUUCUCGUGCUUCAAGUCCCACGGACUUACUUACAAACGGGUUACCACGUAACCAAACGGUGAUCUUUCUCGGAUCACAAAUGGACCAACAACUUGGUCAUCAAAUGGGUUACCUCGUAACCAAACGGUGAUCUUUCUCGGAUCACAAAUGGACCAACAACUUGGUCAUCAAACGGGUUACCUCGUACCCAAACGGUGAUCUUUCUCGGAUCACAAACGGACCAACAACUUGGUCAUCAACAUCAACAUGAUUUUCCAACCAUCCAACAGUGCCAUAUUAUUAAAUUAGUGUGCAAGAUUUAUUAAAUGUUGACCCAUGGUGUGACCUACUUUCGAGCGUGACCGUAACCAUCAACUCGGCUAUCGAUAGAUUAAUUGCACUCUGCAGAGGUAGCGCAUUGUACCCACACCAAGGAACCCAUGGCCUCGCACUCCCAUUCGGGUGGACCAAUGGCAUUCCAACAAAACCCCUCCAUUGCCCCGACACUCUCCCGCCCACUCCGACUAACUCCCUAUUGGGCUAAGUCAUGGGUGGCCCCAUGUCUACCCCAGACACCAACGGCCAACAUCGUGGCAAAAUGGUCCGAAACGGGAACAAGGUACCAAAACAACAUCAACGGGCACACAAGGUUAUGGUUGCUUACCGGGCUAGGGUACCGCACGCCCAUAACCUUCCCUCGUUGGAGGUACGGACCAGAGGCAUGACAACGGACCGAAUAAAGGCCUUCCCAUAAAGGCAAAUGUGAUUGCGCUGGGAAAAACUCGAUUCAGUGGCACCAUGACCCAAUCAACGAUAUGUUCAAGUUGAGUUAUUAUCAGGUUCAACUUAAAGAUAAAAAUGACCAGUGUCAUAACAUACCAUGAAAAUGCAUUCAUAUAACAUGCUUCACUAACCAUUGUAAUCAUACCGGGUCAACUUAUAUCAAACACUAAGCAAAAACUCCAGAAACACAUGGCACCAUUCUAGUCAUGUUUAAACAGCAACUAGUCAUAACAAAUUUAAGCAUCAUUAUUUUCUUAACCAAGAAAAUAGUAUCCCAACUAUUUUCUUUUCAUAAGCAGAUUAUUACUCCAUAUUCUAACAUGACUCAAAAAGACUAACACUAACUUAGUUAACUUUCUAACUUACUGUAAUCCAACAUAUUCACAUAAUCUAGCUUCCAACAGAAUGAAAAUACUAUUUACUUGGUGAUUAAAAAUGCAUGAACUAAAUUUAAUCAUUCAAGUUUGAAAAUAAAUCACAAAUAUUGCAAUGACACCAUGAAAAUGUUGUUGUGGCUUGCCUUAGUGCAUAUGAGGGUCACACUCCUCCUGGUGAUCCUGAAGACAAGCUUCUCUCUCUGAAAACAAUUAUAAACACAAAAAGAAAACAUCAUGAAACACUCUAAAAUUUGCCAGAAAAUCUAGGCAGUAGAGAAAAUCUCAUCUCUGGUGAGCUGCUAAAGAUUUUCAUAUAGAACACAAUGCAAAAAGAAUCAAUUCAUUUGGACUUAUGGUUAAAAAGGUGUGGCUGUUUGAAGUGCUCUAGAAUUUAUUUGAAUUUGAAUUAAUAUAAAACAGACUGGGGGUGACGUCGAAGGCGUAAACCUGCAGAGCGCCACCACUCGUACCGCUUCGGGCGCGUACAGAGUGGCUGACUAGCGGGGCCAGCCGGUCAGGUGAGAGGGAGGGCGAGAGGGAAACAGAGCAUGGCGGGGCUCCACCGGAGCACACACCGGCGAGGAGGGCUCCUUGGCCAGAGCUAGAGGGAUAGAUUGAGAGAGGGGACGGAGGCGCACCUGCCCAUACCCGUAGGCUAGCUAGGGAUGGUCGGACGGCAUCGGAAAUGACCUCUCCAGCGGCGAUAAGAAGCAGAGGUCGCCGGAGAUGAAGACGACGGCGACUAGAGCGGCACUAGGGGCUCCAAUCGGGUCGGACGGCACCGCUGAUGCACAGUGGAGGCCCUGGAAGGGUUGCCUGGGCUUGGGAGGGGCUGGAGUGGUGCGGGCGGGCAGAGGGGAUCGCCGGCGAGCUCGAGCUUGAAGACGGCGGCCCGAGGCCUGCCCGGCCGGGCCACGGAUUUCUACAGGCUUGUGGAGUGUGCGCGAGGAGUGGAUGUGGCUCGAGGAUGCUGGGGGGGCUCUACUUAUAGCUGAGCGGAGCGAGGGGAUCGGGCUCCGCCGGAGGACACCUGGAUGCUGCGCCUGGCGACUAGUGGCGUCAGUGAGAGAGGGGGACGGCGACGGAACUCACGCGAGAACUGUGGGCGAGCGGAGACGAGCACAGGGGUGAGGGGAUGGCGACGAACACAGUGCACGGUGCACUGUUGGGUUGGUCGAACCACGCCCGUGCUCGCUGCGGCGAGCUCCGACGUUGGCGAGCACCAGGGUGCAGUUAAGGGCGUCGGGACGGAGAUGGUGGUGGGGUUGGGCAUGGUUUGGCAGGCGGGGAAGCGAUCACGCGAUAAAUAGAGGCUCAGGCGCGUCGCAGAGCGCGUCGGCUGCAUGACAGCAUGCCUGGACGAACGCGGUCACCGCGUGAACUCUGACCUCAGGCCGACCUAAGCCUAAACUUCAUGUCGGGCGUGUUGUUCGUGGUAGAUUUAGAGGUUACCACACUUUGGUUUGGGCUCAAACAUAGUGAACAAGGUUUUUACUUCACUGCAAGUUACUGGAUAGUAACUUUGAGAGCUUGCUGAGGUUAAAUGCCUGGAAGUUGGGAGCUGUGCUUUGGUGGCUAGCAAUCAUCUAGGAGGGUGGUGAUGCAUAAGAAAAUGCAGCUCCAUUUGAUCAAGUAAAAUGGCAGUUGUUGUAGAAACUACCAUUUCAGACCAGAACAAAAAGUAAUUUCUGUAGCAAAAAUAUUCCAACAGGUGAAUGAUAUUUUUGCUAAGGGAGGUGCCUUGGGGUUCAAAGGAUUUUUGAGAAUUUUCUCAGAUUUUUGUGGCCAAGAAAAAUGGGGUUGCUUUGGAGCACAAUUUUCUGGUUAGGGUUUUUGAGAGGGAAAUGAAUAUUUUUCAUUUAAGAAAAAUACUCAUGCCAUUAUUUUGAGGUAGAUCAGAGAGGAAAUGAUGGUUUUUAGGAGGAGUGAGCCCCUUGGGUGAAAGCCAAGGUGAUGCCCAAGUGUUUUAAGUCCAACUGAAAAGAUUCAACUCAAAAUUCAAAUCAAAUCCCAACUGAAAACCAGAAGAGAGAAGAGGGUGAAAACCAGGCUAUCACAUGAGAGGAGAUGGUGUUGUCGAAGAUGUUGAUGGAGAUUGUCCUCCCCAAGAUAGGAGAGUUGUUGGUGAUGAUGAUAAUGAUGAUUUCCCCCUCCGGGAGGGAAGUUCCCCCGGCGGAAUCGCUCCACCAGAGGGCAAAAGUGCUCCUAUGAAAGUUCCGCCUAGAGAUGGCGGCGCUUUGUCCCGAAAGUCCUCUCCAGAUUUUUUCUAGGUCAAAAUGACUUAUGUACCAGGAGAGGGGCACCGGAGGUGGGCUGAGGGGAGCACAAGCAACCAGGGGGCGCCUGGGCUCCCUAGCGCAUCCAGGUGGGUUGUGCCCACCUGGUGGGACCCCUUUGGUACUUAUUUGCUCCAAUAGUUCUCAUUUAUUCCAUAUAAAUUGCUUGUGAAGUUUCCGCUCAUUUGGAGUUGUGUAGAAUAGGUAGCCUGACGUAGCUUUUUCAGGUCCAGAUUUCCAGCUGCUGGAAUUCUCCCUCUUUGUGUAAACCUUGCAUAUUAUGAGAGAAAAGACAUUAGAAUUACUCCAAAAAGCAUUAUUACGCAAUAAAACAACAUAAAUAACAGUAGGUAAAUAUGUUGCAAAAUGGAUGUAUCACACUCAUUUACCUUUUGUUUAAACCGAGAUAUUUCAUUAAAACUGAGAUAUUCGCUCCGAUAUUGCUACUAAUUAAUAAUGAAUGCAAAGGAUUCCAAUAUCAUCUCUUUUAUGUGUUUCCACAGGAGAUGGACUAGAAAUGCAAGAAAUCACGUGUGGACAUGGAAAUGAGUGAAGAAGAAGAUAUAAGUGAAGGAAAUAUGCCCUAGAGGCAAUAAUAAAGUUGUUAUUUAUAUAUUUCCUUAUAUCAUGAUAAAUGUUUAUUAUUCAUCCUAGAAUGGUAUUAACCGAAAACUUAGUACAUGUGUGAAUACAUAGACAAAACAGAGUGCCCCUGGUAAGCCUCUACUUGACUAGCUUGUUAAUCAAAGAUGGUUAUGUUUCCUAACCAUAGACAUGUGUUGUCAUUUGAUGAAUGGGGUCACAUCAUUAGAGAAUGAUGUGAUGGGCAAGACCCAUCUGAUAGCUUAGCAUUAUGAACGUUACAGUUUUAUUGCUACUGCUUUCUUCAUGACUUAUACAUGUUCCUCUGACUAUGAGAUUAUACAACUCGCGAAUACCGGAGGAACACCUUGUGUGCUAUCAAAUGUCGCAACAUAACUGGGUAAUUAUAAAGAUGCUCCACAGGUGUCUCUGAAGGUGUUUGUUGGGUUAGCAUAGAUCGAGAUUAGGAUUUUUCACUCUAUGUAUCGGAGAGGUAUCUCUAGGCCCUCUCGGUAAUGCUCAUCACUAUAAGCCUUGCAAGCGAUGUGACUAAUGAUUUAUUUGUGGGAUGAAGCAUUACGAAACGAGUAAAGAUACUUACCAGUAACAAGAUUGAACUACGUAUGAUGAUACCGACAAUCAAAUCUCGGGCAAGUAACAUACUGAUGACAAAGGGAACAACGUAUGUUGUUGUGCAAUUUGACCGAUAAAGAUCUUCAUAGAAUAUGUAGGAGCCAAUAUGAGCAUCCAGUUUCCGCUAUUGGUUAUUGAUUGGAGAUGUUUCUCGAUCAUGUAUACAUAGUUCUCGAACCCGUAGGGUCCGCAUGCUUAACGUUUGAUGACUGAAGUUUGUCCGGACUCCUGAAUAAGAUCACGGACAUGACGAUAGAAGAUAUUGAUGUUACAAUUAAGCUUGCCAAUAGAGAUACUAUUUCUCCAAUUGGGAUUGUUAGAGAUGUUGAAGUCUUGUUUGGGAAAGCUAAAUAUCCUGCUGAUUUUCUCGUUCUUGGUUCCCCACAAGAUAACUUUUGUCCCAUUAUAUUUGGUAGACCCUUCUUAAAUACUAUUAAAGCUAGAAUAGAUUGCAAAAAAGAUGUUCUCACGAUUGGCUUGGAUGGUAUGACUCAUGAGUUGAAUUUUGCUAAAUUUCAUAGACAACCACAUGAUAAAGAACUUUCUAGUAAGGAUGAAAUUAUUGGUCUUGCUUCUAUUGAUGUGCCUCCUACUGAUCCUUUAGAACAAUAUUUGCUAGAUCAUGAAAAUGAUAUGUUCAUGAAUGAAAGAAGGGAAAUAGAUGAAGUAUUCAUUAAACAGGGUCCUAUUUUGAAACACAACUUACGUGUUGAAAUCCUAGGGGAUCUUCCAUCACCCAAGGGUGAUCCCGUGUUUGAACUUAAACCAUUACCUGAUACCCUUAAAUAUGCUUAUCUUGAUGAAAAGAAGAUAUAUCCAGUUAUUAUUAGUGCUAACCUUUCAGAACAUGAAGAGGAAAGAUUAUUGAAAACUCUGAAGAAGCACCGUGCUACUAUUGGGUAUAUUCUUGAUGAUCUUGAGGGCAUUAGCCCCACUCUAUGCCAACACAAAAUUAAGUUGGAAGAAGACACCAAACAAGUUGUUGAUCAUCAACGACGGUUAAACCCUAAGAUGAAGGAAGUGGUAAGAAAGGAAAUACUAAAGAUCCUAGAGGCAGGUAUAAUUUAUCCUGUUGGUGAUAGUACGUGGGUAAGUCCUGUCCAUUGUAUCCCUAAGAACGGAGGUAUCACUGUUGUUCCUAAUUAUAAAGAUGAAUUUAUCCCGUAAAGAAUAUUACAGGUUAUAGGAUGGUAACUGAUUUCCGCAAAUUAAAUAAAGCUACUAAAAAGAUCAUUACCCUUUACCUUUUGUUGAUCAAAUGCUAGAAAGACUAUCCAAACAUACACAUUUUUGCUUUCUAGAUGGUUACUCUGCUUUCUCUCAAAUACCUGUUUCAGUGGAUGAUCAAGAAAAGACCACUUUUACUUGCCCUUUCGGUACUUUUGCUUAUAGAGGUAUGUGUCGUGGAAUUAUCAAGUCAAAUGUCCUAGUGUGAGGACUUAGUCGUGGAGCCAUCGCGACUAGGUUACCUUAGAGGGGUUAAACCGGACAAAGGACACGGGGAGUUUAUAUGGGUUCGGCCCCUUGCGGUGAAGGUAAAAGCCUACGAUCCAGUUGUGGUGGAAUUGAUGGGGUCUCCAUAACCAGGGAGCAAAUACGCUUUGCCUAGUUCUUGAGUUGUUGUUUCUUGUCCCUGAACCAUCGUCGGGUCGUCCCUUUAUAUACACAAGUUGACGCCCAGCGGUCUACAGAAUACCGAGGCCGGCUCAUACAUGUGUCCGGCUCGGUUUCUUCCUUUUCCUAACUUACAAUACAAGUUACACAUCUCAUGGCAGUUUAUGUCUAUGGGCCCUAAUCUGCCCUUGGGCUCUAGGCCUUCUAGUCUCUGUAGUAAAGUGCCAUAUUCCUUGUCUUCAUGGGAUUCAAUACGGAUGAUUCCUUGUGAGUAUAAUCCGGCCUCUCCUGGGCGGUUUAUACUCAGUAGUCAUAUCCCCAACAGUAUGCCUUUUGGUUUAUGCAAUGCACUUGCUACUUUUCAAAGAUGUAUGAUGGCUAUAUUCUCUGACUUUUGUGAAAAGAUUUGUGAGGUAUUCAUGGAUUAUUUCUCCGUUUAUGGAUCCUCCUUUGAUGAUUGCUUGAGCAACCUUGAACGAGUUUUGCAGAGAUGCUAAGAUACUAGUCUUGUUUUGAAAUGGGAGAAGUGCCACUUUAUGGUUAAUGAAGGCAUUAUCUUGGGGCAUAAAAUUUCUGAAAGAGGUAUUGAACUUGAUUAAGCUAAGUUGAUGCAAUUGAAAAGAUGCCAUGUCCCAAGCACAUCAAAGGUAUAAGAAGUUUCCUUGGUCAUGCCAGUUUUUAUAGGAGGUUCAUUAAGGACUUUUCCAAAAUCUCUAGGCCUCUGACUAAUCUAUGACAAAAAGAUAUUCCUUUUGUCUUCGAUGAUGAUUGUGUAGAAGCCUUUUAAAUACUUAAGAAAGCUUUGGUUUCUCCACCUAUUGUUCAACCUCCUGAUUGGAAUUUACCCUUUGAAAUUAUGUGUGAUGCUAGCGAUUAUGCUGUAGGUGAUGUUCUAGGACAAAGAGUUGAUAAGAAACUAAAUAUUAUUCAAUAUGCUAGUAAAACUCUAGAUAGUGCCCAAAGAAAUUAUGUUACUACUGAAAAAGAAUUUUUAGCAAUUGUAUUUGCUUGUGAUAAGUUCAGACCUUAUAUUGUUGAUCCUAAAGUAAUAUUCACACUGAUGAUGGUGCUAUUAAAUAUACACUACUAGGGAAAAGCCUAGCAGCAGCGCGGGUUUUGGCCCUCUCAGUAGCGCGGGUACCGGCGCUACUAAUAAGGCGCUACAGCUAACGUAUAGCAGUAGCGCCUGUUGACCCAUGCUACUGCUACUGAUGAAUAGCUGUAGGGCUCUUUGGAAAAAGGCGCUACUGAUAUUAUCUGCAGCGCUUUUCAGCAGGAAGCGCUACUGGUAAGUCGGCGCUACUGCUAAAUUUCCCCCCUCGCUACUGCUAGUUUUAUUAGUUUUUUUUCCUGCAUAUUUGUUUUUUAUUUGUUUUGUAUUUGAAUAGGCUUUAUACAAUAAUCUUUAGCAUAUCAUCCACAUAAAAAUGUAAUCAUAGCAUAUACAUACAAUUAGUCUCAUCAAAUCAUGUCAUCAUCAUAAUCAUCAUCCAACACAAAGUGGUCUCUCGUCAUCAAUCUCGAAAAUAGCGAUACAAGUCUCGAUUACUUGCAAAUACAUCGUCAUCCAUCUAAACAAUGAUAUACGCGAGAAUAGCUAUCACUUUGAGUACAUGAGUUCGUAUCCCUCUCUCGCAUUAGCGUGAACCUAAACUAAGUAUUGCGUGUCCCUCGGAAACCGAAAACCGGUACACCUGGGCCUGACACUCCGGCCACUUGUCGUAUAUAUACUCCUGGCAUAGCACUUCUUCGCCAUCUAUGAUCUAUGCACCUGCAUCGUCACAUGAGUCGAUGAUAUGCAACAUAUAUAGUUGAGCAACAGAAGUCGAUGAUCUAUGUCUUUCCGACGACCUCAUUCAUGAUGAUUUGGGCAAGUUCACGCUGGAUGUUAUAGAACUCACCUCGAAGUCGAUGAUCCUCGAUAUCUCCUAUGUCCUUUGCCCAUUGCAGAAUAUGGGCAUCGCCAGAUCUAGGUGCCAUGUGAAGGUUCAGGUGAUCCCGUCUGUACUCCAGCAUGUGGUGUAGGACAUAGAAUCCAUCAUUAAGAGAAUCAUUCGGUUGCUGGAUGCAGCAGAAGUCGGUCUUAUAGCUGAAGGCGGCCCUGCCGCCCCUUCUCUUCAUGUCCCUAACCUCUCCACCCCUUGCUUGGUAGUAAAACAUAGCACUGUCGAGAACAUCUUUGAUGUGGGUGUAAUCCUUUUUGUGAAUGUUCUUCGACGAGUCCAAGUAAAGAGCGUGGGAGAAUCGGGGGUAGAGGAUGAUGAGGACGGCGCGCCCGCCGCUGUGCAAAAUAAGUACACCUCAAAUUAAUUAGCCUCCACCGUGCAAAUGAAUUAUUGAAAUCGAAGGAAGGAUAGCAGCGUGAAUGACUUACACGGGAUGAUAAGGCACGAUAAUCGCCUCCUUGUCCUUAUUGCGUGCAUGAAACUGACGAUGUAAUCCCUCGCGUAUUCACGAUGAUGUGCACAGACUCCCAAGAAGCCCUCGUGCAUGUAGUACGGGUCAGCGACACAGAUAAAACGUAUCUGCUCAACCCCAAUGAUGUAGUUCAUGUGCAAGGCAUAAAGGCGGACAAACGUAAAAUCCAGCUUCUUCACAUGAAACAUGUCGAAUAUGUAAUCGAAUCGGAGGAAGAACUUAUCCGCGGGGAAGCCGUCGACGUACGACAUUUGCCGUGGAACGUUAACCACGUAGAGUGGGUAUCCUGGAUCUUUCGAGGCGAUGAGGCCUUUCUCUACCCGCAGCACAUCGUCAUGAAGUCUCCUUAGAUCGCCGAAUCUAGCCCAUAGCGCUGUUUCAGGUAGGAUUGGUCGACCGGGGAUAUGCCAUUUAUCAGCAUCGGGGAUAUCUACACGGUCCUGAAGCCGAGGCUGCUGAGGCGGCUGGAUCAUAGAAUCAGCUUUUUUGCCUUUCCUCGCUCUCUUCCUAGGCUUCUUUACCACUGGAUGGUCGUCAAUAAUACGUUGAGACGGUAAUUCAGGCACCGACUCAUGAUGCUCAAACCCUGAGGAGGCGCCAGUAUAGACAUAUUGUUCAGCGCCAUCGUCAUCCUCAUCCUCAUCCAUGGCGACGUCAUCAGCGACUAAUGGAGCCACCUGCUUAACCCGUCCGCUAUCACCCAACCCGACACUAAUUGGGUAGGUGGGGUGUUGAUGUUCAUACCUUGCUGAGGCUGCGUGCUCGUGGGUGUGCUCCCGGCCGCCUCUAGACGAAGAAGACUCUUUGGCCACAACAGGACCCACCCAUUGCAACAAUCACCAAGCCGCCGCGGGGUCUCGUCGUCAUCGCCCACUAGUAUUAGAGGAGGCAAAUUCUCGUGGCCCGGUUUGACACUGGCCACAGAAACCUUGAAGACGUUCGGGGGGAUCGACCGGCUGUGGAACAAUGGUUCCUUCGGCUCCAUUAUCGUCUUCUUCCCCACGUCCACCUUCUGUUCGCCGAUGGUGUACAAUAUGGUGCACGGGGUUUCGUCGGCCUGCAAAGAAAAGUCUGCAACGUGAGACAUCCGAAAGGCAACAAAAACGGGAGAUUAUACAUUUAUAUUGAAGGGGGCCGGUGUGGCAGAUACCGUGAGGGCGUCGAGCUCAGCCAAAGAGGAGGCACCAUCGAGCACGUCCGGUGCGGGAGCCGGUGCGGGAGCAGGUGCAGGAGCCGGUGCGGGAGCAGGUGCGGGAGCCGGUGCGGGAGCAGGUGCGGCCAAGAAGUCAGCAAGGGGAAAGUCCUCUGCAUUUUUUUCUGGAUUUUGCCUUGUCCAAGUGUAAACGCCCGUCACCAAGGAAGUAGAUAUAUCUGCAAUCUCCUGUUUUGCGGCAGCUACCGCUGUUGCGACUGUCUGAGAAGAUUUCUUCUCAACCGCAAUCUCAACCUUCUUGUCGAUGCUUUCUUCAGUUAACCUCUGUCUUUCCUUUUUCUCCUCCGUGGUCUCACGGUAGUACUUCUUCCACAUGGCGCCGUCUCCAACACCGUGCACGCGUCCAUACGACGGUCGAGUAUCCACCGGUUGUUGUUUCAAUAUGUUUAACGCCCGGUUGAAUGGAGUGUCCCACUUGGGCCUCGCCAAUGCCUCAGACGGCGAGUCGCUUUCGGCCGCAAUCCGGUGCUGCUCUCUUUGCAAAAGGCACAAGGAUCGUUUACAAAUAUGACUAACAUGUGCAGUCGAAUUGAUCAGAAACUAAAAUUACCAGCAGUCUCAUGAACUCCGUAAUCACCGGUGUUGUCUCAUAAACCUUCUUCACUGGGUCCCAACGGUGUCGGGCCCUCAGGACGUCACGCUCCUGCGGGACGGUGAAAUCCGCCAAGGGGUCUGGGAUGCCCAGACUCGCGGCUUCCGCGUCCUCCUUGGCCCAUUUGGACCUCUUUCCGCCGUAACCACGGCUUCUGAGGUGGUGGGUCCCAAUGUUCCUCUUUUGAAGCCCCUUCAUGUACUUAGACUUUUCUUUGGCAGCUUCGGCCUCGCAAGCCUCCUUGAAUAUUUGAAACUGCUCUUCCGUGAUUGUCAGACUAUCCUUUACAAUCUCGGAGUAGGGUUCCCCGUUGUUGAUCUUUGCUUUCACUCAAUUUUUCCAGGCGGCCAACGCGUUGCUAAACUUGGUCAUGGCGUGUUUGUUUAUCUUCUUCAUUGCCGGGUCCUUGUCUGGAUCUUCAUAAUCCUUCUCAUUCCGGCCCGGGAACAAGAAUAUCUGGUGAAACUUCUCUAGGAGGGAGCUCCUCAUAUUUUCUAUCUUCUUUAGAUUCUCAUCAUUGAUGGUGGCGGUUGUCCGUAUGAUGGAGCCUAUUUGAUUGUCGUAGCACGCGCGCGCUUCCUCGGGCGCCUUUGGCUCAAAAUUGCCGUCGUCCACCUCCGUGACCACCAGUCUAGUAGUCCUGAGUUUGUUAGGAACCCAUCGCCUCUUUGCUUUCGGUUCUACACCGGCUCCGCUCCCCGAGGCAGCACCGGUCUCAGCAUGGGUCUCGAUGCCGGUCUAAAUCUCACUGCCGGUCUCAGUCCCAGCACCAGUCUGCGUGUCGGUCUCAGCACCGGUCUGCGUGUCGGUCUUAGUCCCUGAUGCCACCGGUGGGCCCAGCAACAACAUCUGUUGAUCGUUGGUAAGGCUAAAAAAUUCGUCUACCGCCCGGUAGACGUCGUCGCAAUCACCAGAACCCUGUCCUUCAUCGUUGCUAGCCAUGUUUCCUAUGAUUAAAUCUAGUCAAUUAAUUUUAGACCUAAUAAAAUGAAUAAUGACAUAAAAAGGACUAUUGUUUUGCAGGAAUGUUGACUCCUUCCUGGUGCGGCAAAUCCCGGGCACUCGAUAUGUCCUAGUUUGUAGCACAAGUCAUGCCGAAAUUCAUGGGAAAUUUCGGCAUGACCUUUGCUAAAAAGUGGACAAAUCGAGAACCUGAAAUUUGCCGGAACAGAAAUGAAUCAACAUUCUGGCAACACAUAGGCCACUCAGCAUCAUUCCCUGGAAACAACAAAGCCACUUGGGCACAAUCGAACAACUUCAAUGAAAAGAUAUAACAUGACCACUUCAAUGAAAAAUAAAAUUUGCCUAAAUUCUUUUCCUUGAAAAUAGUGGUCUUUUCAAAAAUCAAAAACCUUUGCCAAUCUACUUAACCUAGCUUAUUAAUCCAACGAACCUAAUUAACCUACCUAUUUAACCUAGUUAGUUAAUCUAGUUUACCUAGAUAAUUAACCCUAAUUAAACUAGUUAACGCGGCUAGUUCUCUGUCAAAGCCUAAAAUAAAUUUUUGCACUAAUUAACCUGGAUAAUUAACCUAAUUAAACUAGUUAACCUGACUAGUUCUCUGUCAAAGCCCUAACUAAGUUUUUGCACUAACCUAGAUAAUUAACCUAAUUAAACUAGUUAACCUAACUACUUCUCUGUCAAAGCCCUAACUAAAUUUUUGCCCUAACCUAGAUAAUUAACCUAAUUAAACUGGCUAACCUAUAUGCAUGAGAGAGAGAGGAGGGGUGGGGGCUUACAGAUGAUGGCUCCGGUGGUGGCGACAGAGGCAGUGGUGGCGAGGGAGGCAGGGGCGUCUCCGGUGACGGCGAGGGAGGCAGGGGCGUCUCCGGUGACGGCGAGGAAGGUGGCGUCGACGGGGGCUCCGGUGGCGUUGACGAGGCCACGCGGCUCCGUGGCGUUGGGGGCGGCUCCGGUGUCGUCGACAGCGCACGGCUCUGGUGGCAUCGACGUCGACGGCGAAGUGGGGCGACGUUGAGUCGGGGAGACGGCGGCGCGCGGGGUGGGUUGAGGGAUUUGGGGGAGAAGUCGCCGGGAGGAAACGGUUUUUUGGUUAAGUCAAACUUAGCGGUAGCGCGUUUGGCAAAACGCGCUAUCGCUAAGAUAGCUAUAGCGGUUUCUGCAAAAUGCGCUGCUGCUAUAGCUAUGUAAAUUUCUUCCUUUUUAAUUUCCUUUUCUGUUUCUAUAGCGGGGGUCUAGGACACGCGCUGCAGCUACGUUAGCUAUAGCGCCUCUUACAAACACACGCUGCUGCUAUGCCUUCCUCCGAUUUUUCGCUUUUUCGUUUAUUUUGCUUUACAUUUUAUUUUUUCCUUUCUCCUUUUUCUAUUUCUUUCAUUUUCAUUUACUUUUCUAUUUGUUUUUCAUCUUAUUUUAUUUCCGUUAGUAGUAGCGCUCUUCCCUGGAAACGCGCUGCUAAUUAUGCCCUAGCGGUAGCGCGUUUCAUCUAAGCCCGCUACUGCUAUGCAUAGCCUAUCAUUCUGCCAAUGGGAAUAUUAGUAGUAGCGCUUUCGCGACUACCAGCGCUACUGCUAAGUUUGUAUCUGUAGCGCGAUUUCUCUUAAAUCGCUACUGCUAUAUAGCACUAGCGCGCUUUUUUGACCCGCGCUGUUGCUAAAUUUCUGUGUAUAAGGUUUUCCCUAGUAGUGAUAUUAUGGAAAAGAAAGAUGCUAAACCUAGACUUAUUAGGUGGGUUCUCUUGCUACAAGAAUUUGAUUUACAUAUUAUUUAUAGAAAGGGAGCUGAGAACCCUGUUGCAGACAACUUGUCUAGGUUAGAGAAUGUUCUUGAUGACUCACUACAUAUUAAUGAUAACUUUCCUGAUAAACAAUUAGCUGUCAUAAAUGCUUCUCAUACUGCUCCAUGGUAUGCUGAUUAUGCUAAUUACAUUGUUGCUAAAUUCAUACCACCUAGUUUUACAUAUGAACAAAAGAAAAAGUUCUUCUAUGAUUUAAGACAUUAAUUCUGGGAUGACCCACACCUUUAUAAAGAAUAAGUAGAUGGUGUUAUUAGACGUUGUGUACCUAAGCAUGAACCGGAACAGAUCCUACGCAAGUGUCGCUUCGAGGCAUAUGGAGGACACCACGCUGGAGAUAGAACUGCACGUAAGGUAUUGCAAUCUGGUUUUUAUUGGCCCACUCUCUUCAAAGACGCCCGUAAGUUUGUCUUGUCUUGUGAUGAAUGUCAAAGAAUAGGUAAUAUUAGUAGACGUCAAGAAAUGCCUAUGAACUAUUCUCUUGUUAUUGAACCAUUUGAUGUUUGGGGCUUUUAUUAUAUGGGACCUUUUCCUGCCUCUAAUGGGUAUACACAUAUUUUAGUUGAUGUUGUUUACGUUACUAAGUGGGUAGAAGCUAUUCCAACUAGUAGUGUUGAUCAUAACACCUCUAUUAAGAUGCUUAAAGAAGUUAUUUUUCUGAGGUUUGGAGUCCCUAGAUACUUAAUGACUGAUGGUGGUUCUCAUUUUAUUCAUGGUGCUUUUCGUAAAAUGCUUGCUAAGUAUGAUGUUAAUCAUAGAAUUGCAUCUCCUUAUCACCCACAGUCUAGCGGUCAAGUAGAGUUGAGUAAUAGAGAACUUAAAUUAAUUUUGCAAAAGACUGUUAAUAGAUCUAGAAAUAAUUGGUCCAAGAAACUUGAUGAUGCAUUAUGGGCUAGAACAGCAUAUAAAAAUCCUAUGGGUAUGUCUCCAUAUAAAAUGGUUUAUGGAAAAGCUUGUCACUUACCUCUCGAACUAGAACAUAAGGCAUAUUGGGUUAUUAAAGAGCUUAAUUAUGAUGUCAAAAUUACCGGUGAGAAGAGGUUAUUCGACAUUAGCUCACUUGAUGAAUGGAGAACCCAAGCUUAUGAAAAUGCCAAAAUGUUUAAAGAAAAAGUUAAAAGAUGGCAUGACAAAAGGAUACAAAAGCGUGAGUUUAAUGUAGGUGACUAUGUGUUGCUCUUCAACUCUCGUUUAAGAUUUUUUGCAGGAAAACUUCUCCCUAAAUGGAAAGGCCCUUACGUUAUCAAGGAAUUUUAUCGCUCCGGUGCCAUAAAAAUCAACAACUUCGAGGGCACAAAUCCGAAGGUGGUGAAUGGUCAAAGAAUCAAACAUUAUAUCUCAGGUAACCCAAUAAAUGUUGAAACUAAUAUUAUUGAAACCGUAACCCCGGAGGAAUACAUAAGGGACACCUUCCAAAAUGUUCCAGACUCCAAAAAGGAAUAGGUAUGUGGUACGGUAAGUAAACCGACUCCAAAUUAAUUUUAACAACAGUAUUUCUCCGUCUUGGAAUAUUUAAGAAAAUAGAAAAAUAAGAAGUAGUCCGGGAAGGACACGAGGCCUCCACGAGGGUGGAAGGCGCGCCCUACCCAACUGGGCGCGCCCCCUGCCUUGUGGGCACCUCGUGUGCUCUCUAGACUCCAUUUUCUUGCACGAUACUUCUUUUGGUCGGUAAAAAUUCAUUAUAUAAUCUCCUGGAGGUUUUGACCACCGUAUCACGCAAAUAUCCUCUGUCUUUGUUUCGAGUUGUUUUCUGACAGAUCUAGAUUGCCAUGACGUCUUCAAGCGCCCCCAAGGACAAAUUCUUUGAGAAGGUCAUCAAUCCCUACCUCGUAGAGGUGCUACAACACCCUCAAACCAUUGAGAUACAUGAGGGGGUGCUGCACAUCCGCGAUGUUGAGGGACCAAGGAGGACCGGAAGCAUGGAGACAAGUCUUGAAGCAAUGAAUCAGCAAGUUUUCAAGUGCCAAGGGAUGGUGGAACGCAGACUCAACGCCAACCAGAUGAUGAUUGCAGAGUUCACCAACAAGCACAAGCUGGAUGCCAAGGACAUUGGGGAGACCAUCUUCAAGCUUCAUGAGAAAAUCGAGCACCUCCAAGCCCAGAUCUAUGACCUACAAAACCAAAACUGUGAGUACGAAUAUAGAUUCAAGAGGAUGAGUUUGGCUGCAGAUUUGAGGAUCUCAGAGACUCGGUCAUCUUUCUAUGAUGGGGAGCCUAUACCUUGGAAGAUGGAGGACAAGCCUACAUCAUCAACAACACCACCUUCUUCACCAGCAAAGGAGACAUAAUCACAUGGGUAUGGGCACUCCCCUUGGCAACUGCCAAGCUUGGGGGAGUGUCCCGGUAUCGUAUCACCAUCACACUCCUAUCUUUACAGCUUUUCUUAGUUAGAUCCCUUUGGUAAUAUCUUUAUCUAGUAGAAUAAAGUUUGGCAUGAAUUAGUUUCGAGUUUUGCUUUGUGAUCCAUCUAUGUAAUCGAGUCUGUGAGCUAUCUAUAAUAAAGAUUAGUGUUGAGUCAAGGGCUUUGCUAUCCUGCUAUGAUCUUGAGAAAAAUAGAAAGAAUAAAAAGAAACAAAAUAAACCAUGUUGAUCUUAUGGAUAGUAAUGACUUCACACAUAAAUAGUAUGAGGCAUAAAAGUUGUUGAGAGUUGGCAAACAUAGUUUUUGUCAUCGUUGUAAUUAAUAGGAAGUAAUAAAGAAAGAGAGGCUCUCACAUGCAAAUAUACUAUCUUGGACAUCUUUUAUGACUGUGAGCACUCAUUAACAUAUGACAUGCUAAAAGAGUUGAUGUUGGACAAGGAAGACAACAUAAUGGGUUAUGCUUUCUCACAUCUUAGUUAAAGUAUAUUGUCAUGGAUCAUACAACAUGUUGAGCUUGCCUUUCCCCCUCAUGCUAGCCAAAUUCCUUGCACCAAGUAAAAAUUACUUGUGCUUCUGAAAUACCCUUAAACCAAUUUUUCCAUGAGAGUCCACCACAUCUACUUAUGGAUUGAGUAAGAUCCUUCAAGUAAGUUGUCAUGUUGCAUGCAAUAAAAUUUGCUCUCUAAAUAUGUAUGAAUUAUUAGUGUAGAGAAAAUAAGCUUUAUGCGAUCAUGUGAUAUGGAAGUAAUAAAAGCGACGGACUGCAUAAUAAAGGUUCAUAUCACAAGUGGCAAUAUAAAGUGACGUUCUUUCGCGUUAAGAUUUUUUGCAUCCCACGAUAAAAGCACAUGACAACCUCUGCUUCCCUCUUCAAAGGGCCUAUCUUGUACUUUAUGCAAGAGUCAAGGAGAUCUUCACCCUUCCUUUUUAUUUUAUCCUUCGGCAAGCACCUCGUGUUGGAAAGAUCCAAUUGGAUGUUCAUUAGCAUGAACUGUUAUUGUUGACAUUACCCUUGAGGUAAAAUGUUGGGAGGCAACACUAUAAGCCCCUAUCUUUCUCGGUGUCCGAUUAAAACUCCAUAACCACAAGUAUUGCGUGAGUGUCAGCAAUUUUGAAAGACUAAAUGAUAGUUGAGUAUGUGGACUUGCUGAAAAGCUCUUAUGUUGAGUCUUUCCUAUGUUAUGAUAAAUUGCAGUUGAUUCAAUGACUGAGAUUAUAGUUUGUUAGUUCUCAAUGAAGUUUCUGAACCAUACUUGACAUUGUGAAGAGAUUGUUACUUGAGCAUAAGAAACCAUAUGACAAUAUAUAUAUAUAUAUAUGUUGUUGUUAUAAGAAUGAUCAUGAUGCCUGCAUGUCGGUAUUUUAUUUUUUAUCGACACCUCUAUCUCUAAACAUGUGGACAUAUUUUUCGAUAUCGGCUUCCGCUUGAGGUCAAGCGAGGUCUAAGCUUGGGAGAGUUGAUACGUCCAUUUUGCAUCAUGCUUUUAUAUCAAUAUUUAUUGCAUUAUGGACUGUUAUUACACGUUAUGUCAUAAUACUUAUGGCUAUUCUCUCUUAUUUUACAAGGUUUACAUAAAGAGGGAGAAUGCCGGCAGCUGGAAUUCUGGGCUGGAAAGGGAGCAAAUAUUAGAGACCUAUUAUGCACAGCUCCAAAAGUCCUGAAACUCCCCGAAAGUCAUUUUUGGGUUUAAUAAAAAAUACUGGCGAAGGAAUCAGCGUCAGGGGGCCCAUGCCCUGGUCACGAGGGUGGGGGGCGCGCCCCCUGCCUCGUGGGCCCCCUGACAGGCCUCCGGUGCCCAUCUUAUGCUAUAUGAGGUCUUUUACCCUGGGAAAAAUCAUAAGCAAGCUUACGGGACGAAACUCCGCCGCCACAAGGCGGAACCAAUCUAGGGCUCCAGCGGAGCUGUUCUGCCGGGGAAACUUCCCUCCGGGAGGGGGAAAUCAUCACCAUCAUCAUCACCAACGAUCCUCUCAUUCGGAGGGGGUCAAUCUCCAUCAACAUCUUCACCAGCACCAUCUCCUCUCAAACCCUAGUUCAUCUCUUGUAUCCAAUCUUUGUAUCAAAACCUUAGAUUGGUACAUGUUGGUUGCUAGUAGUGUUGAUUACUCCUUGUAGUUGAUGCUAGUUGGUUUAUUUGGUGGAAGAUCAUAUGUUUAGAUCCUUAAUGCACAUCAAUACCCCUCUGAUUAUCAACAUGAAUGUGAUUUGUGAGUAGUACGUUUGUUCCUGAGGACAUGGGAGAAGUCUUGCUAUAAGUAGUCAUGUGAAUUUGGUAUUCGUUCGAUAUUUUGAUAAGAUGUAUGUUAUCUAUCCUCUAGGGGUGUUAUGUGAACGUCGACUACAUGAAACUUCACCAUUGUUUGGGCCUAGAGGAAGGCAUUGGGAAGAAAUAGUAGAUGAUGGGUUGCUAGAGUGACAGAAGCUUAAACCCUAGUUUAUGUGUUGCUUCGUAAGGGGCUGAUUUGGAUCCACCUGUUUCAUGCUAUGGUUAGGUUUACCUCAAUACUCCUUUUGUAGUUGUGGAUGCUUGCAAUAGGGGUUACUCAUAAGUGGGAUGCUUGUCCAAGAAAGGGCAGUACCCAAGCACCGGUCCACCCACAUAUCAAAUUAUCAAAGUACCGAACGUGAAUCAUAUGAAUGUGAUGAAAACUAGCUUGACAGUAAUUCCCAUGUGUCCUUGGGAGCUCUUUUCUCACAUAAGAACUUGUCCAGGCUUGUCCUUUGCUAAAAAAGGAUUGAGCCACCUUGCUGCACCUUAUUUACUUUCAUUGCUUGUUACCCGUUACAAAUUAUCUUAUCACAAAACUAUCUGUUACCUACAAUUUUAGUGCUUGCAGAGAAUACCUUACUGAAAACCACUUGUCAUUUCCUUCUGCUCCUUAUUGGGUUCGACACUCUUACUUAUCUAAAGGACUACGAUAGAUCCCCUACACUUGUGGGUCAUAAGUAUGAUGAUACCGAUGAUCGAAUCUUGGGCAAGUAACAUAUCGAUGACAAAGGGAACAACGUAUGUUGUUGUGCGGUUUGACCGAUAAAGAUCUUCGUACAAUAUGUAGGAGCCAAUAUGAGCAUCCAGGUUCCGCUAUUGGUUAUUGAUCGGAUAUGUGUCUCGAUCAUGUCUACAUAGUUCUCGAAACCGUAGGGUCCGCACGAUUAACGUUCGAUGACGAUUUGUAUUACGAGUUAUGUGUUUUUUAUGACCGAAGUUUUUUCGAAGCCCCGGAUAAGAUCACGGACAUGACGAGGAGCCUCAAAAUGGUCAAGAGGUAAAGAUUGAUAUAUUGGAAGGUUAUAUACGAACACCGGAAUGAUUCCGAAGAAGAUCGGGAAUUUUUCGGAGUACCGGGAGGUUACCAGAACCCCCGGGAAAGUUAAUGGGCCUCAUGGGCCAUACUGGAGAGAGGGAAGGCCGCCAAAUGAGGUGGCGCGCGCCUCCCCCUGCCCAAACCGAAUAGGACUAGGGGUGGAGGCGACCCCCUUUCUUUCUCCCUCUUCCCCCUUUCCCCUCUCCGUUGGAAGGAAGGGGGGCGAAUCCUACUUGGACUAGGAGUCCAAGUAGGACUCCCCCCUUUGGCGCGCCCCUCCUAGGCCGCCGGCCUCCUCCUCCCCUCCAUUAUAUACGGGGGCAGGGGGCACCCUAAAGACACACCAAGAAUUCUCUUAGCCGUGUGCGGUGCCCCCUUCCACAGUUUACUCCUUCGGUCAUAGCAUCAUAGUGCUUAGGCGAAGCCCUGCGUGGAUCACAUCAUCAACACCGUCGCCACGCCAUGGUGCUGACGAAACUCUCCCUCGGCCCUCUACUGGAUCAAGAGUUCAAGGGACGUCAUCGAGCUGAACGUGUGCUGAACACGGAGGUGUCGUAUGUUCGAUACUUGGAUCGGUUGGAUCGUGAAGACGUUCGACUACAUCAACCGUGUUAACUAACGCUUCCGCUUUCGAUCUACGAGGGUACGUAGACACACUCUCCCCCUCUCGUUGCUAUGCAUCUCCUAGAUAGAUCUUGCGUGAUCGUAGGAAUUUUUUUGAAAUUCCAUGCUACGUUACCCACACUACUAGGAAAAGGCCUACUAAUGGCGCACCAGUUUUGCCUACUAAUGGCGCACUACUGGUGCGCCAUUAGUAUCACGCCACUAGUAUUUUUUACUAAUGGCGCACCAGUGGUUCGCCAUUAGUAUCUGGUAUACUAAUGGCGCACCACUGGUGCGCCAUUAGUAUAGGCCACGGUGCGCCAUUAGUAUAGGCCACUGGUGCACCAUUAGUAUAGGUCACGGUCCGCCAUUAGUAUUUUUGAAUUUUAAAGGCGGUAAAAUAGUAGUGGCGCACCGUCUAACCCCCACCGUGCGCCAUUGCUAUUUUUGAAUUUUGAAUUUGGAUCUGGAUCGCGAUUUUUUUGCCCAUUUUUUGCUCGUUUUUUUGCUCGUUUUUUUGCACGAUAUUAUUUCAAACUUUGUUCCCAUUUUUGGAUCUUGUACGUUCUUUUGACGUGUUCUUUUGCCGGAGAGGAGUUUGCCGGAGAGGAGUUCGCCGGAGAGGAGGAGGGAGGAGGUGACCGCAGAGGCGCUCGCCUACGUUGCCGGAGAGGAGGAGGACGUCGCCGGAGAGGAGUUCACCGGAGCAUCGGAGAGGAGGAAGGAGAAACCAUGAGGAGAUGGGAGGAGAGGAGGGAGGAGGAGCUCACCAGAGAGGAGGGAGGAGGAGCUCACCGGAGAGGACGGAGGAGGAUCUCACCGGAGAUGAGGGAGGAGGAUCUCACCGGAGAGGAGGAAGGAGAGAGGAGGAGAGGAGAGGAGGGAGGAGGAGGUCGCCGGAGAGGAGGAGGAGGAGGUCGCCGGAGAGGAGGAGGGCAGUAUGGUGGAGGAGAGAAGGGAAGAUGGAGUGGAGGAGUGGAGGAGAGGUGGAGUGGAGGAGAAAAAUGAAGAGGUAAGGAGGAGAGGACACGCCCAGCCAUAUAUACGGCAUAGUAAUGGCGCACCGUGGGCAGGUGCGCCAUUACUAUUUUUUUAUUUUUUUUAUUUUUUUUGAAUUUUGAAGGCGGGAAGAUACUAAUGGCGCACCAUGGGCAGGUGCGCCAUUAGUAACUUUUUUUUGAUUUAUUUUGAAUUUUGAAGGCGGGAAGAUAGUAAUGGCGCAUCAUGGGUAGGUGCGCCAUUAGUAAGUUUGAAUUUUUUUUGAAUUUUUUUGCCUCUCCAGAUCUUAAAAGCCCUGUAUCUUUUUUUCUGUUAGGUUUUUGAGGAUUUUGAAAUUGUUUAACGGGGUUCCCCCUAUUUUNNNNNNNNNNNNNNNNNNNNNNNNNNNNNNNNNNNNNNNNNNNNNNNNNNNNNNNNNNNNNNNNNNNNNNNNNNNNNNNNNNNNNNNNNNNNNNNNNNNNNNNNNNNNNNNNNNNNNNNNNNNNNNNNNNNNNNNNNNNNNNNNNNNNNNNNNNNNNNNNNNNNNNNNNNNNNNNNNNNNNNNNNNNNNNNNNNNNNNNNNNNNNNNNNNNNNNNNNNNNNNNNNNNNNNNNNNNNNNNNNNNNNNNNNNNNNNNNNNNNNNNNNNNNNNNNNNNNNNNNNNNNNNNNNNNNNNNNUUCUUUUUUGAAACUGAAAAGGCGGUCCACAGGGGGGGGGGUGCAUUCGGGGGAAUGUUUGGGCCAAAUUACUAAUGGCGCACCGUGGGAUGGUGCGCCAUUACUAGUUCAACUAGUAAUGGCGCACCACUCCCAGGUGCGCCAUUAGUAGUUUUAAAAAUAUUACUAAUGGCGCACCGUGGGAUGUGGUGCGCCAUUAGUAUUUGCACACUAAUGGCGCACCAACACAUGGUGCGCCAUUAGUAUUUAGUAAUGGCGCACCACAUGUACGGUGCGCCAUUAGUGUCCAUCCCAUCUAUAGCCCUUUUCCUAGUAGUGCCAACAAGAAGAAAUCAGGAGGAGGCACACCACAAGAAAUAUUGUAAAUGGUGGGGUUCCAUAGGACUGCGACCGCUCGGAUGAGGGCCGUAUAGCAUCGAUUUCAAGGCAUCUCAUCCACCUGAAUAAUUUUUAUAAAGGGGGUAGGUUGAAAUGUGAACAAUACAUCCUAGAGCGAAGCCAGAACAGAGCAUCUUCUCCCAUCUUCAUCAACCCUAGCCGCCGCUGUUUCUAUCUCCAUAGCCACCAUCACCACUAUAGUGCUUCCUCAUCUAGAUCAUACUUGUAAUCGUGCAUUGCACUUGGCAUCCAUUAUAAGACAUAUCAGCAAUGAGUCAAUCUCCAUGAUGUGUUCUUCAAUGUGUUCUUCAUGUGAUCUGAUCUCGAUGUGCGAGUAGUUCGUUAUGGUAUGGGUUGAGGCAUCGGCCUUGCAACCCUCUGUAUUUGUUGUGGGGAUCAAUGGAAGUGCUUUAAAUUAACAUCCUGUAUGUGUGAAAUAAAAUUAUUCCAUACAUGUCUCCUGUCUCAUCGGCGUUCUUCAUCCUUGCAGAUACCUAGGAUCAUGGAGAGCGAGCCAUAGAGAGGAUAAGGGCAGGCAGACCGUGAAGUGUUAUUCUGAACACCAGUGAAAGAAGGGUUUAGCUUGGUAACACGGAUCCAAUCCUUGGGGAUUCAAGAGGUGUAGUCAAUAAACUCCCAAAGUUCUUGUCUGAUUAUUAUAAUCUUAAUUAUCGAGGCAACCCCGCGCGAUGGAUAGGGCCUUCGGUUGGACAACUGAUUCUUGAUGCAGGAUGCGUGCCGGUCAAGAUGUUAUUUGGACACAUCCCCAGUAAGGUUUGCGACAAGCACAUCUCUAUGGAUGCCUUACAACGCACAAAUUAAGAUCAUAUCUGGCCCCAACACAAAUGCAUGGUUAUAAGAGUUAAGACGUCAUACCCAUAUGUCUAUUUUAUUAUAAGUUUAUUCCAAUAUGCUUGGUUUGAUCCAGUCAAAAGCUGAAAUUAAUCCUUUGACAAAACCUUGCUAGAGACCAUCGCUUCAAGGGAGCCUUCCUCUCGCGGGUUCGAUAACCCAGGGUCACUUCUUGGGAAAUAGGUGUGGGGUACUUUCUGUUCCGUUAUCGAUCACUAAAGGGAGGUAUCAAACACUCCUCCCCUCCACUCUCGCAGCCAUGGAAACUUUUUUUCUGCCAGACACUACCGAUGUACGCUUAGUGUACCUUCGAACUGCACCUUGCCCUUCACAUGUUCGACACAUUGUCCCACUAGUUUUUUGUGACUAUUUUGUAGGCAAAAUGACUAAUUCAGACGGUUCUUGGACGAGGAGUAUGGAUCCAUGGAGCUUGAUGGAUUUAUUCAAAGGAGUUCUCGGAGUCGUCGGAUUCGAACAAAGAAGCGAGAUGAUGAUGAUCAUGAGCAUCCAAUAGAAAAUGGACUAAGAGGCGAGCACAGUCUGAACUUCAAGGGCUUGAUUAAAGGGAGAAGAGUCUGAACUGGGGUAGGACUACUUUGCUCCUGAACCAGCUUUCCCUGAUGAAUGGUUUCAUCAACAUUUCCGUAUGCACAAACCAUUGUUCUUGCGUGUGGUGGAGGGAGUGGAGUCACACAAUCCCUAUCAAGCACACCACAGAUUGUUGCGGACAACUCUUGUUCUCUCCUAAGAAAAAAUGCACGACAUUUAUGAGGAUGCUUGUACUUGGUACCGCUGUCGAUGCCAAUGGUGAGACAGUCUGGAUGAGGGAGAGCACAUGAAAGACCAUUGUGAAGUUUUCCUGCACCAUAGUGGAGGUGUCUGGAGCAAAGUAUCUAAGAGAACCAAAUGUGUAUGAUACAAAAAGGUUGUUGGCUAUUGGAGAGGUAAAAUGUUUUCUAGGUAUGCUCGGUUCAAUUGUUUGCAUGCAUUGGCAAUGGAAGAACUGCCCCCAAAAGUUUGCGCCAGAUGUAUCAUGGUCACACCAAAGAGGCCAUCAUCAUACUAGAAGCAGUCGCAUCGCAUGCCUUCUGGAUUUGGCAUGCUUUCUUUGGAAUGUCUGGUUCUCACAACGACAUCAAUGUGCUUCUGCAAUCUCCCAUGUUCAGGAGACUUUGCAAUGGGGAACCGCCGUCGUGCAACUACACCAUCAACGAAUGAGAUUACAAUAUGGGUACGUUGCCAAUGUUAUAUAUCCUCAAUGGGCGGCCUUUGUGAAUAUCGUAUUGAUACUUCUCCAACGUAUCUAUAAUUUUUGAUUGUACCAUGCUAUUAUAUUAUCUAUUUUGGAUGUUUAAUAGGCAUUUAUAUGCUAUUUUAUAUUAUUGCUGGGACUAACCUAUUAAGCGAGAGCCCAAUGCCAGUUUUUGUUUUUUUCCUAUUUUAGAGUUUCGCAGAAAAGGAAUACCAAACGGAGUCCAAACAGAAUGAAACUUUCGCGAUGACCUUUCUUGGACCAGAAGCAAACCAGAAGACUUGGAGAUGAAGUCGGAGACGCAAUGAGGCGGCCAUGAGGGUGGAGGGCACGCCCGAGGGUAGGGCGUGCCCCCUACCUCAUGGGCCCCUUGUGGGUCUCCUGACCUAGUUUCUUCGCCUAUAUAUACUCUUAUACCCUGAAAACAUCUAGGGGAACCACGAAACCACUUUUCCACCACCGCAACCUUCUGUACCUGUGACAUCCCAGCUAGGAGCCUUUUCUGGCAUCCUUCCGGAGGGGGAUUCGAUCAUGGACCGCUUCUACAUCAACACCAUUACCUCUCCGAUGAAGCGUGAGUAGUUUACCACAGACCUACGGGUCCAUAGCUAGUAGCUAGAUGGCUUCUUAUCUCUCUUUGAUUCUCAAUACCAUGUUCUCCUCGAUGUUCUUGGAGAUCUAUUUGAUGUAAUAUUCUUUUGCGGUGUGUUUGCCGAGAUCCGAUGAAUUGUGGAUUUAUGAUCAGAUUAUCUGUGAAUACUAUUUGGUUCUUCUCUGAAUUCUUAUAUGCAUGAUUUGAUAUCUUUGUAAUUCUCUUCGAAUUAUCGGUCUAGUUUGGCCUACUAGAUUGAUCUUUCUUGCAAUGGGAGAAGUGCUUAGCUUUGGGUUCAAUCUUGCGGUGUCCUUUCCCAGUGACAGUAGGGGUAGCAAGGCAUGUAUUGUAUUGUUGCCAUCGAGGAUAAAAAGAUGGGGUUUUCAUCAUAUUGCUUGAGUUAAUUUCUCUAUAUCAUGUCAUAUUACUUAGUGUGUUACUCCAUUCUUUAUGAACUUAAUACUCUAGAUGCAUGCUAGAUAGCGGUUGAUGUGUGGAGUAAUAGUAGUAGAUGCGGAAUCGUUUCGGUCUACUUGACACGGAUGUGUGCCUAUAUUCAUGAUCAUUGCCUUAGAUAUUGUCAUAACUUUGUGUUUUUCUAUCAAUUGCUCGGCGGUAAUUUGUUCACCCACCAUAAUAUUUGCUAUCCUGAGAGAAGCCACUAGUGAAACCUAUGGCCCCCGGGUCUAUUUUACAUCAUAUUAGUUUCCCAUCAACUUGCCAAUUUCUGUAGCCAUUCCUUAUUUCACAAUCUUUUCUUUCCAAUCUAUAAACCAAAAAUACCAAAAAUAUUUACUUUGCCGUUUAUCUAUCUCUAUCAGAUUUCACUUUUGCAAGUAACCAUGAAGGGUUGACAACCCCUUUAUCUGCAAGUUGUUGAUUGUUUGUGCAGGUAUUCGGUGACUUGUGCGUUGUCUCCUACUGGAUUGGUACCUUGGUUCUCAAACUGAGGGAAAUACUUCUGCUAGUUUACUGCAUCAUCCUUUCAUCUUCAAGGGAAAAACAAAUGCAAGCUCAAGAGGUAGCACAUACCUGAUCCCAAAGGCAACAAACAAAGCCACUUUGCAACAACACAAGAAGCAGCUAGGAAGGAUAUGGAGAGGGCAUUACAAGAUUGUUUGGGAAUUGUUUGUGAAAAUGCAAUGAUGUGAUAAUCAGAGACUUUGUGGCAGCUAAUGACAUGUGUCAUUUUGCACAAUAUGAUUGUUGAGGACGUAGGUGACGGGGCAGCCCGAACCAAUGAUUUUGAGAAGUCUGGAGAACAAGUCCACAUCCCAGAACAAUAGAAUGCAAAUUAGCUUAUCAUUUUUCUGCACAUGCAUCCGAAUCUUUGAGAUUAUCAGGUGAACGCAUAGCUACUCGGUGAUCUUGUGUAGCACAUGUGGACCCACAGUGAAAACCAAACAGCUAACGUUUAAAUUGUGCGCUCGAAAUACAUUUAAUGUUUGAACUAUGUAUUUUCAAUAGCAACAAAUGUUACUUAUGUUAUGAUGGACGUGCAUGGAUUUGACUGAAUUUGAGGGUCCUGAUUGAGGAGUGUGGAUUGCCAAAACGCCAUUCGAGGGGCGUCUAGUGUGGUCCGUGGGCACGCCUGCACGUCCGCAGACUUGUAGGGGGGAAGUUUGGUAAGUCACGCUACUCUUAGCGGCAUCUAUGGUAGACUGGCGGCCCAAGAUGAUGUGAAUUGAUGGACUAUGGUACAUAAUCUUUUUCCUGUUGCUAAAACAAGUAGGGGGGAAAUGCUCCUCAGAUAAAACAGUUUCCAUCUUUUUUGAGGAGAAAAAAUAAUUUCCUUAUCAAUUACAUGAAUGAUAAGGUGUGCAAGAAGGAUGUCACACAACGUGCAAGCGCGAGUUGGGGUGGGGGUUGAGCUGGGCGGGUUUACACUGGCAAGAUGGAUGAGCUGCCAUGGUUUCUAUACUUCUUUUCCUAGAUUUUUUUCUAGGUUUAUCUAGCUUUGGGAUUUGUACAACUCUCAUUAGCGCCUUAAUCAAGCUCCUGAUACGUCUCCAACAUAUUUAUAAUUUAUGAAGUGUUCAUGCCAUGUUUACAACAAUUUUAUAUGGCUUUGGUAUGAUUUGAACAGAACUAAACCAGACUGACGUUGUUUUUAGCAGAACUACCGUGGUGUUGUUUUUUGUGCAGAAAUAAAAGUUCUCGGAUCGACCCCAAAAAAAAUUUAUGAUUUUUUUUGGAACAAAGAGACCCCCAAACUUCGUGGGAGGACCAGAAAAGCCACGAGGCGGUGAUAAGGAACCUGGGUGUGCCCUUGGGGGUGAUGGUACCCAAGUGCCUCGUCGGCCCCUUGUAACUCCUUUUCGCAUGAUUCCGACAUUGAAAAUUCCUAUAAAUAGAGAAACUCCUAGAAAUAAACCUAGAACUUUGACUCAGCCACCGCAAGGCUCUGUACGAAAGCAAUCCCAUCUGGAGCCCUAUUACGACACCCUGACGGAGGGGAAAAUCAUCACCGGAGGCCAUCUUCAUCAUCCCGACGGUCUCCAUGAUGAGGAGGGAGUAGUUCACUCUCGGGGCUGACAGUAUGUAUCAGGAGCUAUGUGUUUGAUCUCUCUCUCUCUCUCUCUCUCUCUCUCUCUCUCUCUAUCAUGUUCUUGAUUUGACACGAUCUUGAUGUACCACGAUCAUUGUUAAUAUAGUUGGACCAUAUGAUGGUUUCCCCUCUCUAUCUUGUUGUGAUGAAUGGAGUCUUUCCCUUUGAGGUUUCACUAUUAUUGGAUCGAGUAUUUUGGAAUUGAGAACACUAGAUGUAUGUCUUGCAUGUGGAUACCCGUGGUGACAAUGGGGUGUUCUAUUGAUUCACUUGAUAUAUGUUUUGGCAAUCAACUUUCGGAUUCCCACGGUGACAUUGGGGUAAUCUAGGCAUAGAGGUUGAUGCACAUCUUCGUCCUACUUUAUCUGGUAGAAACUUUGGGGUACUCUUUGAAGUUCUUUGUGUUGGAUUGAAUAUUAUGAAUCUAAAGUUGUUUGAUGCAUAUAUAUCGUAUAAUUGACUCACAGAUACUUGUGGUGGCAUUGGAGUAUCUAGGUGACAUUAGUGUUGAUUGAUGUGUAUCAUAUUGUGUUAUUUUAGUACGAAUUCUAGGGCUGUUUGUGACACUUAUAGGAAUAACUCAAUAGAUUGAUCUGAAAUUAUAACUUUGAGGUGGAUUCCUACCUACAAAAAUGCCGUAUGUUCUCUGCUUGAUAAGAACUUUGGAGUGAUUCUUUUUCGCACGUUGAGGGAUUGUUGUAUAAUUCAAUUAUGUUAGCAAUGUUGAGAGUUUGCAUUAGUGAAUGAACCCUAGGCCUUGUUUUCAAGCAUCACAAUACCGUUUGUACUCACUUUUGUUACUUGCUACCUUGUUGUUUUCAUAUUUUUCAAAUUACAAAAAACUUGUAUCUACUAUCCAUACUACACUUGUAUUACCAUCUCUUCGCCGAACUAGUGCACCUAUACAAUUUUACAUUGUAUUGGGUGUGUUGGGGACACAAGAGAUUUCUUGUAUUUUGUUGCAGGGUUGUUUGAGAGAGACCAUCUUCAUCCUACGCCUCCCACGGAUUGAUAAACCUUAUGUCACCAUGUUCCAGAGCAACUUCGGCUGAGAUGCAGGAGGAGCAAAGUUUCAGCUGUGUACAUUAACCAAUGCUACUAGUACCACUACCAUCUAUCUCCUUCAGAAUGUGUGCGUGUUCAGGUCAGUUAAGCCACAAGAAUGUGUAAGGCAACUAGGUGAACUUGGGCGGCUCUCGCCGCUCGCCGAGCAUGUGCUCAAGCAUCCACAGGCGGCGACAAGAGGUGAUCGAUCGGUCGAGUGAAAUUCUUUAGUUUAUUCGUAUGCUUUGUUGUAGUUUUGUUAUCUUCUCUUCUCCUGCAAAGUUGUAGGUGUGUGUUGGGCGUCCAUGGUGAUGGUGUCGCUUGUAAUGUUGGGGUGGCAACUUCACCUUUUCUAGCAUUUCCACAAGUUCUGGGUCUUGUAAAUUCCAAGUCUCAAUAAAGGGAAC